This 91280-nucleotide long non-coding RNA is filed under the name Citrus x clementina. RNAcentral describes it as "Citrus clementina (C. clementina) long non-coding RNA (CCLE_LNC006226)". The stretch from base 39728 to 39831 matches the Rfam family "Plant small nucleolar RNA R71". Lineage: Eukaryota; Viridiplantae; Streptophyta; Magnoliopsida; Sapindales; Rutaceae. The record is from RNAcentral.
GGAAAGACAAAAUGAGGGAUCACUUGAUCUGCUCUGUUUUCAGAAAUGAUCUCCUGUAAAUCCUUACAGUCUCGUAUAUCUAGGUGUUGGAGCUGCUUAAGGCUUCCGAUCAUAGACGCUGAAAAUAUGUAUUUCAGUUUGUGACACCACCACACAACUAAUCGUGUUAAACUUUGAAAGUGAGGAAACAUGGCCGCCGGAAUUUGAUUGUAGUGCCAAAUCUUGUCGACAUUAAUAUUAGAUAUCUCCAAAGCCUCCAAGUUAGGCAACGCAACCUAAAAAAAUAAGAAUUUCUCGUUAGAUCCAAUAUCCAUAUGGGAAGCACUUGUUGAAAUUUUCUUCUUUGAUUACAAAUUAAUGCAAAGUCAGAAUCAAUUUCCAACUGACAGCUGAGAAUGCAUUCUAAUUCAUACUACUUGUUAAGAGCUCAAUUAGUGAGCGCGUGAGAUUCUUUUUAUCCUUUUUUCCAUUUUCUUUCAAAUCUUUAAAUGAUUUAAUUAUUUUCCACGUAUGACAUCAAAACAGAACGCAUGAUAGAAUAAAGUCUGUUAUAUAUAUAUAUAUAAAGAAAAUGUUAGCCUACGCACCUUCUCGUUGAAAAGCAGAGUUGAAAUGUCCAAAGUGAUUUCGCUGGAGCAAUACAUAGUCGUCGAUUCCUCUUGUGACACUUGUCUGUUCGGUGAUGCAGAAGGAGUCUCCACCUCACGGCGGCAAAAACUUGUAACCUCUGGAAGAUUCCCCAGACUCAAAGAUCUUAAUUGAGCAAACUCUAUCUUCUCAAUUGCAUUAUCAACUUCUUCCCCAAUUGCAAAAAUCUCUUUCAUCUUGCUGCAAUUAAUAACUGCAAUUCUCUCAAGUCUUGGAAGGCAUUCUGCAGUAGAGAGCCAAAAGAUAUUACUCAACUUAUCACAAUUAUAUGCUUCUACGGUUUUGAGUUCGUUGAAAGACUCUACUUUGAGCCGAUCAACACAUAUCCUCUCCAUGUUGAUCAAAUUGUGAAGGAUAAGUGACUCCAAAAGAGGAAAGGCAUCACAAGCGACCAUCUCCCUUGAAUCGACGAUGCAAAAGAAGUCUGGAUUAUUUUGAACCCAGAGAAUCUUCAAUUGUGAAAAGCCCUCCGUGUCCAAAUUGAAAAGAACAUUCUCGAUGCCUUGCAGCUUGUCCAACCAUAAGCAUUCAACGUUAUUGAUGCCCUGCAAUUUCAUGGAGCAAAUGUCCAUAAAAUCAAGCUUGAGCUUCAAUGCUCUUGAAAUCUUACGAUCUCUGUCGAUCAAAAAGUGCUGCCGACUUUUAAACCAAUUUUGUCCAGCAAUCAUGGGAUGUGUGAAUAACCCAUUUCCAAUAUGUAUUUUGAACCUUUCGAGCUUUCUGGCCAAAAAGCCUUCUGGUAACAUACUCUCAUUUUUUACAUCAAUUUCUAGAGUGGUUAGCCGAGGUAAAUGCAUCAAUUCAUCAAGGCUAGCAUUACUUCUUUUGCUGUUGGCUCUUUCAACCUCCCAUUCAAUGGAGCAAUUACCCAUAUACAAUUCUUCUAAUCGGAUUAAGCUUGAUAUGACAUUUGGGGCAAUAACUUUCAGACGGAAACAGUCUGUUAAAUCUAACAGCCUUAGCUUAGUCAGUUGACCCAGUGCUUUAGGCAACUCUACAAUAUCAGAUUGCAAAAAGCUGAGGAUUUCUAGAUUUUCCAACUUUCCAAUAAUGGCUAUGUCUAUGCCUCCCAAAAUGCCUUGAUUAAGACAGAGUGCCUGAAGAUUUACUAGAAGACCAAUUGAAGAUGGCAAUGACAAUAACCGCAUUCCAGUAAAAUCCAAAACCCGAAGCUUUUUCGUCCUUUUGAAGAAGUUCUCAGGAAUAUUAGGCACAGCAAAAGAGUUCUUGGGAGACAUGAGUAGAAGUUCAAGUUGUAGAGAUUCGGACCCAUCAGGAAUGUCAUUAAUAAUACUAUCUUUAAAAGAAAUUGCAAAAUAUUUUUUUAAUUCAUCUGCAUUUGGCCAUUUCCAAUCAUCCUCAUUUCUCACCACAAAUCCAAUUUUGUCACGACAUGCAAUUGAAAUGGCAACAUCGCGAACAACGUCGUGCAUAGAAAAGUAUUUACUGCCACCAUCCUCAAGCAACAAACAAGAGUCUCUUAGUUGAUGGACCCAUGCAUGUAAUUUGUUAUGUGCAUCUUCUAGCUUAUGGACACUUUUAAAUACACCCAAGCCCAUGCUAUAUUUGAACAAGUCCAUAAUUGGUGCUGGCGUAAUAAGACUACACAGUAAAAAAGUUUUCUUGAGUUGCUCACCUCUUAAGUACUUGUAACUCAGCUCAAUUGUUGAGUAUGCCUCUGCUGGUACUCCUUCGUCGAAGCUUGCCUCUGAAGGCGUUUGGAGUUCUUGCAAGGCAUUCUUCCACACAGGCAGCUCUUUUUUUCUCAGUGCCUUUGCUACUGUGGUUAGGGCAAUAGGCAAACCUCCGCAUGCCUUGGCUACACUUGUUGCUGUAGAUUCUAAUUCACGAUUUUCCACAUAAUCACCUGCCAUUAUCUUGAACAAUCUCCAGGCUUCUUGUUCAUUUAAAAUGCCAAUCGAGAAGUUUUUUUCAGAUUCCAUCCUUAACAGCACAUCGAGAUCUCUUGUUGUGAAUAAUAAUUUGCAUCCUCUGUGCUCAACUCCAAAAGGAAUUCCAAUAGUCCCCAAAUCAAGAGGUUUCCAGAUGUUAUCCAGAAUCACAAGGAUCUUCUUCUCAUUCUUCAAUCUUUCAUAUAGUCUACUAGCUCUUCUAGACUCAGCUUCCUCGGACAACUGUAGGCCUAACGUUUCCGCAAUUUCCUCUUGGAUCUUUUUUAUGUCUGGACUUUGGGUAACCUCCGAAAAAGCCACCUUAUCGUAAAGCUUGUCUUCAAUGGCUCGCCUUGCAAACUCCUUCACCAGUGUCGUCUUUCCAAUGCCGCCCAUGCCGUAGACCCCAAUGAUGCUGACAUCAACAUCGAUCAAUGCAUUUUGUAUGGCCUUCAAAGUAGAAAGUCUUGAUUCGAAGGCCUCGCAGCCUUUGUGAGACUUGAGCCAUAUAUCCUCCGGAAUGGUACGGUAGGAAAUUCUAUCAUCAAAUUUCCCAGCUUCUUCUUUGAGUUCAACAAUGGCCUUCACCUUUGUUUCUGCUUCCUUGCUAAGCUGAUAGCUGGACUUCAAAUUAGGACACAAGCCCAUGAGACAUCGUUUAUUUGUUGUCUCCUCAUCGUCAAUGAAUUUGGCUGACUGCUCAAUGGUGUUGUUCGCACGAACCAGCCACUUCUCAACCUUCUCUUCAAUCUUUUCCCCUUUUCUUUCAGCCUCAGAAACCCUGUGCUGAAUGCUUCUCCUUUCAUCCUUGAGCUUGUCUAUUUCUGCCUUGAGAUUCUCAACGUUGGCUUUAUAGUUACGCAAAUAACCAAAUCGGCGUUCUGUAGGAGGAGCCAAGCAUUUCACAAAUUCUAAAACAACAGUAACAAUGCUUUCCACCAUCCUGGAUCCCUUUUUUUUUUUUUUUUUCAAAGUUCUGACAAGAAAAUAAACAACGAGCGAAACAUAGAGAGAGUGAAAAAAAAAAAAAAAGCGAAACAACGAAGAUGGACAGUUUAUCCGGUUGUGGAGGCGGAGAAAUGAAAGAAAGAGUAAAAGCUGUUAUGGAUCUGGUGAGAAGAUGGAAACAAGGAAAAGGUUUCUAGUUCGAGAACUGAUUGAAUUAAUAUAAGGAAUGAUUUAGAUAAUAGAGGCGUAGGGAACCAAUCAGAAUAACUGAAGUAUUGACCAGAAGAAAGACGGAAAAAAUAUUGACUGGUAAUAGAGAUGGAAAAAAUGAAGAUAUCUUGACACGGUAGAAGUACAAAGGGUAGAUAUGGAACCAAACAGAGACAACAGCAGACCACAACAAGAUUGGGAAUGGACAGAAACUAAUUAACAAAGACUGGAGAUUACAACAAAACAGAUGCCAAGAGAAAACUUGAUCCAGUGAAAUUCAAGAGAGCUGACAACAAAAACUGAUACUACUUGAUUGGGAAUUGAAGGCAAAGAGGAGGAGCUGAUGAAUACGGGGAUCAAGAGGGAAAAACUGCUUGCUCGUAAAACUACUUUCAAGCGAAUCUGAUAAAAUUAUUUCAGUACUCGUGGGCGACUCCUUUUUAAACUGCAGAAGGAGAAAAAAGAAAUGUUCUGAAUUUCAAUGUAUUAAUUUUUAUCCUAAUUUAUGUUGAGACUCGUAAUCUCGUCUCAAUGAUUAAUUAGUAGAUAAUCUUUUUAACAAGUAUGUGAUGAAUAGAUAUAUUUCUUGACUAUUAGUAGGUUAGAUAUAUUUUAGCAUAGGAAUGAAAGUACAAGUUGUGUCAUAUUAGAAUACAAAUUUGACCUAAAAAUAUUGUUCUAUGACCUUUUAAUUAUUUGUCAGCUAAUAAUUAAGUCAUAUAAAAAAAAUAAUAAUCUGAAUUAGUCUUUAAGUAUUAUAAAUAUUUCUUGAUUUUUAAUUAUAAUAUCAUUAUUUAAAAAUAAUUGCUUGACUUACAUAGUAAGUCAAUAAAAUAUCUAACAAUAGUGGUCAUAAAACAUGUGAUCCUCAAUCAAUGAAAUAUCUAACAAUAUCAUCACCUAAAGUUUGAGAUAUGUUAUCCUUAUUCCACUGCGUCAAUUACACUCCAGUCAAAUGCUGCCAUCAUUAUUGAACAGUCGACAUCCACCAGUUCUAAUUGCCAAAACUUAGAACUAAACAGUAGCUCGGUCAGAAAAUCAAACGCCAGUACCGGUCAAAUGACCGAUAAAAAUAUAAAGAAAUAAAAAUUUUAAAGUUUUACUUUAUUGCUUUUUUAAUCUUAUUACUAUUUCGGGUAAUUUUUACUUUCCUCCCCUCAGCUUUGGACUUUUUGCACUUAGAUGGUCAAGAUACAUUUAUUAGUAAAGACCUCCCUACCGUCAGUUAAUUUGUAGUUGACUGUUAGUUGAAUUCAAAAAGACUGAAAUACCCCCAAUUGGAUUUUCAAGACUGAACAUGCUAUACAUUUGGCGCGAAAACUAUAACAACCAUAAUAUUACCAUUAUACCCCUUCAAAUUGGGUUAUUUACAAUUGCAUUCAACAAAUAAAAUGAUAAUUCUAUUUGGGUAAUUUUCACUGUUGCAAUUUGACCGUUGGAUCCGAAUGGUCACAUUGCCACAGAUUUGCCUAUUUAAAGGCUUAAAUACAGAGCUUUGUUCACAAGCAUCUCUACCUCUUCUUAACACUUUGCAAACUCAACUACAUUUCUCUCAAUCUUUCAAUCUCAACAACAUGGAUUCAGAGGGCUCAAGUGCAGUAACUAACAAGAAGAAUAGAUAUAAUAAAGGCAGUAUGAAAUGGAGGAGUCAAGUUAAUGGAAAUCUGAUCAAGUUUAGGAACUUGAAAUGCGAUUGCAGAGUACGUGCUGCUGUUCGAAUUUCAGAGACUGAAGAUAAUCCAAACAAGCUAUUCUACAACUGUCCUUAUGAUGCCUGUGACUUUUUCCAGUGGUGUUGUCCAGAACCAAGUGAUUUCGACAAUGGUGCAUUCUUUGAAGGUCAUAGAAGUUUUACAGUAGCACAACAACAAGUGCAGGUAGAACUUGAAGAAAUACUAAGUGCCCUGAAUGAAGUGAAGAUUAUACUGAAAAAAACUUAUCAAACUCAAAAUGUUUGUGACCAAGACUUAAGUGAUGUGCAUAAACUCACUUCAAAGAAAACCGAACAAGGUGGGGUGAUAUGUGGGCUGCUGAAGGCUGUGCUCUGUUUGAAUGCCUUUUUUUUUUACUGAGUGUUCUUGUGGUUAUUUUCCUGAAGUGAUUAACCUAAAUUACUAGCAUGAAUUUUGUAAUAAGUUGUACUCUAACUACUGGAAUGAGUAAUGAUAAGAUGAAAAUUUAAUGAACUUGUAAUGCUCUAUUUUUAGAAUGCUUAUCUUUGCUAACUAAGUGUAUAUAAUGUGAAGUAUCCUGUUUGAUUUGAGCAUAUGGCCUAGUCUUCAAUACUGCAUUUCCUAUGUAAUAACUUAACAUAAGCAUUCUGUACAUAUAGCUAAAAAUUAAAGGGAUUACAAUACUUUAGUUAUAAUAAUAUCUAUUAACAGUAGCAAAAUUAACUUGUGAGUUAAACUUUAACAGCAACAAGCAAACCAAUCCAGAACGAGUGAGAAGAGAAUCUAUUAAUUGCAUUCCAGCAUUAAAAUUCUUAAGCAGUAUCAUACAUAGUUACAUUCAAGCAGCUGUCACAAAGCAUGAAGCAGUUGAAUAUAAAUAGCUUCUGGUAAACUCAUGUAUAAUUUCCAGGUAUUAACCAAGCAAGCUUAUCAUAUUACUUGUCUUUGGCAUCACAAUAAUAUCAUGUACAAAAAACAAACUAACAAAAGGCUCAAACCUAUAGUCAGUCUGAGUAAAAGAUGAUACACCAGCUCCAUUCUUCUGCCCAUGACAAGAUGUUGUAUCAUCUGAUCCCUUCAAAAAAUUAGUUAGUGGGAAUAGUCUUGAUCUGCUUCUCAUGCUGGAUGCUAUCACUUUAAUGGUUUCAUUCUUGAGUAACAUGUCCUGGCAUGAAUAAAACAAACACUUACAUAUGAAAAUUAAAAAAAAUAGAUGUUGAUUACUAAAAUUAUUUAAAGAAUCGUGAAUAAAACUCACCAUUGUCAUGGACAGUAGGCUGAGAUAGUGCACUGCAAGCAACCCUUUGAGUUAUAGGCUGAUUAGAAUUAGAAGUGCCUUCACCAUUCACAACCUAUGCCACACCCAUUACAUCAUAAGCAAUUAAAUUAAUUAAAUUUAACUACUAAAUGAAAGAGAGAUGAUAAUUAACCUGUUUGCUAGAUACUUUAGUUCUUUUGCAGGUUCUCUUGUUAUGACCCCAAUGCUCACACUUAGAACAUUUGACACUUGAACUCCUCUUGAAUGUAGCUGGUUCAUCAGCUUCUUUCCUCCUCUUGAUCUGUGGCCGGCCAACAGACUUGAUAAUUAUAGGUGGCUGCAAAUUAUCAUGUAGAACCAGUGGCCACAUCUUCUCAUCAGGUAAAGGAAAGUAUUGAUACUUGUAGGUGUUGAUAAAAGCUGGACAUUUCAGAUAAUUAUGGAUAUAAUCUUCAAUGUUGAGCCUUUUUGCAUCAAUGGAACAAACACUAUGCUUACAAGGUAAGCCGGAUAUCUGCCAUUCCCUACAAUUACAAGUUUUUUUACCUAAAUCUACUACGAAUACUUUACAGAGAUCUUCCAUCACUUCGAAGGUGUUUUCAUGACCAAAUAUUACUGUUAAACCUCUCGUUGCAGCUCUUGCUUCCACAAUCUUUCUCCUAACAAGAGGUGGUAGAUGUCCAUUCCAUUUCUUUGCAUCCUCAUUCCUUUUAUGAAUAAGUUUCAUGAUCUUUCUCCUUAUCUCUUCGAGCAUCCUAACAAUAGGCAUGCCUCUAAAACUGUUAAUCCAGUUAUUGAACGAUUCAGUCAUGUUAUUGGUCACAUGAUUGCACUUGGUGUGGUUAGGAAAAGUGUGUUUAGCCCAAUAUACAGUUGGAAUGUUCAUGAGCCACCGGUGAGCUGCAUCGCUGAUUUUCUUCAAUUCCUCAAUGCUUUCACUGAAUUCUGAGUAGUUUGGACUUCUACAUGCCUUCCAAAAGACCUUUUUCAACAAAGUGCCAAGAAACUUUUGCUUGAAAUUGGCAUAAAUAUGCCUACAACAGUAUCUUUUGAUUGCAUUAGGAAACACUCUAUCAAUUGCAUUGAUCACUCCUUUUUGUCGAUCACUCAUGAAACAUAGGCCUUCUCCACCAUUACAACCAAUCUGGUCAUAUAGCUUUUCCAUGAAAAACUCCCAAGAGUAAGUGUUUUCACUCUCUACUACACAUAAGGCUAGUGGAUAUAUACCAUAAUUAGCAUCAAUCCCAACUACAGUCAAUAAAACUCCUUUAUAUGGCCCUUUUAGAUGGCAGCCAUCAACCCCUACAAACUGUCUACAGCCUUCAAAAAAACCUCUCCUACUUGCAUCAAGCAUCAUGAAAAAUCUUUUAAAUACUGGGUGAGCUGUAUCUCCAUUCAAUUCCCUCUCAAUAGCUACUGUGGAUCCAGGGUUAUACUUUAUCAAAGCUUGUUGGUAUCUACUCAGUUUGCUGUAACUUUUCUUGUGAUCUUGGCCAAGUAAUUCAAGUGCUUUUUGUUUUGCUCUGUAUAACCUAUGCACACUGCGCUCAAUGCCAUACUUUUUCAAAAGCUCAGCUGCUAUUAACUUGACACUGACUUCGGGAGUUGACUUGAAGAUAUGAAGAUAAGUGGCUGCAAUCCAGGUUGAAGUAGCUUCUCCGUUAUCAUCAUCAAUCCCACCACAUGUAUGAACAUCACAUAGGGUCUUAAUUUGAAAUGAGUUGUUGUUCCAGUUUGGACUAGCAUGAAUUCUCCAUGUACAUCCUGACUUAGCACAUCUAGCUGUCACUCUGGCUUUUUCAUUUUUAAGUCUAUACAAUCUGAAGCCAUUUCUGAUGGCAUAUACCCUCAACACCUUCCUAAACUCAUAAACAUCUACAAACAACUGACCAGGCCGUAGAACAAGGUUAUCUCCAUCUUGUGUGAACUCAAAUCCACCUGAAUUGGUGUCAUAUCUCACACAAGCAGCAAUUUCCUCAUCAGACGAAUCAAAUUCAUCACCAGUCUCAUCACCUGACUGAUAAUCAUCAAGAACAUAGUCACUUUCUUCACCAUCUGAUCUUGCAUUCUCUUCAUCACUUUCUUCACCAUCUGAUUUAGAAGUAUAAAUUGUGUCAGUUGAACCUUUGCCAUUUUUCCCAGAAUUCUCAGAGCUAAAGUGUACUGUCAUAUCAUCUUCGAGUAAAUAACCACUCCGAAUACUGAAUUGCGUCAUAUUAUUCUCGUUGUUAAUUUCUUCAACAUCAUCUAGUUCAUUCCAAUUAAUUUCAGGAUCGGCAUUGAGGUUGACAGAAAACUGAUUUUCAGGAGUUAUCUCAGUCACCUUGCCAUCAACUACUGCUUCAACAUCAUAAUGCACAACACUGUAAUGCAAUAAAACAACAUAAAUAAAUGCUAUUAAUGUUAAAGAAAAAGUUAAAAUUUAGUAAAUAGAAAAUGCAAAGUGUAGUUGACUAGUAGUAGCACACAAAUGCAGCAUAUCAUCUAUUUGAAGCUUAUUAAAACCCACUUUAAAAAUUACAUCAUGAAUAUUACCAUAUGCUUGCAAAUGCAUAAUCAACCGUAACAUAAGCUAAAACCAUAUGCUUGCAAAAUACCCAAAAUGGUGUUGGAAAAUUUAUUCUCGAUUUUAUGUUUCACAGUUCCAUAAACAUUAUCAAAGAUGUGUCAAUGAACAAAUAAUGAAGCAUAAACUUGACAUUUACAAACAACUCACCAUAAUAUCAAUACGCUCUAAAUGGAGCAAAAAAAAAAAAAGCUUGAUUCAAAACUAACCUAUAAUUAAUUUCAACAUACCGAUUCAAAUCUUUCGAGCAUCGGUGAAAUUCAGAGCGGGACAUGAUGCAGAUUUAGUGUUUCUUCUUCACUUCACCCAAAUAAUAGAUACUGCUUUGCUAGAAAUUAAAAAAAAAUUUGCCUUCUCAACAGAGCUUUCGUCGUCUGAGCUUCAUGAAACUCAGCUUCAUGAAAGAGAAACGUGCAGUUUCAGAGAAAAGAGAAAAAGUUUUAAGCUUUGAUUCUUUUACAGUUUUUUAUUUAUAUCAAUUAUCACAAGGCACGAUUUUUUUCACAAUGAUUUGACAAUUCACUGGGCUCAUGUCAACUAAAAUGUGUAAAAGUUAGCUUGUCAAAUUAAAUUACUAAAUUGCCCAUAACUAACCAUAUGAGAUUUACCGUUUGCAUUCCGUAAGGGGGUUUUUACUAAUAAAUGAAUCUUGGCCAUCUAAGUGCAAAAGACCCAAAGCUCAAGGGAGGAAAGUAAAAAUUACCCUUACUAUUUCUCGUUGCACUUAUAAAGAAACCAAAGCUUUAAGAGAAAUCGGCCAAAUCAUGAAGAUUGAAGAGUAAAUCUAUGGUUUUAUAUUUAUAUUUUUAUUUUUAGAUAAUAGAUAUUAUUUUGAUGAAUUUUUAAUAUUAGAAUAAUGUUAGGAAUUUCGAUAGUAGAAUUCUAACUUGAGACCCAAUUGUUAUGUGUCAUUUUUUUAUUAGAUAAUAAAUUUCAUAAUUAGUAAAAUUAAUAUUUCAAUCAUCUAAUAAAUGACUAUCAUAUCAGUUGAGACUUAAUUAUUGGGAUCCUUAACAUUGCUCUUAGUAUUAAAUUGGACAUCUUAGCUAAAUCAGAUUAAAAAUCAAAUUAGAUUUUUGGCUUUUAUCCAACAUUUGUUUUUUGGUCUCUUUGUAGUGAACGAAAUAAAAAUACAACAGGUUCAACGACUGGGCAAUUGAUAGUCAAGUAGAAGCAAAUCAAGGCUAAAUGGGAAAGAAAAAUGAUAUGUGUACAAAACAAGGAGAAAAUCCGUGUAACUGAAGAGAAUCAAAGUGCUUUUGAGAUUAGAAAUUGAAGCAAGAAAAGGGUCGCUUGAUCCAUUGAAAAUGCUAAGAGCCAAUGGCAAAAGAGAACAAUGUUAAAUAAGAAAACAGCUAGCGCUAGCAGCGACCACAAUAGACAGAAAAGUUGAGAUGGAUUUACAAUAUUUCUGCCUUUCUUCAUGCUUUAACAAAUAUUGCUCUAUAAAAAAAAAUAUUGAGCGUUUUUAUUAUUGGAGUCACAAAAGACCUACACAAUAUAGCAAGUGCUAGGAAUAAAUAAGAAUAUAUAACUCUCUCUCUAAUUCUCACUCUAGCUUUUAAUUGUCAUUCAAAACCCAAAAUUCAUCCUUAAAGUGUAAGCAAAUCAAAGAUGACAGCGUCUGGUUGUCAUACGUGCCUUUUAGUUUUCGGAUGACAUGGCGUACACUUCUUCUGUAAACCGAACAUGACAUGUCGUACUCUUUGUUUUGAGAUCAUAUUUCAAACUCUUCAUGCUAUGAAUGUAAGAUAAACUACAAUCAUCAAAAUAUUUAGUGUUUAUUUGGUAAUGUAACGUCAUAGUUGUUGUGAAUUGAAAUUAUUUCUGUGAGAUAAAAGGAUUUGGGUCAUUGUUUGUUAUUCUCUGGCAAUAUUGUCUGGCCGUGACUAUUUGUUAAAUAUUAAAAAAAUAAAAUUAUAUUUAUUAAGUAUAAAAAAUAAAUAAACAAACAAAAAUAAAAGGAAAAGUUUAUACAUUACAUAAAAUAAUAAGAACAUUAUCAAUAUUUCACACUCUAUAAUUGAGUGAUGUGUUGUCCAACUGCCAUACAUUGGUCUCAAAUGGAGACUUAAAUAUUAAAGUCCAAAGUUAUUGUGAUGAUGACUUAUAAUCGCCAAACUUGACAUACGGGUAAUCAUGCAUUAUAAGGUGCUGAUUUCUUCCGAUCGGAACCUUAUUUUUCAUUUACAAAUAAAUAAAUGACGUGACUUAACGGGUGGUGGGGUCCUUUGUGCCAUUUGCGUAUUUCACUGAAUAGUUGAUUCAACUUGAUUGUAGCAGGAAGAUUCCUGGAAGUUGCCAUUUGCCAAUGCUACUAACAUUUUUAAACUUAGAAAACCCUUCAAUCAAUCAUUUAGUGGUAGGCUCUGGUAGCUUGCUUUGAUUAUGACAUAUGAUUAUUUGAUAAUAAAGUUAGAGGAUGUAUUAAUAUAAAAUUUGUUUAUUGGUGUUGAAGUUAAUUAUCUCAUUAAUAAUAGUAUAAAAAGUUAAUCACUAAGAAACACAUAGCAAUAUUCUGGGAUAUAAUUUUAUAUCAUAACUUUGUAAGUGUAUAAUUACUCAUUAAAUUAACAAAAUUAUUUUAAAAUAUUUAGUUAAAAAAAUAAAUUAUAUUCUUUUUAUUUCAAAUAAUCUAUAAGUUAACACAAAACAUAAUCAAGCUGAGAAUUAAAAUAAUGCUACUGUAUGAGAGGAUUUUUAUUUUUUCCCGAAGUUUCACUAGGAAAUUAUUGAUAUAUAGCUUUAUUCGGAUCAUCUCAGAUCAAACGACAAAUAAUUGAAAGACUAAACUAAAUAGACCAGCCAACAACUUUGUACAGCAGAGUUCAAAAAUUAAGGUCAUGGUAUUGAGGUGUUCUAUCUUCAAAAGUACGGUAUAGUGAUAAAAUAAAAACUAUUAGUCUUUGGUAAGAUAUGACUUUUAAAUAAUAAUUUUCACAAAAAUACAAAGAAUAUUUAUAAAGUACUUCUAUAGUGAGGAGACCCUCGCUUUGUUAAAGUGAAAAUAUCAAUAAUAUACAAGAAACAUAUAUUUUAACACAUUAAGAAUUGUAUCUUUUUAAUCUAUUGGUGUAUUGAAAUAUGUGUUAUUUAGUUUGUUAGUGAUAUCAUCACUUUGUUAAAAUAAGGAUGUCAGAACCAUUAUAUAUAAGAAAGCAAAUAUAUUUUGUACGGUAUAAUAGUGUAAUAACAUCACCCGAGUAUAUCAUAUAGAGUAAUAGUUUUUGGAACUUUAAUAAAGUUCAAGAUUAUAGAAUGAAUGAUUUAUAUAUAUUUUAAAUUUUUUAUCAUAAAGUGGAGGACAAAAGUAACAUAUUUUUCAAAUUAUAAUAAGUAUUUAUCAAAUAAUUUAACAUCGUAAUUUCUCCUAACUAGUGUAGUAAAUACGACCUAGGAGGUACAUUCAAAGCAUUUCAUAAGUUAAUUGUUAAUAAUAAAUGAUACAUGCAGCUCCAAUCAUCAUUGUACGGUGAGUAAUUUCCAGUUAUAAAUAGAUAUUACUCCCUUCCCAGCAAUUUUUGAUGGCUUAAUUUAGUGGGAUCAAAAUCAACAUUGAAUGUCAAAAUAUUAAUGGCCAUGAUGCUUAUUCCAAUGUGAGUAGAUCACAGUGGGUACUGCACAUGAUGCUUGUUUCUCCUUUUGCAUCUAUUUUUGUUGUUAACAUUAAUUUCAAUACCAGCUCGUUAUGUAUGCAACAUUUCAAAAUUAAUCCAAAAGAACAAAAAUUAGUUCAGCUGACUAAAUUUGAAAGCAUGUAUUUGCUGUCGAUUAAAAAUCGUUUUGUAGGGAAAAUUUUUGGAUUGCAAUUCUCAUACAAUACGUAAAAUUAUCAUAAUCUAUAAAUUGUAUUUUUGAUUUUCUGUGGUAGUAAGUUAGACUCCUUAGUGACGAUUUAAAUUGAAAAAAUAAAAUCAUAAAUAAGAAUUAUUUGACAAGAAUUAAAAUAAUUGAUAAAUAUUUGAGAGGAGCAAUUUUGGAAGAUUCGAUUUCUAAUCGGAGGGGAAUUUGAAUUUUACAGCCUUCGGUGAGGAAUCCAAAAUGCACAAUUUGAUGAAAAUUAAAUUUCAAUAGAAAUUGAAUUCCCUUUAUUAGUGAAAACCAAACAACAGAAAAGUGAAAGGAAUUUGAAUUCAUUUCCUUCCUCUCUUCUCCCUCCAACUAAAUACCAUCGAAAUCCAAAGGUAUGGGAUUGGGAUUCCAUACUGAUCAGAAUGGGAUUUGUUCAUAUUAUUAGGACCAAUUUUAAAAGCAGUCGGAGUUUCGGAGUUUAAGAUUGAAAUUAAUCCCAAUUGUUGAUUUGGGACUCGAUAAGAAUUUAUCUUGGAACUCCAAUUCUCCCAAUUAUUUUAGUUGACAAUAUGUUUAACAUUAUUUUUUAAACAUUAUUAAUUGCAUAUUAUUUAAUUAUCAGUAUAUAAUAUUCUUUAAUUUUCUAAUUUUAUAGGAUUAGACACAAAAUUGAUUAUGCCUUUUGAAAUUUAAGUGUUAUGUCAAUUGAAUAGAAAACUUGGAGUAAAACUUUUGGAUGCUUUUGUUGAUUAUCAAUUUAUGCAUGAAUUUUUGUACGUUUAUUUUGGUUUCUUAUUAUUACUUUUAAACAUUUUUAUUGGUUUGAUUUAGGGUUAGUUUGGUAAUCCUGUAUCUUUAAAAUUAAUUACAGUUAGCUAUGCUGUAGAAAUUGAUAAAUCGUGAAAAGAAUCAACCGAACAUUUAGGUGGCGUUUGUUUUUUUGUCUGAAAUCUGAAUAGACCUGAAUUAGUCUGAAUUCUGAAUAGGUCUGAAUGUCUGAAUCUGAAUAAUAUGUUUGUUUUUUCGUCUGAAUCUCGGAAAAUAAGUAUUAAGUUGUUUGUUUUUUUCAACUUAAAAAGCUGAAAAUAUGUACUUUUACAUUUGUAUCCUUAUUAAAUUUGAAUGUCAAAUAAAUAAUAUAUUAAAUACCAUAAUAUUUUAACAUUUAUAAGUAAAACUAUAUUCAAGUGAAUACAUAAUUAUUUUGGAAUUUUAAUAUAUAAAAUACCAUAAAUUUCAAAUUUUAUUGUAUAUAAUAUAAGAAAGAAAAAAUAGGGAUAUUUUUAUGUGAGGUAAAUAUCUAUGGGUGAGUUUUGGGAUAGACAUGAAAAAUAAAUUAUAAAACAGGGAUAUUUUUUACAUUAGCAAGCAAUUGACUUAAUUCAUAUUUCUCCAUUAAGUAAAAAGCCAAAAAAAUUAGCUUAUUUUAUUAAGUCAAAAUUAUCUAAAAAGUCUCAUUAAGUUAUAAAAACAAACACGUCUAAUUAACUUAAUUAAUUAAGUUAAGUCACUUUAAGUCAUUAAGUUAAAAAACAAACACCACCUUAGUAAAUUUUAUUUUAAAAAGUACAUUUAGUUUUAAAAUCAGUCGUAUGUGUUUCAUAAAUCUUAUUGUUAAAUCAGUGCAAGAAUGUAAAUGACUGAAUCAGACAUAAUGCUAAAUAAAAUUUAUUUAGACAUUUACAAACACGUAUAUAAAAUAUUUUUAUUACGUACAUAUAAUUAUUGAUAACUAAAAUAAAUAUUUUAUAUUAUUAAAUUUUAUUCUCUAUUUUGUUAUGUCCAUAUAAUUGGUAAUAAUAAUAAUUUCUUUAAAGUUUUGUAGGGAAAAUUUUUAGAUUGCAAUUCUCAUACAAUACAUGGAAUUAUCAUAAUCUAUAAAUUGUAUUUUUGCUUUUCUGUGGUAGUAAGUCAGGCUCCUUAGUGACAAUUUAAAUUGAAAAAAUAAAAUCAUAAAUAAGAAUUAUUUGAUAAGAAUUAAAAUAAUUGAUAAAUAUUUGAGAGGAGCAAUUUUGGAAGAUUCGAUUUCUAAUAGGAGGGGAAUUUGAAUUUUACAGCCUUCGGUGGGGAAUCCAAAAUGCACAAUUUGAUGAAAAUUAAAUUUAAAUAGAAAUUAAAUUCCCAUAUAUUAGUGAAAACCAAACAACAGAAAAGUGAAAGGAGUUUGAAUUUCAGGGUCCAACUACAAUACCUGUGGGGUUUGGUACCCUAUUUUUUGUCUUUUUCAAACCUACCGUUGGAUUUAAUGUAAGAAUUGCGUAAUGGCUGAGAUGUGAUUAUUGGGUUAUUAACAUCAAAGACCCUUAUUGUUCAUGCAAAAUAAACAAAAUCAAAAGUUUUGAAAUUUGACAUAUAAGUCCAUAAUAUUCUCUCUUUUUUUUUUAACUCCAUUGAAAUAGGUUUCCAAUUAAAUGACUUAUUCUUACAUUUAUUAAUAUCUAUUUAAAUUAAUUAAUUAAUUAAUUAAUUAAUUAACUACUUUGUUAUAUAGUUAAACAAUGCAUGUAUAUUAUUUACUAACCAUAAUUAGUGAUAAGUAUAAAUAUGAUCUUUUUUUUUUAAUUUAACAUAAUGGCAACCAAUUAUCUCUCACCUAUGUGAACAAGGUUCAAAACCCAUAAUUUUGUUUUUCAACACAAGAGAUUUUAUUAUCUCAAGUAGAUGAAAUAUACAAAAUACAAAAAUAAACUUAAUUUCAUAUUCUAUGUAGUUAAUUUUUUUUGUAACAUAAUAUUUAUUAAACAUACUAUCAACUAUUUAAUUAUAUAGUAAAAAUAUGUUAAUUUACUAAUAAUAAUAAAAUGUUAGUUUAUUAACUUGUAAAAUCUUUUUGUUAACAAUGAGUUUUUGUCCUUAAAUAAAUAAUAAUAAUUUAAUUGCACGCUUAAAUAAAUUGGUAUUUGUUACUCCACCCCAACUAUUUAAAUAGUCAUUAACUUAUCGGAGAGAAGGGUAAAAAAAUUCUAAACAAUUACUCUAUUUGAAAAUAAUUUAAAUAUUUCUUUAAAAAAAACUAAAAAUAAGUAUUUUCUAUUCUUUCUUCUUUCUUGCUAACAUCACAGAUGGAUAACAAUAGAGAUGGCAAUUCAACACAUAUCUAUCAAUUAAAAUAGAAGUCAAUUAAUAUAAUUAAGUGAAUAAUUAAUUGUGUCAUGAAUGAAUUAUCAUAUUAGGAGUUUUAAAACCAAACCCAAUAGAAUUAUUAAUCAAGUUAACAGCUAGAAAGAGCAAACAAAUCCAUUCAAGUUGGAUGUCUAAGUAUCUGAUCUGAAUAGAUUGGAUAGUAUCCAUAUAAAAUACUCUGAAUUUGAUUUAUUCAAUAUCCAUCCAUGAACUUGAAUAUUAGUAAUAUUUAAGUGUAUGAGACUAAAAUUAAGUAUUAUAUUUAAUAUUUAAGUUUUGUAAAUCAAAUGAAAAAUCAAAAUAAUAUUGCUAAAAAUUAUUGCACCACCAAUGACAACAAUGACGGUAUCAUCACUAAGAAAUAGACGUGAGUGAACAGAAAAACAAAAAACUAUCAACGUAUUCAAAAUUCUCUGAUCAAUGUAAUGGUGGCAAUGUUGCCGGAUAAAUAGAUAUGUCGGCGAUAGAUGAGCCUUCCAAUGCAAACAACUAUAACAAGACCCUAUGAUUAGAUGACAUUUUAACGCAGGGCGGAAGCGAUACUAGAUUUCGUUCUAUUAUACGUCUUGAAAACUCAAGAAAGAGACUCUCAUCAAAGAGAAGAUAUUUUAAUUGAGAAAAAACUGAAUAUUAUUAAUGAGAAGCUUGUGUCUGUUAUCAUAAAUUAAGAAUAAAAAGCCUAUAUAUAUAAUAGUAGCUAAAUUAAUCCUUAUCUUUCUCAAAUAAGAGAAAUAAUCUAAAAUCCUAAUUAGAUUAGAAUUACAAAUAUGACUCAAGUAAGCUUAAUAAAAUAAGAUAAAUCCUAAUAAAAUACCAAAUUUUAAAUUGACCCAAAUAUUAUAAUUCCUAGUAAAUUCUAAUUUAUUUAUUUUUUUAUAAGUUUGUUUGGUUUUUGGGUGUUUUUUAAAGAACAGAAAAUUAUAGGUAAUAGUAUAAGUAUAGAAAAGUAAAGGGGCAAAAUUAUAAAUAGGCAAAAGUUGGUGUUGCCAGCGACGAUGGUCGAAAAUUUGGCCUAGGAUAGGUGGAUCUAGAAGAUUUGAUGGUGUUGAGUGUGAUGCUGGUGGUGAUUUGUCUCAAAUAGUUGUGAUUUGACUGAAAAGUUGAGUUAAAGUAGUGGGUGGAGGUUGGUUUCAGUUUCUGGCGAUCCGGCCGAGGGUUGGCAGCGUGAGUGGGUUGAAAAGAAAGAGCUGAUGAUCGUGGACGAAUGGGUGGUGGUGGAGGCUGUGAAUCGUAACGGAUUGCAGUGAAUAGAGAGGUGGAUUUUCGUGGUGGUUCAGCGGUUGUUUUGGCUAGUUUCCCGUGGCUACGGUGACGGGAUGGUGGUGUUAUGGGUUGGGUUAUGAUUGGCGACGUGAGGGCUUUUGGAUGGGAGAGAGGAUCGACCAAAAAGAAGAGAAACCAGUGGCGGCGGCAGCCGUGUGGCACGGAUGUGAUGGUAGCUUCGGGUUUUGUUGGGUUUUUUUUUUUAACUUGAUGGAACUAAUGUACGAAGUUGGUGGUCGAGAAUGCUCUGCCUAGUGCAGAAAAAAGCUCUAAUAUGAUUUAUGUCUUGAAAACUUUAAAAAGAUGCUCUCACCAAGGAGAAGAUAUCUCAAUUAUGAAAAAAUUAAAAAUUAUUAAUAAGAAGUUUGUGUCUGUUAUCAUAAAUUAAGAAUAACAAGUUUAUAUAUAUAAUAGUAGCUAAUCUUUCUCAAAUAAGAGAAAUAAUCUGAAAUCCUAAUUAGGUUAGAAUUACAAAUAUGACUCAAGUAAGCUUAAUAAAUAAGAUAAAUUUUAAUAAAAUAUUAAAUUUUAAAUUGACCCAAAUAUUAUAAUUUCUAGUAAAUUCUAAUUCAUUUUAUCUAAUAUGCUUCCUACAUCACGUUUUAAGGUUCAUUGCCUUUAACAACCAAAUUGAGGGUCUCUAAAUUUAAAAAAAAAAAGAAAAGAAAAGAAAAGGUGGUAGUGUAAUGUAACUCCUUGUGUUUUUGUGGUAUAGUUAUUGUUGCAGUUAUUUUAGAAGGAGCAUGCAACUUUACAUAUCACCAUUUGCUAGCAUUGAGACUAUCUUUAUGUAAAUCAUCCAAUUUCAAAUAUAAUGGAACCCUUCAUGUCCCCUUUCGAUUAAAAAUAUCAUUGCACGCGAAGAAACAGUAGUCACUAGUGAUUGUUUUAAUACAAAAUAUCUUUUUAUAAUUAAUUAAAAAAUAAGAAUAAAAAAUUUAUUUUAUUAUUCUGUUUCUAUAUGGAAAAUAAUUUUAAUUACCUUUUAAUUAAAAUGGGUGAGAAAAAUGAUGUCAUUGAUGGUGCAAAAUGGAUGAGAAAAAUGAUACUGUGUUGGUGUAGGACUAAUGCGUAAAAUUUUAAAAAUUUUCAACAUUUUCAUUUUUAUAACAAAUACCAGGACACUAUUAUAAUUGACCUUUAAAAAGACAAAAGAGAGGGGUACCAAAGGCAUGUUGCAAUGUAGCUUUGCCCUUGAAUUCAUUAAUUUUCUAAUUUUAUAGGAUUAGACACAAAAUUGAUUAUGCCUUUUGAAAUUUAAGGGUUAUGUCAAUUGAACAGAAAACUUGGAGUUAAACUUUUGGUUGUUUUUGUUGAUUAUCAAUUUAUGCAUGAAUGUUUGUACAUUUACUUUGGUUUAUUAUUAUUACUUUUAAACAUUUUUAUUGGUUUGAUUUAGGGUCAGUUUGGUAAUUUUAUUUUUAAAAUAAUUACAGUUAGUUAUGCUGUAGAAAUUGAUCAAUUGUGAAGAGAAUCAGCUGAACAUUUAGUAAAAUUUAUUUUUAAAAGUACUUUUAGUUUUAAAAGCAGACGUAUGUGUUUCGUAAAUUUUAUUAUUAAACUGGUGAAAAAAUAUAAAUGACUGAAUUGAACAUAAUGCUAAAUAAAAUUUAUUUACACAUUUACAAACAUGUAUAUAAAAUAUUUUUAUUAUGUAUAUAUAAUUAUUGAUAACUAAAAUAAAUAUUUUAUAUUAUUAAAUUUUAUUCUCUAUUUUGUUAUCUCAAUAUAAUUGGUAAUAAUAAUAAUAAUCUAUUUUAAGUUAAUGAUUUUAUUUCUUAAUUCAUAAAGAUAAUUUUGGAUUUUUAUUAUAUAAUGAGGAUAUAUAUAGAAUUGGAUUAAGUAUAAAAGUAAUUCUCAAAAUCAAAUUUUGAAAAACUAUUCAUUCACUACUUUUCAAAAUCUACUGUAUGAUGAGAUGAUUUUACCGAAAGUAAUUACUAAAAAAAUUUAUAAAACACUAAAACUUAGCUUUUAUGGUAUGUUUACUUCAUGGAAUGAGGAAUGUGAAUGAAAGAAUGAGAAUGAAACCCAUGUUUACUUGGCAAAAUAUAAUUUGGGAAUGAGAAUAAAAUGUGUGGAUCUCACACAAUUUGAGAAUAAGGAAUGGGAAUCCCAAGCCCAUGAGGGGUUGGGAAUAAAAAUGAGGGAAUGAGAAUGAAAUAUAUAUUUACUUUUGUAUCCCUCUAAUUUUUUCAUAUUUCCUAAAUUACCCUCAUUCAAAUCACAAUUAAUUUUAUUAUUUAAAAUUUCAUUAAUAAUAAUAAUAAUAUUAUUAUUAAAUUUUAUUAACUUUAUUAUUUUAGUUAUUAUUAAUUAUUUUUAUUAAUAUUAUUAUUAUUAACAAUAAAAAUAAUGAUAAAAAUAAUAAUUAAUAAAAAAUAAUUAAUUUAUCAUUAUUAACAAUAUUAUCAUUAUCAUUAUUAACAAUAUUAUCAUUAUUUUUGUUAUUAUUAUUAUUAUUAUUAAAAAUAAUAAUAACAAUAAGUAAUAAUAACUAAAAUAAUAAAGUUAAUAAAAUUUAAUAAUAAUAAUAAUAAUAAUAAUAAUAAUAAUGUAAUUUUCAUUAUCUAGAUACAUUAUCUAGAUACAUGUAUAAAUAUUAUUAUUAAAAUGAUAUUAAUUAAAAUAAUAAUAAUAAUAAAAUUUAAUAAUGAUAAUAUUAAUAAAAAUUAAUAGUAACUAAAGUAAUAAAGUUAAUAAAAUUUAAUAAUAAUAAUAAUAAUAAUAAUAAUAAUAAAUGUUAAUAAUGAUAAUAUUAAUGAAAAUAAUAUUAACAGUAAUUAAUAAUAACUAAAAUAAUAAAGUUAAUAAAAUAUAAUAAUAUUAAUAAUAAUAAUAAAUGUUAAUAAUGAUAAUAUUAAUAAAAAUAAUAUUAACAAUAAUUAAUAAUAACUAAAAUAAUAGAGUUAAUAAAAUUUAAUAAUAUUUUAUUAACUCUAUUAUUUUAGUUAUUAUUAAUUAUUGUUAAUAUUAUUUUUAAUAGUAAUAAUAGUAAUAAUAACAACAAUAAUGAUAAAUUAAUUAUUUUUAUUAAUUAUUAAUACUAUGGGUAUUAUGGUAAAUUGAUUCUCAUUCUCAUUUAUUUUGCCAAGUAAACACAUCAAUUGCAUUCCAGCACAUUCCCAUUCCCAUUUAUUUUUGCCAAGUAAACAUUGAAAUCUCAUUCCCAUUCCUCAUUUCCUUUCCAGUCCAUUCCCAUUCCACCUCAUUCUUAUUCCAAGAAGUAAACGCACCAUUAAUAUUUAAAAUCACUUUUGAGAUUCCCAAAAACAAUCCUAACAUGCCUUUAUUUGGGUGGUGUUAGAACUUUUAGUUUUUAAAUUUAUAAAACAUUAAAAAUUAGCUUUUAGUUUUUAAAAUCACUUUUGAGCUUCCCAAAAACAAUCCUAACAUGCCUUUAUUUGGGUGGUGUUAGAACUUUUAGUUUUUAAAUUUAUAAAACAUUAAAAAUUAGCUUUUAGUUUUUAAAAUCACUUUUGAGCUUCCCAAAAACAAUCCUAACAUGCCUUUAUUUGGGUGGUGUUAGAACUUGUAACUUUUGGAUCUUUUAGUUUUUAUUGGUUGGAUACAAUAUUGUGACUUGAGCGUCGGAGGGUUUUCACCGGAAAAAAUUCUAGCGCCCCCUGACUGUUCUUUGUGCUUGCAUGCUCGCGGGUUAUCUGCUCAUGGAUCAUCUGCUCAUAGAACAUCUGCUCACGGUGCUCACUGAUCAGCAGCUCGUGGAUUAUCUGCUCAUGGUGCUCACUAAUCAGCAGCUCAUAGAUUAUCGGCUCAUGAAUUAUCUGCUCAUGGUUAGAGGAUUUUCUUGAAGAUUAAUAAGCCGCUUCUUCACCAAACAAAUUUAUUGUUGAUGCGGGGAUGUGGUUUUGAGUCAACAACCAACUCAACCAGAUUUCUGCAUCAACAUAAAAUAUUAAUCAGCUUAAUUAAUUUAUAAAAUUUAAAUCUAAUUAAUAAGUGACACAUAAAUGCCAAGUGCAAUAUAUGCAAAUCAUGUUUGUCGAUCAUUACAAAACUGGCUCUUGAAAACAAGCAAGAAAGCUUAAUUAAGAACUUAAAACAAAAAGAAUUAGAUUGAGGACAGUCAAGCCUUAUUUUUUCAAGGAUGGAGCUUAUAAAUCUUCAAGUACCAACAUAUGCUUGGCCCAAUUGUUGUUAUUAAAAUUUCAAAAUAUAAGUAUGACAUAGCAAAAAUUUGAUGGUACAUGUGUCGGAAUAUACUAGCUAGUUCAUGGAUGCAUUUGAUUAUUGUUUCCAUAAAUUUGAACCAAGAAGGAUGACACAAUAAAAUUUGAUUUUAUUAUAUGGUUGAUUUCAUAUCUCAUGCACUCAUUUCUUAAGAUAAUCAGAUUUUCUCUGACAUCUUUUGCAAAUGUGGAAAUAUCAAUUAUGAUCAAUCAAAACGAUCUCAAAACCUUUCAACGAGACAUAUUCAUAAUACAAUAUUGUGAAAAUUACACCAAAAAUUUGAUUUAUUAUAUAUUAUUAUCCAACGAGCACACAAAAAUGAAUUCAUACAAAUCUAAAAUACUUAGCAAUUUUCAAAUAGAAUUUACCAUGUACUACAAGAAAAUAUGGUAUAUGUGACCCCUAAUGCGAAUGCAAAAGCAGCCAUUACGUAUAUCACUAACUUCUUUGUAGCCCCGAGUUGCUUUUGUUACCCUUUAUGUGACAGCCACACUGCUGUCACAUAUGUUACUAACCACGUGACGGUAAAGAGCCGUUCGGUAUACUACUAUUUUAGAAUUUUAAAUUUAUUUCCAGUUAGAAAACUAUUCGCUGGACUCCAUCGUAAACCUAACUGGUUGCCGGCGAACGGCGUAAAACACCGGGCAUCUUCUUCUUCAUCGUAUUCUCCCUUCAUCUUUUGAGUUAAGCUUGUGAUUAUGAGUUUCUUCUCUUACUUAGCUUGUAAUUAUAGAUUUUGAUUCUUUUUAAUUCGUAUUGUAGUCGUUAUUGUCAAUUUUUGUCUCGCCAGCAAUUGUUUUUAUUCCUACAAGUUGAAGCCCCUGUGUUCUUGUUCCAUUGGUGUGUUUGCUCACUCAAAUUAAUUUUGUUCUACAAAGUUCAAAUGGAUUCAUUUGAAUUACUAUUGAAUUUAGCUUUAAUUCCAACAUCCAUUCUAAUGUUUUGCUAUUAGAUUUACUUUAAUUUUAUGUUUAAAGCUUCUACAAUGAAUAGCGGAGCUUGGGUUUUAGUUUCAUUUUCUAGAUAACUUGUUUAUCUUGUAUGCUCACCAAGUGCAUGUUAUAUUGUCUGAUAAGUUAUAUAUAUUGCUGAUUCUAUAUUAAUAAUGUUACGUUCUAUUUUCAGAAAUUAUAAUAUAAACUGAAUUAACUUGUAGAAUAAGAGCUUGGAGUAGUGUUAUGUUCUUGAAUAAAUGAAAGUCCAUAUUGUGUAAGAGCAUGUAGAUGUAAAGCGUCAUUGCCAUUUCUAUAAAGGUUCUGUUCAGAUGCUCCUCUUGAACUCUGAAAGGUGCCUCAUUCAAGUCCUAGCUAUAACUACUAGCUUUGAUUAAUUAAUUUCCUGUACUAGCAGAAACAGAUUUAUUUAUUUAAAUAAUUGUCUAUGUACUAAUUAUAAUGAAAGUAUAUGAAGAAAUUUUUUAACAUGAAUGACUUCUAAAUGACUUAAAAACCUAAAGGAUAUGAGAAAUAAUGCUCAUUUCACUUGAACGAGCCUAUUAAUACUUGUAUGUCUAUGAUUGUUAAUAUUGGCUUAAGCAUUUCAGUUAAAUGGUUUACAUAACAGGGAAAAAAAUUUAAAUGAAAACUUUAGAGUUCUAACAGAAAUAUAAUUGACUAUGCAGAUAUAGUUAUUUUAUGGUAUACAAAUCAUGUUGCCUUAAUCUCAAUGUCCUAUGACCUAUUUUAUUUUAUAUAGUCAUUCAUUUUUGCCAUGGCUUUUUGUUUUUAUGAGUAUGGAAAUAGUGGGAUUUGGUGUAUCUUAGCAUCUUUGGAAAAUUCUCUUUAAAUGUGGCAAACAAAAAUAUACAUAUAAUCAAGUUUCUUAAUCAACUAUCAUAACUGGCUAGCUAGUUCUUGCCUGCCUUGCUGCCAUUACCCAGGCCAUUACAUUGCAUAGCAUAAGGAAUAGUGAUUAGGUGCUUAUUAGUGAUUCGUUGAGCUUAUUAUUGACAAACCAACAUAUUCGCCUUUACCCACAACUUAGUUUGAUUAGUUAUUGUUGUGUAAUAGACCAAGUUCGUAACCCAACUGAAGCAAUUAAUCAGAUUUACAAAACAAGCAAGAACCCAGAAAACGAACCAGGGGAUACAGUCAAGUAACCAAGAACAAGAAAGAAAACUUAAUCAAGAGAUACAAAACAGAGGUUAACGUGGUUCAGUACCAUGAGUACUUACAUCCACGAUCAGGAACAGUAGAGCUAAAGCUUUAUUAGGAGAUAUCAAGAUUACAAUGGAAUCCACUCAGAGCAAGAAACUAAACUCACACAGAGAAUCUUUCUCAACUCACAAACUAUCUCACUUGACUAACUGAUCAGCUCUCUCUCUCACUGAAGCUAUAAAGCUAGCAGUUUACAGCUGGUUAUAACGACUAACUAAAACCACCUGGGGACCCACCCAUGCUGACUCAGCUUUCCAGCUCAGCUAAUAUAUAUAACCGAAUGUAACUAACUUGAUUCCACAAAUCUCCACCUUAGUUAACUCGGUUAUGGCUUUACUCAUCACUGCUCCAUCACCAGUUAACUUGUCUCACAAGUUAAUAACCCCAAUCAAGUCCAAGGAGUUCCUGAACUUAACUGUUGGCAAAGGUUUUGUUAGCAUGUCUGCUGGAUUUACUUCAGUAGGAAUUUUAAUGACAUUGAUUACACCAUUUCGAAUUUCUUCCCUGAUAAAGUGCAUCCUCACAUCCACAUGUUUUGUUCUUUCAUGGUACUUGGGGUUUUUGCUCAACUGUAUAGCACUUGAGCUAUCACAAUUGACAGUGACUGAUUCUUGUUCCAAACCCAGUUUUGUAACUAACCCCUUCAACCAUAAUGCUUCUUUCACAGCCUCUGUUAAAGCAAUAUACUCUACCUCUGUUGUUGAGAGAGCAAUUACUGAUUGUAAUGUUGACUUCCAGCUCACAGCUCCACCACAGAGAGUAAACACAAGACUAGUGACUGACCUUCUCCUAUCUAAAUCUCCUGCAAAGUCAGAAUCAACAGAUCCCACAACUUGGCUAGAUGCAUUACUAACUUGUCCAAACAUUACUCCAUACUCUUCAGUACUUUUAAGAUACCUUAGUAGCCAUUUAACAGCUUCCCAAUGUUCCUUGCUGGAUUCCCCAUGAACCUGCUGACAAGACCAAUUCCAUAGGCAACAUCUGGUCUGGUACAGACCAUAGCAUACAUAAUGCUACCAACUGCACUGGAGUAGGAAUUCUCCUCAUGAGAUCAAUGUCUGCUUCUUCUCCUGGUUCCUGCUGUUUAGAAAGUUUGAAGUGUGCUGCUACUGGGGUAGUGACAGGCUUUGAGUUCACCAUCCCAAAUCUACUGACAACCUUUUUCAAAUAUCCAGAUUGUGUGAGAAAUAGAGUCUUGGCAUGUCUAUCCCUUUUGAUUUGCAUUCCCAGUAUCUUAGCAGCAGGACCCAAAUCCUUUAUUUCAAACACUGCCAUUAGCUCAGUCUUGAGCUUCUCAACUUCUGCUCUAUGUUUACAUGCUAUAAGCAUGUCAUCAACAUAGAGGAGUAGACUGAUUUGAUCACCUAAGUUCAGCUUCCUGAAGUAAACACAAUUGUCAUAUUCACUUCUGCUGAAGUUGUGAUUCAGCAUGAACUCAUCAAACUUUAAGUACCAUUGCCGAGGAGAUUGCUUCAAUCCAUACAAGCUUUUCUUGAGUAAGCAAACCAUGUCUUCAGUUCCUUCCUCAAUAAAGCCUUCUGGCUGAGCCAUCAGGAUUUCUUCUUCUAAGUUUCCAUGUAAAAAAGCAGUCUUCACAUCCAUCUGGUCCAAUUCUAAAUCAAAGUAGGCUGUGAUGGCUAAUAGAACCCUUAUAGAGGAAUGUUUCACAACAGGUGAGAAGACUUCAUUGAAGUCUAUCCCUUCCUUUUGUGUGAACCCCUUUGCCACAAGCCUGGCUUUAUACCUCACUGAUUUACUUCCAGCAACUCCCUCCUUGAGUUUAAAGAUCCAUUUGCAGCCCACCAAUCUUCUUCCAGCAGGCCUCUGAACUAGCACCCAAGUGUUAUUGUCUUUCAGUGAUGCCAUUUCUUCUUUCAUAGCACUCAGCCAUUUUAGCUUAUCUCUGCUAUUUAUAGCCUGCUUGUAGCUUUUAGGUUCUUCUCCAGUCAUCUCAUUAGCAACCAUUAGUGCAUAGGAUAUUAAGUCAGCAAUCCCAUAUCUUUUGGGCAGUUUAACUACCCUCCUUUCUCUAUCCCUCGCAAGCUGAUAGUUAUCAAGUUCUGAUGUUGUAGUACUUUCUUGAUGGUGCUCAGUCAUCUCUUUACUUACUUCCAAAUUGUCUCUGGACUCCACCUUCAACUUAGAUCUCUUUUGAGGUUCAGAUAUUUCAACUUCUGUUCCAACCUUCUGCUGCAACAUAGCUUCCUCAUUAAACACUACAUCUCUACUAAUCAAGGUUCUGGAUGGCUUGCCAUCAAUGCACCAGAUUUUGUACCCCUUUAUGCCUUCAGGAUACCCAAUGAAGUAUCCUUUCACAGCCCUUGGUUCUAGCUUGCCCUGACUUAUAUGAGCAUAAGCUGGGCAGCCAAACACCCUGAGAUUACCAAGAUUUGGUGGCUUCCCUGACCAUGCUUCUUGUGGUGUUUUGAAAUCUAAAGCUGAUGAGGGGCUCCUAUUUAUUAGAUAUGCAGCUGUAUUAACUGCCUCAGCCCAAAAAUGCUUUGACAGAUUUGCAUUAAACAACAUGCAUCUGACCUUUUCAAUUAAGGUUCUAUUCAUCCUUUCAGCCAAGCCAUUUUGCUGGGGAGUGUGUCUCACUGUCCUAUGUCUUGCAAUGCCCUUUGAUUUACAAAAAUUUUCAAAGUCACUGCUGCAGAAUUCCAGGCCAUUAUCAGUCCUCAGCCUUUUAAGCUUCUUUUCUGUUUGGGUUUCCAUAAGUGCAGUCCACUCUUUAAACCUUUCAAAUGCUUCACUCUUAUGCUUCAGCACAUAGACCCACACUCUUCUAGAGUAAUCAUCUAUGAAUGUGAUGAAGUACCUAGCUCCACCAUGAGAGGGAACUUGGGAUGGUCCCCAAAGGUCUGAGUGAACAUAGUCUAAGGUCUGUUUUGUUUCCUGUCUACCAGAGUUGAACUUUUGCCUUGUGGCUUUACCGAACACACAUUUUUCACAAAAUUGUAGUGAGGUGAUUUGAUCAUUUCCUAGCAGCCCUUGCUUACUUAAUUCUCUCAACCCCCUUUCACUCAUGUGUGCUAGCCUCAUGUGCCAAAGUUUGGUUUUAUCACUGCUUACACUAGCUGUGAUUGCUGGCAUAGUUGUUGAGCCAGCAAGUACAUAUAAACCAUUCCUCCUUAUGCCUUUCAUUAUAAUCAGGCCUUUAUCUUCAAUUUGAAGAUUUCCAUUUUCUGCUUUUAUACUACAGCCCCUCUGAUCCAUAACUCCUAAAGAUAUUAGAUUUCUUUUUAAUUCUGGAACAUAUCUGACCUGAUUUGGAUCCCUUUCAAUGCCAUCAAACAUCCUAAUGCUAAUGGUGCCAAUUCCAGCUACCUUACAGGCAAGAUUGUUCCCAAGCAAGACUUUUCCACCAUCAAUGCUUUCAAAAGUCUUAAAGAAAUCUACAUUUGGACACAUAUGGGAAGGAGCACCUGAGUCAAGAAUCCACUCACCUGAGAUUGCUUUUUCUGCAGCAAUGAGGACAUCUGCAUCAUCUGACAUCCCUUCAUCUUCAGAGGCUACAGCAGCUUUUCCAUUAGAUUCCUUUUGCAAUUUCUCAAGCUUCUUCUUCUCAAAACAAUCCUUGAUGUAAUGACCUUCCUUUUGACAAAAGUAACAUUUUCUCUUCUUUUUCUUCUUGUCUGGUUUAUCUUUCUGGUUACUGUUCUUCUUGUCUUUGUAGAAUUUCUUAUCUGGUUUUGCUUUUGCAACUAAGCUUUCUGCAGGGUUUUGAUCCUUCCCAUCUAUUCUUCUCUUCAAGUCCUUUGAUUCCAGGGCAUUCUUUACAUCCUUUAAUGUAAGUGUUUGUCUUCCAUAAAGCAAUGUAUCAACAAAAUGUUCGUAAGAGUCUGGGAGUGAGCUUAAUAGGAUUAGGGCCCUAUCUUCAUCUUCAAGAACUAUAUUCACAUUUUCAAGGUCUAGGAUCAGCUUAUUAAAUUCAUCCACAUGAUCCUUCAAGGCUGUUCCAUCCUUCAUUGAAAAUGUGUAUAGCUUUCUUUUCAUAUACAGUCUAUUGGCUAGGGAUUUCUUUAAAAAUAAUUCUUCCAGUUUCUCCCAUAGACCAGAAGCAGUCUUUUCUUUAGACACCUCUCUUAGCACUUCAUCCGAGAGAUGUAGGAUGAUAGUGCUAUGAGCUUUGUUGUUGAUAGUCUUCAUGUCUCUGCCAGAGCUGGAUGAUCAUUCUUCCUUCCCUUUCUUGGCCUUUGAAUCUUCAUCUUCUUCAAGAGCAGCAUCCAAUCCUUGUUGAAUCAAGAUUGCCCUCAUUUUGAGACUCCACAAAUAGAAGUCAUUGUCCCCAUUAAACUUCUUCAGAUCGAAUCUUGUAGAUGCCAUUGGAGGAUUUCAAAGAGCUUGAUAGAUGACCAAGCUCUGAUACCAGUUUGUUGUGUAAUAGACCAAGUUCGUAACCCAACUGAAGCAAUUAAUCAGAUUUACAAAACAAGCAAGAACCCAGAAAACGAACCAGGGGAUACAGUCAAGUAACCAAGAACAAGAAAGAAAACUUAAACAAGAGAUACAAACAGAGGUUAACGUGGUUCAGUACCAUGAGUACUUACAUCCACGAUCAGGAACAGUAGAGCUAAAGCUUUAUUAGGAGAUAUCAAGAUUACAAUGGAAUCCACUCAGAGCAAGAAACUAAACUCACACAGAGAAUCUUUCUCAACUCACAAACUAUCUCACUUGACUAACUGAUCAGCUCUCUCUCUCACUGAAGCUAUAAAGCUAGCAGUUUACAGCUGGUUAUAACGACUAACUAAAACCACCUGGGGACCCACCCAUGCUGACUCAGCUUUCCAGCUCAGCUAAUAUAUAUAACCGAAUGUAACUAACUUGAUUCCACAGUUAUUAGACCAUAAAGAGCGUUAAUCUGUUCAUUGGCUUUGUUAUUUUUAUUUGGUUUUUCUUCCAACAAUACUGUUGAUUUCUUAUAAAAAUACUCAUUGGUUUUUAGUUAUUAGACCAUAAAGAGCAUUAGUCUGUUCAUUGGCUUUGUUAUUUUUAUUUGGUUUUUCUUCCGACAAUACGGUUGAUUUCUUAUAAAAAUAUUCAUUGGUUUUUAAACACCUAAUCAUUGGCUAUAAUGAAGCUAAUUGAAACUGAGGCUUAUCAAUUUCUUCCUGCAAGAUACAAUUGAGCAUAAACUAUAUCCUCAGUAAAUUUUUCUAAUAUCCUUGAUUUGUUAGGAUAUGGGCCUGAAAUCCUCUAGAUUUUUUUAACACUGUCAAUGUUCUUUUUACUCUGAAAAGGGAAAAAAAAGGUUAUAUCUUUCAUACCCUAAUAGUAAGUUGGCCUUGACUUAACAUGCCUUCCCGAGGAUUUGCAAGAUUCACAAGCAGCUCACACCCCCCCUAACCAAAAAAAAAAAAAAAGAAAAAUAAAUAGGAAGAUUUUUGCGAGAUUCACAACCAGGUUAUAUUUAAUUUAUUAAUUGUGUGCACGUACUAGUUAUAUGUUGAAAGAAUAGGAAAAAGUAUUUUAACAUGAAUGACUUAAAACUUAUUGCUUAGUAAACAUAAUCUGCAUCAGUGCUAGAAAAUGUAUUUAUUGUUUGUAUUUUUUAUGGAUUUGCUUAAGAAAUGAUGCGCGUAACAAUGCUACAUUGUAUUAGGAACAAAUUGAAGAGAUUUAUGAUAUUUCUGUGUUAUUCAAAUUUCAGAUUGAAUUUUAAACUUUCAAUACAUGUGUUGUAAUUAAGAAUGAGAAACCUUAAUUCUUUUACCCAAGAAAUCACCACACACUGAUCUUGUUAAGGAAAGAAUGAAGGAUCGAUAUAGAAAUCAGAUUAAGAAUAAGGGUAUUUUAAUCAGAGACAGGAAUUAAGAAAGAAUCAAGCAAAACGAAAUGCAAAGGGGAUUAUAGAGGUUUGGCUUUGCAGCCUACAUCCUCUUGAGAAACAGAAGCCAUAGCUUUUCUUUAUGCUUUAACAGAUUACAAGUAUUAGAGUAAUUGCUACAAGGAACGAUUCCUCCCAAGUAUAGCCCUCAAGGCUAUAUAUACAACUCAGAAAAGAUCCAGAUAUGUGAGUUGUACAACAGCUCUCAUUCUGGGUUUGUUUCAACAGACCCAGCAAACUCCCGCCAAUCCUAACUGUAUGUAACAGCUCUUCAAAUUGAAACGGCAUCAGCAGCUGUCGUUUAACUUAAGCUUGAUCGUGCAAGUUGUUGUGCAAAUUUUAAUGAACUCGCAAGCGCACGAAUCUAUUGUAGUGUAGAUCAAUGGUGACAAGUGUCGAUCCCACGAGGAGGUGGAUUUUAAUUGUGUAUAGAAUUAAUUUUGCAAAAAUGGGUGGUUGGAAUUGUGGUGGAAGUGAUUUAAAUUAUCCUAAAAUUGGAAUUGAAAUUGCGAUAAUAAAUUCUAAAAUUGGAAUUGCAAUGGCGAGAAUAAGUUGAAGCGAAAUCUAUUGAAAUGACGUACUUGGGUAUCUGGAUCCGUAUCAACAUGCAUCAUGGGCUAAAUAUUCCUUAUUAAUACCAAUUAAAUCAUGAGGGGGGAAUCCACACCUCAUGAACCACGCUCUAAUCAAUAUGGUGCUAAGGGCUUAUCGUGCCAAAUAAUAAUAACCUUAUACUAGAGAGCCGGUGUAACCAAGGCGGUAUCUAGACAAGAUCAGUAUUAUUUGUCGACGAUAAGUCAAAUCAUCCACAAAAACUAGAGGGGAAAAGAAAAUAAAUUUACCAAAUAAAGCCCAUGACACAUGUUGAGACUUCACCUUCAACCCAAGCUUGAAAGAAAAUUAGCCACUCAUAAUUGAACUAAGGGCAAAAUGGGAAUUUAUUAAAAUACAAAGAAAAUACAAGAUGGAGAAGGAAUUACAGAAAAUGGAUCCCAAAAAUGGAUUCAGAGAUAUCAAAUUAGGGGGGGGGGGGAGGCCCCCUUUUUAUAGAUACAUGGAGUAAAUCAUGGCCAUCGGAUUAAAAACAGUUUGGACGUUCAGGAUUGCGCCACGUCAUCAGUCAACAGUCCACGGUUUGACCACGCGGAUGAACAGUAACACGGUUUGGUUGACAAUAAUCCUGUGUGAUGCAUGCACCGUACGCGAGAUUUUUCGUCCACUGAUAUGCUGCCACGUCACCAUCAACAGUACAUAAGAAUUUUAGUCCAACAGGAUCGUGACACCUCAUCAGUCAAUGCCACAUCAUUGGUCAAUGCCACAUCAUCGGUCAAUGCCACGUCAUCGAUCCGUCUAUGUGAACAGUGUCGUGAACAGUAACGUAGACAGUACCGUAUACGUGAAUAGUACCGUACAUGUGAAUAGUGCCAUUUUUCCUUUUAUGCUCCUCCUAAGGUUUUCGACCGUCCUGAGUUCAAAAGUGAUGUCUGUUUUGCCGUCUGAUCUCUCCUUUAUUGUGAAAUGACUAUAAUGCCCCUAAAAUACAUAAAAUACUUAAUUAAAAUAACACACACGUAAUUACAUCACAAGAAGGUUAAAUACAUAAAAGUAAGGGUUGUUAGUAAGACUUGAAAUGUAAAAUGAUGGUUUUCUCCUUUAUAAAUAUGCAUUUUCUAACACUCAACACACCCCCCAACCAGCUUAUUGCUAGUCCCUAGCAAAUAAAGCGAAAACAAAAUUCAAAUUCAAAAUGAUUUUUUUUUUUUUUUUUUUUAGAAACACUCGUGUUUAUUCAAUCAGAUUAAUGAUAGCAAUCAAAUAAAAGUAUAAGCAUUAUCUCCAGUCUAAAGCAACAUCACACCCACAUCAACCAUCCACAUGAAUUAGCCCAGUAGACUUUGUUAUAGCUACUUUCAAGAAUGACAUGUCAAACCCCAAAAUCUCACUGGAAGUAGUGACACUCUCACAAAGAAAUUAAAACCCAAUAAACAUAGUCACUCCAAUGAAUGGUAAUUGAGAGAGAAAAUAAUAAAGAAAUGAUAUCACAUGCUCUCACCAAGAUGAAAUAAAUAUGCCCUCAGCUUAGAAAUAAUACGAUCUCAAGUCAAAUAAAAUGUUAGUCAACCCACUUUAUUUAUCUUUUUUUUUUUUAUUAUGCAUCACUACAUCUUUUUAGCCCAUAUAACUAGCUUCUACUUCAAACUAUAGUUCCCUAAAAUCAAGAAGGACUUUUAUUAGGACGUAACGUAGGCUAGGGAUAUGGCUAACAAAGAAAGGAAAUAAGGAAAACAAAGUGUAUGUUUGAGAAAAAUGCAGAAUUUUUUUUUUUUUUUUAAGGGCAAAAAAGGGGUAACUAUGGAUAUUUAAUAAAAGGGAUGGCUAGAAAGGCUCAAACGGAUCAAAGAUGGCCUUUCCAUCGUCUUUAAGGGCUCUAAAUAAUUAUCCAUAUCUACUAGUUAGAUGGGCCUCCCAAUGUAGCAACACACAUUUUUUUCUUUUUUUCUUUUUUUUUUAAUUUUACCAUAUUUUUUUUUAAAGGGUUAACUUAAAAGAAACCUAGAGAUCGUGUAUAAAAUAAUAAACUGCUAAGCUGUAUAGAGAAUGGGCAAAAGGGUUACUCUCCAAGAAAAUGAUAGGCUCAACUACUCACUUGGCACUUAUUUAUGACAUGUUCAUUCCUUCAAGCAACUCAUAUUUGUCUCCGACAUCAACAUGUAAAGUAGCAAACAUAGCGUAACAUCACUUAAGACCAAAGAUAAUACAAAUACUAAAAUUUGAAAUUAAUCAUGUCAUCCAAUGUUAAAACAAAUAACACAAUUUUUUUUUUUUAAACAACAUUCUACCCCCCAACCUAUUCUAAACAUGAAAGGAAAAUAUGCAUGCAGAAAUGUGAAAAUGAUGUAGAAAAAUUAAUUAGAAAAAGAAUUUUUUUUUUUUUUAAACUAAGAAGAUGCGUUUCUAGAGGCACUACACUCCAUAUUCAGCCAUCUUCGACUCAAAAAUUUGAAACUACAUAUUUAUAAAGGAGAAAGAGGAAGAAAACAGGUUUUUUUUUUUUUUUUUUUUUUUUUUUUUUUUUUUUAAAACGAUGAAGAUGCGUUUCUAGAGGCACUACACUCCAUAUUCAGCCAUCUUCAACAUAAAAUGUUAGCAACCGUUAGUUUCUACAACAAAAAAUCAGUAAAAACUUAACCAAGAUUCCACAAUUGUCGACUAUUCCCUCCCCCCAACCAGAACGAAACAUUGUCCUCAAUGUUUUAAAGGAAAGAAGUAGAGUUUAGAAGACAUCACCUGGGUGGUGCAACACAGAAGAAAAUAUUUACAGGCGGAGAGUUAAAUCUAAUUUGUACUUCUUACUGCGGCUACUGUUACCAUCAUUAUUUGGUCGCUCCAACACAAAGGUCCAGGGGUCUGGCUCCGGUUUAUAAGCUUGUAACAUAUCAAGUAGCUCAUUAGCAGUGUGAGCACAAAUAAAGAGUUUUUUCACAUUAGAAGGAAUGAAAUAGUUUUUUAUUGCAUGGUUAAGAAAUGCGAUAAAGCCAUCAUAAAAGUUAUUGACAUUUAACAAACAGAUGGGUUUCUGGUGGAUGUGCAGAUGGGCCCAAGAUGCUAGUGUCAUAAGUGCCUCUAGUGUUGCAAGAUCUCCUGGAAGGAAAAUAAAAGCAUCAGCAUGAUUAAGCAUUUCAGUUAUUCUUUCUUGCAUACCUGAGACGACUAACUCUUCUCCAGUUGAUGAGUCAGACGAACUGCCCAAUGGUUUUAGGACUCUUGAGAUGAUGCCUAACACUUGACUUCCUCUGAUAAAAGCUGCUUCUGAGACCAUUUUUGAUAACCCUCGGUUACCUCCUCCAUACACCAAAUGUAAUUUUCUCGCUGCUAUGCUUCGACCAAGAUCUAUGGCUGCCUCCACGAACUCUUUAUGUUUGCCAUAGGUAAAUCCAGAAAGCACACAAAUGUUCUUGAAUUGUCUAUUAGGAGUAGCUGCCAUUGUGAUACUUCUCAAAAAUAAUUUGUGAGUGCUUGACAAAAGAUAAAUCACAUUUAAGAAUCUUGGUGACAGUGGAUCACAGCUGUGAAUAAGGUAACAUGUCAGUGUCAAAUAACGCGUAAAGCACGAGGCUCGCGAGUCAAAAAGGAAACAGUAAAAAGGAAAAAGCAAACAGUAACAAAAUUAUUAAAGACAAUAAUGCAAACAAUAAAACAACAGUGAAAUGAAAUAAAAUAACAGUAAAGUAAAAGGAUAUUUACACGUAGUUGCGACUGUGGCUCACAUCUUCCUCUGGUUUUACGUCCAGAAACGGCUUGAACGCCCUCUAUGGGUCGAGGAUAGGCUUCCUAUCCAGUUUUCUUAUAAACUGGCAAACAGGGUCGUUUAUAGUCAGAUUCCCAAGACUAUAUCGUGUAUGCUCUUUCUGGAAUAAUGGCCAUAACUGGAGAAUCGCUCCUUGCACAUAUCCACUGGGAUGCGUUUCAAGAGACAAAAGGAUAUCAUCCAAUGACUCCUUAUUCAAGCCAUCCCUAAUGAAUUGAAUCUUAUCUUCUCUGUUAUCAGACACCAUUCCUAAAGAACAUGGGUUUCUAUCGCAACUCAUUCUGGCACACUUGUGACAAGCAACAGAAAUUCUUCGAGCUCGUCGUUUUCUUGCGUAAUUUCCUUUACCACAACCAGGCAUGUAUGCAAUAAAUUUAGGAGGUAACUCACCUGCCAAUCGUACUUUAGCCUCGAUUAACCAACGGAUGUCUGCAGGUAUGUUAUUCCUCAUGAGCAAUCGCAUGCGUUCAGACCGGGCUUUAUAGAUUGUAAGGAGGGCAUUCUGAGGAAGUGAAGGGAAUCGCUUGUGAAGCUUUGCUAGAAUCUCGUUUCUAUCCAUACCUUCGCCUCAGAAUAUCAGUUAUUAUGGGAAACUGAAGUAACCGACUUGAUUGUCAUGGAGUACCGUUAUCCGCCACUUCACCGGGGUAACAAACUAAAGCACACAAACAGAAAAACAAAUCAAAACACACAAAGAAAAUUAAAAUCGUCCUCUUAUUGAAUUUACCUUAAGCUCCAACUGGAUGUCGUAAACACUUCUCUCAAUGUCUCUGAGUUGGCGUUCUAAACCCUCAACAUAGGCUACUAACUCUGGUGGUUGUAGAGCCCAAAUGCGUUGUGUUUUACAAAAUAGAAUCUGCCUUUUGAGAUGAGUUUUGACACGUUGAAGUGGUUUAAGAAUGUUCAGGAGGAACGGUCUAAGUAUGAGACUCAUGAUUAAAAAUGAUAAGAGAAAACUUAAUGGUAAAAUAAACACACUUAUGCAAAAACAAUUUCAAUUAGCAAAAGAAUAAUAAUAAAAAGAAAUAAAGAAAAAUCAAAUCAACGAAAAGAAAAAAAAAUCAAUUCAAAUUUGGUGGGUCACUCAAAUUUAUUUCGAUGUUUUCUCCAUGUGGUUGGUACUCUAGAUAUGGCUUUAAUCUUUGACCAUUAACUUUAAACGUGACACCGUUCUUUGGGUCCUUAAUUUCAAUUGCCCCAUGUGGAAAAACAGUAUGUACAAUAAAUGGGCCAGACCAACGAGAGCGUAACUUACCUGGGAAUAGGUGCAAGCGAGAAUUGAAUAAAAGCACUUUCUGACCUGGAGUGAACGAUUUUCUCAUAAUUUGCUUAUCAUGGAAGACUUUCAUUUGUUGCUUGUAAAUCUUGGCAUUUUCGUAUGCAUCAUUGCGAAUUUCUUCAAGUUCUGCCAGCUGUAAUCUUCUUUCUGAGCUGGCUUGCUGCAUGCCAAAGUUGAAUUUCUUGAUGGCCCAAUAUGCACGAUGCUCGAGUUCCACAGGUAGGUGGCAAGCUUUUCCAUACACUAGCCUGUAGGGUGACAUCCCAAUCGGGGUCUUGAAAGCCGUUCUAUAUGCCCAUAAUGCAUCAUCAAGUCGUAAUGACCAAUCUUUCCUGUCUGGCCUCACCGUCUUUUCUAAUAUGUGCUUUAUUUCUCGAUUGGAGAUCUCAACUUGGCCACUGGUUUGCGGAUGAUACGGGGUCGCCACUUUGUGUGUGAUUGAAUACUUUGUCAAAAGAGCCUUGAAUGCUUUGUUACAAAAGUGGGCACCACCAUCACUGAUUAUCGCUCGAGGGAAUCCAAAGCGUGAAACAAUGUUGCUUUUCAAAAAUCCUAUCACCACUUUGUGAUCAUUGGUUCUGCAUGGAAUUGCUUCCACCCAUUUCGAUACGUAGUCAACAGCAACCAAUAUGUAUUGAUGACCAAAAGACGGAGGAAAGGGUCCCAUGAAGUCGAUACCCCAUACGUCAAAAAUCUCAACCACUAAAAUUGGAUUUAGUAGCAUCAUGUUCCUUCGUGUAAUGCUCCCCAUUCGUUGACACCUAUCACAUGAAGAACAGAAAGUGUAAGCAUCUCGAAAUAUAGUUGGCCAAUAAAAACCACAUUGUAAAACUUUAGUCGCGGUGUUCUUAGCACUGAAGUGGCCUCCACAAGCUUGUGCAUGGCAGAAUGAAAGAAUAUUCUGAAUUUCAUUUUCAGGGACACAUCGUCUAACAAUUUGGUCUGCACAAUACUUGAACAAAUAUGGGUCAUCCCAAAAGAAAUUCUUUAUUUCCGCAAAGAAUUUAGCCUUGUCUUGCUUGGUCCAAUGCUCUGGAAGUUUACCUGUAACAAGAUAAUUAACUAUAUCAGCAUACCAAGGUAAUACUUCCACAUUCAUUAAUUGUUCAUCUGGAAAUGACUCAUUUAAUAGUAAUGGCUCUGUAAUUGUGUCAAAAUGGAGACGAGAUAGGUGGUCCGCCACAACAUUUUCUGUGCCUUUCUUAUCCUUGAAUUCCAAGUCGAAUUCCUGUAAAAGUAACACCCAACGAAUUAUUCUAGCUUUUCCAUCUUUCUUUGUGAGAAGAUAUUUAAGAGCAGCAUGAUCUGUGAAUAUAAUUAUUUUACAACCAAUAAGAUAAGAUCGAAAUUUCUCUAAUGCAAACACUACUGCUAGCAUUUCUUUUUCAGUAGUUGAAUAAUUCAAUUGUGCAUCAUUCAAUGUCAUACUAGCAUAGUAAAUAACGUGGGGAAUUCGAUCAACUCUUUGUCCUAAUACUGCUCCUACUGCAUAAUCAGAUGCAUCACACAUGAGCUCAAAUGGUAAGCUCCAGUUUGGGGCCUGAAUGAUGGGUGAUGAUGUCAACAACUGCUUUAAUUUUUCAAACGCCAUUAGGCAUGAAUCAUUAAAGAUAAAAUAUACAUCCUUAGCAAGUAGAUUGCAUAAGGGUCUAGAAACUUUGCUAAAAUCUUUAAUGAAACGUCUAUAGAAACCAGCAUGCCCAAGGAAAGAUCUUACUUCUCUGACUGUUUUAGGUGGAGGAAGAUUAGAAAUGAGAUCCACCUUGGCUUUGUCAACCUCAAUACCUUUGCUCGAAAUGAUGUGACCGAGAACAAUACCUUGUUUUACCAUAAAAUGGCACUUCUCCCAAUUCAAGACUAAGUUCUUCUCGGUACAUCUCUGCAGAACUAGCGUUAGAUGAUGUAAACAUUGAUCAAACGAGUCACCAAAGACAGAAAAAUCAUCCAUAAAGACUUCAAGGAAUCGUUCAACCAUAUCAGAAAAAAUGCUCAACAUGCAUCGUUGGAAUGUAGCAGGUGCAUUACAUAAUCCAAAUGGCAUUCUCCUAUAUGCAAAAGUGCCAAAAGGGCAAGUGAAAGUAGUUUUCUCCUGAUCUUUUGGUGCUAUGGGAAUCUGAUUAUAUCCUGAGUAGCCAUCUAGAAAGCAAUAAAAUUCAUGGCCUGCUAAUCUAUCAAGCAUUUGAUCGAUAAAUGGUAAAGGAAAAUGGUCUUUACGUGUGACAGAAUUCAACUUUCUAUAAUCAAUGCAUACACGCCAUCCUGUAGUUACUCUAGUUGGUAUCAAUUCAUUAUCAGCAUUGGUAACUACUGUGACUCCUGACUUUUUGGGGACGACUUGUACAGGACUGACCCAUGAACUAUCAGAAAUUGGGUAAAUGAUACCUGCAUCUAAUAGCUUAAGGACUUCAGUUCUAACAACUUCUUUCAUGUUAGGAUUUAACCGACGUUGCAUUUCCCUAGUAGAUUUAGCAUUUUCAUCAAGGUGAAUAUAAUGCAUGCAGUCUACUGGAUUUAUACCUUUGAUGUCUGCUAUGGUCCAUCCUAAUGCUCCUUUGUGCUCUUUUAAAACAUCCAACAACUUACCUUUUUGUUCGUCGUUUAGGGAUGAUGAGAUGAUUACCGGUAGAGUGCUUUCUUCUCCCAAAAAUGCAUAUUCCAAUGUGUUGGGUAAUGGUUUGAGCUCGAGUUUUGGUGGUGAUUCUGAUGAUGGGAUGAGUUUCUUCUCUGAUCGUGCUAGUUGUUCAACUCUUGACUUCCAUUUAUUAGUGUCUAUGGAUGGCGCUGAGUCAAGUAGGGCGUUGACCUCAUCGACCGAUCUGUCAAUAUCAAAAUUCAAACCAAAGUGAGUUAAACAUGUUUGUAAAGGAUCAUCACUAAGGUUUGAAAGAAAAGUAUUAUCAACUAUUGUUUCAAUUAAAUCCACAUCAACAAUUCCAUCAUCUGCACUGUGAGGUUGUUUGGCAAUGUUGAAAAUGUUUAGCUCCAUAGUCAUGUUGCCGAAGGACAACUGCAUAUUUCCAGUCCUGCAUUGAAUGUGAGCAUCCGCAGUUGCCAAGAAAGGUCGGCCUAGAAUAAUGGGGAUGUGCUUCCUUGAAUCCUGUAUUGGUUGAGUGUCAAUUACAAUGAAAUCAACAGGAAAAUAAAACUUGUCUACCUGGAUAAGCACGUCCUCCACAAUACCACGAGGUAUUUUCGUGGACCGAUCUGCAAGCUGUAACACCACUGUAGUUGGGUGUAAUUCUCCCAGUCCAAGUUUCACGAAUACUGAAUAAGGCAACAGAUUUACACUAGCUCCUAAAUCCAACAAAGCAUUCUCAAUUGUGUGGUUCCCUAUACUACAUGAGAUAGUGGGGGAGCCUGGGUCUUUGCAUUUUAAAGGAAUUUUAUGUUGGAGUAUAGAACUAACGUUUUCUGUUAAAAAUGCCUUCUUUUGAACAUGCAUGUUUCUCUUUUUAGUACAAAGGUCUUUAAGAAACUUGGCAUAAGAUGGAACUUGUUUAAUAGCAUCAAGUAAAGGGAUGUUAACACUUACCUGUUUGAAGAUUUCGAGAAUCUCACCUGUGGAUUUUCCCUUCUUUCCUUUCGCUAACCUCUGAGGAAAUGGAGCUUUAGGAACAUAUUCUCGUGGGUUGGUUUCUUCUUUUUCCUCCGGUGGUGAGUCUUCAACAUUCACAGGUACAAUUUGAUUUUCUUUUGUCACAGGCAUCUCCACUUUGUUGUCGACUUCCUUUCCUUUUCGCAAGGUCAUAACUACUUUGACCUCUCCAUGCUGCUGUGGUGAACUGGUACUUGCUUCAUGUACUCCUUUAGGAUUAGGCACUGGUUGACUUGGAAAUUUUCCUUUCUCAACAGUCAUUGCCAAGGUCUGAACUGAAGAAGCAAGUUGUCCCACCAUCUUUUCGAGGCUUGAAACUGAUUGGGCUUGUGAGUUAAAGCCUGCUCUCAAUUCAUUUCGUAGUCCAUCAAUGGUGCGGUUCUGUUGCUCAAUCGUGGAGUGAGUAACAUUCUUGAAAUUCUGGAAUGCAUCCUCCCAUGGUCUGGGUUGAGAAUAGUUUUGGUUCUGAUUGUAUGGUCUGAAUGGUGGCUGCGAGGCUUGAGGAUUUUGAGGAAUUGGUUGCAGUGGUGGAGCUGGAGCUGUUGGUCCAUUCUGUUGGAAUCCUUGAGACCAUGAAAAAUUGGGGUGAUCUCUCCAUCCAGGGUUAUAUGUGUUGGAGUAUGGGUUGUAAUUAGAUGGCUUUCUCAUUACACCUAUGGCAUUGGCUUGAUCCGAGUAUGAGUCAUGGUCAUGUGGUUCUGUUGAUUUAGCAGUCGAUAACGAUGCUAUUUGUCGAGAGAGACCUUCUAUUAUUGCUUUGACUUCUUUGAUUUCUGAAUUUGACUCGCCAAUUUGAACCUCAUUCACUCCUUUAAUUCUUCUAGUAUUCCUGAGUGAUCGACUCCGUUGUUGGGAAUUAUCCGCUUGUCGCUGGAAGAAUUCUUAAAUCUCUGUUGCACUUUUUGACAUUAGCUCUCCUCCACUUGUUGCCAUUAGCCAUUCUUGCACAUUCGGCAAUAAUCCCUCCAAAAAGUAUUGGCAUUGGUGCCAUUUCUCGUAUCCAUGAUGUGGACACUUCAAGAGUAGCCCAUUGAAUCGCUCCCAAGUUUCGAAAAACUGCUCGUCCUCUCUUUGUGUAAACUCUGAAAUUUCCCUGCGAAUAGAAUUGGUUUUAUGCACUGGGAAAUAUUUAUUUAGAAAUUUUGUAACCAUUUGUUCCCAUGAUGCAAUGCUAUUAGCAGGCAAAGUAUUUAACCAUGAACGAGCUCUAUCCUUUAAAGAAAAUGGGAAUAAUCUGAGUUUAACAUCAUCGUCUGAAAAAUUUUCAUAUUUAAAAGUUUGACAAAUGGUAUGAAAAUCAUUCAGAUGAUUAUAUGGGUCCUCAUUUUCUAAGCCAUAGAAUGUGGGGAGACAAUUUAGCACACUAGGUUUUAAUUCAAAACUCCUAGCAGCUACAUUUGGGUAUCUUAUGCAUGAUGUGCUCAAAUUAGCUAAGGGACUAAAAUAGUCCUUAAAUGGCCUCUCCUGUGGUGCUUGUAAAUCCAUUCCAAAUUUAUUUUUAAUGUGCUUUUGUGUGCGAAGUGUUUUUUCUAAUUCAAGGUCUAUAGGUUCAAGAUUAGGUAAUAACGACCUACGACCAUGCAUGCAAAACAAAUAAAAUAAAAAUAAAGAUGGGAACAAAACAAAUAAAAAUAAAGAAGAGGGAGAAAUUACGAUACUAACCUUAUUGCGCUAUUACAACCUUUCUAUAAAAAUACACAAAAACAAAUACGUGAAAUAAAUUAACUAAAAAUUAAAUUAAUAAAAUAAACAAAAAUUACAAAGAAAAAAUAAAUUGAAAAUUAAAUUACACAAUUUUAAAGAAGAGAAAAAGAAAAGAAAUACUAACCUUUAAAUGUAGAUUUACUUUUUUUUUUAAUAAUAAUAAUAAAAAAAAUACAAGAAAACAAAUAAAAGAAAUUAUUCACAAAAAUUAAUUCUAUGAAUUAAAACUACUUACCUCCCCGGCAACGGCGCCAAAAACUUGUUGUGCAAAUUUUAAUGAACUCGCAAGCGCACGAAUCUAUUGUAGUGUAGAUCAAUGGUGACAAGUGUCGAUCCCACGAGGAGGUGGAUUUUAAUUGUGUAUAGAAUUAAUUUUGCAAAAAUGGGUGGUUGGAAUUGUGGUGGAAGUGAUUUAAAUUAUCCUAAAAUUGGAAUUGAAAUUGCGAUAAUAAAUUCCAAAAUUGGAAUUGCAAUGGCGAGAAUAAGUUGAAGCGAAAUCUAUUGAAAUGACGUACUUGGGUAUCUGGAUCCGUAUCAACAUGCAUCAUGGGCUAAAUAUUCCUUAUUAAUACCAAUUAAAUCAUGAGGGGGGAAUCCACACCUCAUGAACCACGCUCUAAUCAAUAUGGUGCUAAGGGCUUAUCGUGCCAAAUAAUAAUAACCUUAUACUAGAGAGCCGGUGUAACCAAGGCGGUAUCUAGACAAGAUCAGUAUUAUUUGUCGACGAUAAGUCAAAUCAUCCACAAAAACUAGAGGGGAAAAGAAAAUAAAUUUACCAAAUAAAGCCCAUGACACAUGUUGAGACUUCACCUUCAACCCAAGCUUGAAAGAAAAUUAGCCACUCAUAAUUGAACUAAGGGCAAAAUGGGAAUUUAUUAAAAUACAAAGAAAAUACAAGAUGGAGAAGGAAUUACAGAAAAUGGAUCCCAAAAAUGGAUUCAGAGAUAUCAAAUUAGGGGGGGGAGGCCCCCUUUUUAUAGAUACAUGGAGUAAAUCAUGGCCAUCGGAUUAAAAACAGUUUGGACGUUCAGGAUUGCGCCACGUCAUUAGUCAACAGUCCACGGUUUGACCACGCGGAUGAACAGUAACACGGUUUGACCCGGAUGAACAGUAACACAGUUUGGUUGACAAUAAUCCUGUGUGAUGCAUGCACCGUACGCGAGAUUUUUCGUCCACUGAUAUGCUGCCACGUCACCAUCAACAGUACAUAAGAAUUUUAGUCCAACAGGAUCGUGACACCUCAUCAGUCAAUGCCACAUCAUCGGUCAAUGCCACGUCAUCGAUCCGUCUAUGUGAACAGUGUCGUGAACAGUAACGUAGACAGUACCGUAUACGUGAAUAGUACCGUACAUGUGAAUAGUGCCAUUUUUCCUUUUAUGCUCCUCCUAAGGUUUUCGACCGUCCUGAGUUCAAAAGUGAUGUCCGUUUUGCCGUCUGAUCUCUCCUUUAUUGUGAAAUGACUAUAAUGCCCCUAAAAUACAUAAAAUACUUAAUUAAAAUAACACACACGUAAUUACAUCACAAGAAGGUUAAAUACAUAAAAGUAAGAGUUGUUAGUAAGACUUGAAAUGUAAAAUGACGGUUUUCUCCUUUAUAAAUAUGCAUUUUCUAACACUCAACACAAGUCACGUGCGUUACUUCAGCCUUUCGUAUGAUAGUUGCUGGUUGUCAUACGGCAGUGUUAUUUGUAUGUUUGCUUUGUCGUUUCUCAUCCAAUUCUGGAAACGACAAAGUCGUCUCCUUCAGAAGGUUCUGAUUCAGGUUCACAUUUAACAAUCUCCACCUUGAAUCUGAAUCACAGCACUCCUAUGGCUUCUUCUUCUCGAGCUUCUGUAUCUUCAUAUUCUACAGAUGCCAGCUAAGUCUAAGCAGUGCUCAAACUUAGCCAUUGGAACUGGCUUUGUCAACAUAUCAGCAACAUUGUUAGUGGUAUGAACCUUUACAAGCUUCACAGUUCCUUUAGAGACUUCCAGCCUGAUGAAAUGGAGCUUGAUGUCGAUGUGCUUGGUCUUUUCAUGAUGGACUUGAUUUUUGCUCAGACUGAUAGCACUUUGACUGUCACAUAGAAUUGGUAUGGAUGUUUGUUGAUACCCCAAUUCAUUUAUCAUGCCCCUUAACCAUAUUGCUUCUUUGAAGGCCUCUACAGCAGCUGUGUACUCUGCCUCUGUUGUAGAUAGGGCCACUACACUUUGAAGUGAUGCUUUCCAGCUGAUUGUGCAGUUAUUAAGUGUGAAGAGAAACCCAGUGAGUGAUCUUCUGUUGUCUAGAUCUCCUGCAUAAUCAGAGUCAACAGAACCCUCAACCAGAUUGUAGUUAGCUCUCUCCCCUCCAUACAGCAGACCAUACCUUGUAAUCCCUUUUAGAUACCUCAGUAUCCAUUUCACAGCCCUCCAGUGUUCUUUCCCUGGAUUUGACAUAAACCUGCUGACCAGGCUUACUGCAUAUGACAAAUCAGGUCUUGUUAAGACCAUUGCAUACAUUAGGCAGCCCACUGAGUUAGCAUAUGGAGUUUUCAACAUUUCAGUUUGUUCUGAUUCAGUGCUUGGGCACUGCUGACUUGAUAACCUGAAAUGAGCUGCCAUUGGAGUGGACACUGGUUUACAGUUCAGCAUCCCAAACUUCUCUAAAAUUUUGUUGACAUAUUUUUCUUGUGAUAGAAACAAGGUCCUGGCUGUUCUGUUCCUUAUCAUUUCAACACCUAAGAUCUUUUUUGCUGGGCCAAGAUCUUUCAUGUCAAACUUAUCUCUGAGUUGUUGCUUCAGCAGAUUGAUCAACUUCAUACUUUUACUUGCCAGAAGCAUGUCAUCAACAUACAGGACAAGAUAGAUCACUUCCUCCCCGUAGGUCUUUCUGAGAUAUACACAGCAGUCAUAACUGGAUUUCUGGAAAUUCAGUUCUUGCAUGUAGCUGUCAAAUUUCAAGUACCACUGUCUGGGGGACUGCUUGAGCCCAUACAAAGAUUUUUGAAGUAAGCAAACCCAAUCAGGAUGUUGAGUAUUCACAAAGCCCUCAGGUUGUGACAUUACAAUCUCCUCUUGUAGAUCACCAUGUAGGAAGGCUGUUUUAACAUCUAAUUGUUCAAGAUGCAUAUCAUAAACAGCUACCAGUGACAGAAUAAUCCUUAUUGAUGUGUGUCUGACUACAAGUGAGAAGACUUCAGUGUAAUCAACCCCUUCCCUUUGGGUAAAGCCCUUUGCUACCAAUCUUGCUUUGAAUCUCUUUGGUUCAACAUCAUGGAUUCCAUCUUUUAUUUUGUAGAUCCAUUUGCAACCCACAACCUUCCUUCCUUCUGGUUUUUUGAAUCAAUUUCCAGGUGCCAUUCUUAUUUAGAGAGUCCAUCUCAUCUUCCAUGGCCUUGAUCCAUUGAGUUGAUUCUUUACAUGCUAUAGCUUCUUCAUAAGUUUUUGGUUCCUCUUGAUCAACCUCCUGUGCUGCUGUCAAGGCAUAUGCUAUUAAGUCAGCAUAUCCCAAUCUCUCUGGUGCUUUAAUUUGUCUCUUCUGUCUGUCUCUGGUAAGCUGAUAAUCUUGUAUUGAGAUGUGCUCUAGUGUUUGAGCACUGGUCUCAUCUGAGCCUUGAGUUUCUCCAGUAUGACUUGUGUUCUGAUCAUCCUCAGUUUUUGAUAGCUCCACCUCAAAGUGAGGUGUCUCUGCACUUGGGAUUUUCUGAAUUGAGCUUUGAGUAGAAGUCUGAUUUUUCAGCAUCUCAGACUCAUUGAAAAUAACAUCCCUGCUUAUUAUGCACUUAGGUGGUUUAAGGUCUACACACCACAGCCUGUAACCCUUAGUUCCACUAGGAUACCCUAGGAAAGCACAUUUCAAUGCCCUUGGUUCAAGCUUGCCCUGCUUGAUGUGUGCAUAAGCAGUGCAGCCAAAAAUUCUCAACUUGGUGUAGUCAGCUAAUCUCCCUGACCAAACUUCAUAAGGUGUUUUAAGUUCUAUUGCAGUUGAGGGGCAUCUAUUUAUCAGGUAACAAGCUGUACACAAAGUUUCAGCCCAUAAUGUCUUUAGCAGCUUUGAAUGAAAUAGCAUGCAUCUAACUCUUUCCAUUAAUGUUCUAUUCAUUCUUUCUGCCAAACCAUUUUGUUGUGGUGUGUGCCUAACAGUUUUGUGUCUCUGGAUUCCACUCUUUUCACACAAAUCAUCAAACUGUUUAUUGUAAAACUCAAGUCCAUUAUCAGUUCUAACCCUUCUAACUUUUCUAUUAGUUUGAGUUUCAAUCAAGGUUUUUCAGGCUUUGAAUCUAUCAAAAGCCUGAUCUUUGCUCCUUAUUGGAUACACCCAUACCAUCCUAGAGAAGUCAUCUAUCAUAGACAAAAAAUAACAAGCUCCACCUAGAGAUUCAAUCUGUGCUGGUCCCCACAUAUCCGAGUGAAUAUAAUCCAAAGUACCCUUAGUAUUGUGCACUGCAGUUUUAAACCUGGUUCUUGAGGACUUUCCUAGGACACACUCCUCACAGAAUCCAACAGUACUUAUCUUAUCACUCCCUAGAGCUCCCUGUUUUUCUAGUUCUUUCAGCCCACUUUCACUUACAUGACCCAACCUGAAAUGCCACAGUAAAGUUUUAUCUAGUUCCUGUUUUAUCACUACCCCAACAUCCCCAGUUAUUGCUGAUCCUUGCAGUAUGUAUAAUCCAUGCUGCAUUACACCUUUCAUUAGUAUCAGAGACCCUUUAAUAACUUUUAAGGAGCUUGAUUCAAGUCUGAUGCAACACCCUGCUUUAUCUAACAUGCUUAGGGAAAUUAGAUUUCUUUUAAGCUCUGGAAUAUGCCUUACAUUAUCAAGUUCUCUAAUUAUACCAUCAGACAUUUUCAAUCUAACAGAGCCUAUACCAAUGACUUUACAGGAAGCAUUGUUUCCCAUCAAGACUUUACCUCCUUCAAAGGGUUGAUAGCUACUGAAUAAGUUUUUAUGGGGGCACAUGUGAUAGGUGCAGCCAGAGUCAAGAACCCAUUUACCUUCAGUUUGCAUGUUUGAGGCUACCAGAACACCAGCAGAGUCAUAUCCCUCAUCUGAAUCUUCAGAAGCAACAGCAGCAUUUCCACUUCUGUUAUUAGCAUCCUUAGGCUUAAUCUUUCUCUCAGGGCAAUCCCUUUUGAAGUGACCUUCCUUGUGGCAGUGGAAGCACUUCAAGGCACUGUUCUUAGAUUUUGAUCUUCCUUUCUUUUUUCCUUUCCAGCCAUCUCUCUUCUCUGAUCUCCCUCUUACUGACAACCCUUCACCAUCUUUUGUUUCUGAUUUCUUAAAGCUUUCUUUGGAACUCAAGGCUUCCUUGAAAUCUUGCAUGGCCAGUGAUUGUCUACCAUACAAGAGAGUGUCAACAAAAUGUUCAUAGGAAGAUGGUAAUGAAGAUAGCAGAAUAAUGGCUUUAUCCUCGUCUUCAAUCUUUACAUUAAUGUCUUCUAGAUCUAAAAUGAUCCUAUUGAAGGCAUCAAUGUGAGUAGUUAAAGAGCUGCCUUCUUCCAUCUGGAGUGUGUAGAGCCUUUUCUUUGUACUCAAUCUUUUUGUCAAAGAUUUCUUUGUGUACAAAUCCUCUAGCUUCUUCCAAAGGCCUGCAGUUGUUGUUUGGUCUCCCACUUCUCUAAGUACUCCAUCUCCUAGACUUAGGAUUAUAGUGCUGUGAGCUUUGUCCAUGGCUUCUUGCAUGUCUUCAUCUUUGACUUUGCUGAUCUUUUUCGAGGUUCUUGGAUCCUCCAGCACUUCUUCAAUUCCCUGGUGAACCAGCAAUGCUCUCAUCUUCAGCCUCCAAAGAUGGAAGUCAUUUUCUCCCGUGAACUUCUCCACAUCAAGUCUCUGUGUUGCCAUUCUUGCUCUCAAGAUUCAGAGAUGUGAGCUCUGAUACCAAUUUGUUGUAAUUAAGAAUGAGAAACCUUAAUUCUUUUACCCAAUAAAUCACCACACACUGAUCUUGUUAAGGAAAGAAUGAAGGAUCGAUAUAGAAAUCAGAUUAAGAAUAAGGGUAUUUUAAUCAGAGACAGGAAUUAAGAAAGAAUCAAGCAAAACGAAAUGCAAAGGGGAUUAUAGAGGUUCGGCUUUGCAGCCUACAUCCUCUUGAGAAACAGAAGCCAUAGCUUUUCUUUAUGCUUUAACAGAUUACAAGUAUUAGAGUAAUUGCUACAAGGAACGAUUCCUCCCAAGUAUAGCCCUCAAGGCUAUAUAUACAACUCGGAAGAGAUCCAGAUAUGUGAGCUGUACAACAGCUCUCAUUCUGGGUUUGUUUCAACAGACCCAGCAAACUCCCGCCAAUCCUAACUGUAUGUAACAGCUCUUCAAAUUGAAACGGCAUCAGCAGCUGCCGUUUAACUUAAGCUUGAUCGUGCAAGUCACGUGCGUUACUUAAGCCUUUCGUAUGAUAGUUGCUGGUUGUCAUACGGCAGUGUUAUCUGUAUGUUUGCUUUGUCGUUUCUCAUUCAAUUCUGGAAACGACAAAGUCGUCUCCUUCAGAAGGUUCUGAUUCAGGUUCACAUUUAACAACAUGCAUUGAAAGCUUAGAUCGUUUAAGAAAUUAUUAAUAGACACAUGUUUUAUUAGUGUCAUCUUUGGAUGAUAGUGAGGAUCAUAUGCCUAUUAAUAAUUCUUGAAUUGUCUAGGCUUGAACUGUUUGGGAAUGCAUAGUUUUCUAUGGUAGCUAGUAGCUGAAGUUUUUUUCCCACGUAAAAAUGAGUUUUUCGCAAGCUGCUUCUCAUCUUCUUUGGGUGCAUACUAGAUAACACAUAAACACUCAUAUAUCUAUGUCGUUGCUUGGAGAACUAAAGGGAGAUGCUGCCGAAAUUUCUAUAAACGUAGAAGAAAACUUUAAAGUACUUGAGAUUGAAGAAACUUAUGCAUUCUUGAGAGGGAUAUACGCGACCACUUACCUUUUGUAAAUAUGAAGGGAGUGUUGGACAUAUUGAUGGGAGUGGAGGAGCUGAGUUGGAUGGACGUAAUCGGUUAUAGUUUUGCUGAGUUAACUUGGUUUUGAGCUUGUAAUUUUGUUUAUAAAUGGAGUACUAUCUCCAAUGUUGGUUUAUAAAUAUGUUUCAGCUGGCUGACCUUUUUUUUUGUUUCUAGGUAACAUGCUUUGUAUCUGUAAUUGAUAACCAACUGAAGUUCUCAGCUGUGGGUGAGGAUAUUUCUUUACAGAAGGUAUUGGAAACUGUUUUUUACAUUAAUUAUUGUUGUAUAUAUACUUUAAUUUUCACGUCUUUUUCUCUGAUUCUUGUCGCUUUACUUGCUUUCAUAUAUAUAAAUUCUAAUGAAAUUAACCAUAAAAUUGUAUAAUGAUUUUUUAAUUAUAUUGCAAAACUGUGCACACACGAAAAUAUCUUGGUCAGUAGUAGAAAUGAAAAACUAAAAUGAUUUAUCUAACUAAUUUUUGUAGUGCAUUAAAAGGAGAUGGUAAUGGAGAAGAGUUGGGUUGGUUUGGCCAAUAGAUAUCUAAGUUAUAGAUUUUGCAUUUGAGAAUGUUGUUGGUGAUGCAAGAAUUUAUUAUCCUUGUAAGAAGUGUCGAAUAUUUCGUUUUAAGGGAAGUAGCAAGAGACCAUAUCAUUAUAAAUGGUUUUUGGUUAAAGUAUUAAAACUGGAUAUUGCAUGAUGAGCCAUCUUCAUCUUUGGAAUCUAACCAAGAAACAGGUUAGUCAUGACUCGGGUGCUGAUGAUGAUAUGGUUGGAAUGAUACAUGAUACAUCACGUAAUCAAAUAUUCAAUUCACACACAGCAUUGUUAUGGACUAUCAGUGACUUUCUAGCACAUGCCAACUUGUCUGAGUGGAGUAUUAAAGGUAAAUAAGCAUUUCUUGUUUGCCAACAAAACACUAGAUCUAAUUGGUUGAUACAUAGUAGAAAAUUUUGUCACGUCGGUAACGUCGAUUUUUACUGACGAAUCAUAGGUUUCGAAAAUAUAGUGCCUUUUGAUAAAUCUAGAGAGUGGGGACAAGCACCUUCUCGGAUGUCUGGAGCUGAAGUGAAAAAGCAGUUGAAUAAUAUACUUACUGAGUUUAAGAUUGAAGACUUGAAAAGUGGAGAAUGAAUAAAAUGAGAGAAAUGAUAAGAUUACUUGGACGAAGAAAAGCAUAUUUUAUGAACUACCGUGUUGGGAGUUCAAUUUGAUUCAUCAUAAAAUGUGAGACAUGAGGGAGAGACAAAAGCUCAGGCUUGUCUGCAACCAUGUGGGCCCUCAUAAGCAAUUCGUGUACACAACUUGGUUCACCAAGCCCAACAACUUGAAGCAGGCAAAAUCCGGGAACGAUCCUUCUCCUUCGCAACCCUAGCUGCCUUAACCUUGUAUUUCUGAUAUUUAGUUAAAGAGUAAGAAGAUUGCUCCUCUGUCAAUUACCUUCGAGAGAGACUUUCUUUUUCAUUCACCGAUGCUUGCUUGUGAAAGCAAGGGUUUUAGUUACACUUUCAACGCUGUCAAUGUAGUGAAGUAAAGCAUUAGUAGAAUAAUGAAGUUGGAAGCCCCACAACAUGAAAACUUUUAAACAUUAACACAGCUCUUAUUCCAGAGGCUGCACGCGAGUGACCUGAAUCUUCUUCAGAACUUUUCAAAUUUUAUCAACAGCUUUAAAAAUUUCUCAACAAAUUGAUUAUUUGGUGUGGUUGCCACAUUUUGAGUAACUGCUAUUUGUUCUCAAGUACAAAAUCCUUGCCUUCCUAAGUUAGGAAAGAUAGAUGUGAAGCAAACCAAAUGAAAUAAAUGGGUAAACAGAACAAACAGUGCAAAAAUUAAAAAUGAUGGCAAUUAACAAAUUAAUAGCAAUGUUACAUUUGACUCUUUAGCCCUUUGCUCCUUCUCUUAGCAUUCUUCAAAGUUUUUGAAAAUUGGAAGUGAAGCAAACAAAAUAAAAUAAAUUUAGAAUUUCAAACAGUACUAGUAGUAAAAAAAUGACGACAACAACAAAAAUAGAAAAUUACAAGACUGCUGAUAAAAUUUCACUUGCAGGCAUUUCUCACAAAAUUUCUGUGAUUUAAUGUGCUUUCAUGCACGCAAGUCCUAACGUUUCUGUGAUCACAAAUGAAACUGAAGAUAAAACAGAACAACUACCAAACCUUUCAAGCGUGACGAAGCCAUGAGAAUUGAUAGCUCAAUGUCAUGGGAUGAGUGUUUUGUCACUAAAACAGAACAAUAAUUUUGAACACACCAUGUGGCAUUUAGACCAUUUGAUAGUUUGUUUCAAACAUAUUUGUUUAUAAAAUACUUUUCUUCAUGGUUUUGGUCCCAUAAUUUUCUAUGUAUGUACAGGUUUUAUCGAUACCGCUUUUGACAAGUUACACUUACAUAGCAAUGCUAUCUGGGUUCAGCCUUGCCUUUUUGAUAAACUGUGCUUCUGUGAUGAAGAAUGUUUUAGCUGUAAGUGGAUAUCCUAAUCAUUGAUCCAUAUACUUAGGUUAUAUUAUCCAUCAGCAAGUAUGUAUAAAAUUAUUUUGUGUCUUUUUUUAUUAGAAAUGUUGUAAUUCUAUUUUACUCUUCCUGAAUUAUAACAUCAGGUGUCUAUAAUAACUAGGUUAUUCCUUCUGCAAAACAGAGCAGUGGUAAAUAUUUUUUUUCUUUUGUUUGUUUAGUACAUUUACAUGCUUUCAGCUUUUUCAAAUUUUGUAUGUGUCAAAGUUUAAAUUUAAUUUGUUGGUUUAUGCCACAACAAAAGGAACAGCAUCAAAGAGGAGCUGCUAAUGGACUUGCUAUGACUGUAGUGUCGCUUACCAAAACUGCCGGUCCAGCUGUAGGAGGUGCUCUGUGAGUGUCCUGUUGAUUUUGUAAAACUAUAUGUAAAUGAAGUUAUAAUUUUUUUUUCAUUAAUUGGGGUUCUGGCAGAUUUUCUUGAUCACAAAAGCGUCAAGAUGCUGGUUUCCUCCCAGGAUGAUGAUCUACUAAUGAAAUUUCUCGCGAGUUUGUGUACUAUUUCGUGCUAAUUCUUCAUUAGCUGCUUAAACAAAAGUGCAGGUAACCAGAUGGUUUUUUUUCAUUCUGAGGCACUUGGAGUAAUAUUGACAUCCAAACCGUUUCUAACUCAGCGUGCCCCGUGAGUAGCGAAAAGAGCAUCUGUUGAAAUAUUUAAAUAUAUAUCAAGCAAAUUAAAGCUUUCAAAAUCUAUCAACAAUUUGAUUAUUUGAUGUGGUUGCCACUUGCCAUAUUUUGUGUUACUGUUCAAAAGGCUUAAAUAUGAAAAUGGUGGUUGGCGCUCACAGCAACCGAUUGCUGGUAACAUUAAUUGUUCAACUUAUCUCUGUCGACAUUUAUACUUGUUCAUUGUCAGAACUACGACAAUUUAUCUUCACAAUGAUGCAAGCUAGAAAGAAUUUUUCAUGUUAAGUAAAAUAUUGAAGUCAUAAAGAGUGUUAAUUAAGUACUAAGUUUUCUGCCAUGCUUUCAACGGUAGCACAUUUGGAGCUCUUAUUCCAGGGGCUUCACAGUAGAGAGAUCUGAUUUCGAUCUUCUUCAGAACUUGGGGAUUCCGUAAUAACAGAGGACAACAGUUAUAUAAGAAUAUUAUUUUGUACAAUUUUCGUAUAACCUGACCAAUGCAAGUAUAAUUUUAUGAUCUUAACUCAGAUCAAAAGACCUUCAAUGAUGUAAAAUUUGCACAUAAAGCUGAGAUCCAAACAUUAGAACUUAUGAUGAAACGGAAACAAAAACGUUGAGAUUGAAAAGAUUGAGAAACACAAUCUUUUUAAAAGGGAUAAAUGCUCAUUUAAUUUCUAUAUUUUGAUUUAAGAGCGCAUUUAGUUCUUAUAUUUUAUAAAAAGUGCCUCAACCUCAAGACACCCCCCUACUAUGAAAUAUAUUUCAUUCCUACCCUUAUUUUUUUUCUUUUUACAAUAAUACUCUUGGAAUAAUAUUUUUGGGAAUAUUAAUGAAAAUAAAAAAUGGUAAUUCAUCCAGCCAGCCUUAAACAAAGUAAAUAUUAAUAAAAAAUUUUAUGUUAUUAUUUUAGUUUUAGGACUAAUAUCGUAAAUUAAUUUUUUUAUGCAUUUAUUAGUAAGAUUGUUGUAAAAGUACAAAAAUACUGGUUAUAUCAUAUUGAUAUUUAUUGAUUAAUUUGUCAAUUAACUUUUUUAUAAAUAAAUUAAUUAAUUUAAGAAUAUUAUUGCCAGGAUAUCAUUGUAAAAGUAAAUAAAAUUUAAAGAAAAAAUAUAACGUAUUUAAUAUCAAGGUAUAUUGAGGUAUUUUUUAAAAUAUAAAGACUAAACGUGCAUUGAAGUUAAAAUACAGGUACCGGACGAGCAUUUUCUCUUUUAGAAAGUUUUAUAUUUUAUUAAUGAAAGUCUGAAUAACCAAAUUAGGGUUUUGGACUCCUUUUAAACUAAACCUAAAUAUCACGAAUUUACCAAAAUAAGUAAACCUAAAAUAUUACUAUAUAAUAAUAUUCUCCUAACUGAAAUAAGAUAAAUGCUACUUAAAUUCUCUGUCUAAAAAAAAAGAAGAUAAAAAUUCAAAAAGCAAUAGGAAAAUGGAUCUUAAACUUGUAAAAUAAUAUGAAAUAAAUAUAAUUUUCAAUCGAACCAUUAGGCUAAUGUGGCGCUACAAUAUUAGAUUAGAUUCCCCUCGUCGCGAACUUCGAAAGGUAUAUUAUACACCCUAAAUAGGUACUUAUAGCUUAAGUUGUGACCCUAGAGAGAUACUCUACUCAUCCUACGUAACCAUCCGUUGCAUGAAAUUCGUUCCAAAAUUAAGAAUAAAUCAGCUGAUGCAUUCCAAAUAAUUUAGAUGAAACGAUAAAAUAAACCUAGAGAUCAAAUAAAACGAAAUGAAAAUGAUAAUUACCUCGGACUGAAGCUCAUACAAAUUCAUUAUUUGACACCUCCAGCAAUUGUUGAAAUAAUAGUUAAUGAAAUAUAAAAUAAGACAAAAGUACAUAUUAAUGACACACCAUUGUGAAUCGAUAGCUAAGGACCGAGUAAAAUUUAAUUGUAAAUUAGGACAGUAGAGCAAGCAUCCAUAAACAUAACAUGAACGUAAUACAUCAAUUAAAAUAUCAUAGGAUAAAUUAGGACAUCAGAGAAAGAAAUAAGUAAAUAAAUCAGCCAAUAAAAAAACAAAAACAAAAGAAUGAAGAGUUGUCUGUGAGAUUUGUCUUCUAUGGUCAUUGAAGUCCCAAAACUAAUAAGGAUCGAGCAAUUGAACAGUUGCAAACUCAAUGGAAAUACAAUGGAACCUUAAAAACGAACAGUGAAGGAAAAUGAAGAAAUCUGCAGGAAAUAAGGCGAGUGAGAGUGAAGAAUUGAUUACCACUGAGUAAAUGCGAAUGAAGAAUGGAGACAGAUCCUCCUUCGCCCCAUCGAGAAGUGAGAUUCAGAGAUUGUAUUGGAAUUGAGAGUUGAGAUCAAGAAGCGAUUAUUCUUCUCCGUAAUUUCCUUUUUCUUUUAAUGUUGUUAUUAUUAUUAUUUUUUUUUUUUUCUAUUUCCUGAUAUCUUUUUUGUUUUAAACGGUAGUGGCAUAUUACAUUUAUUUAUGUUAAUUUUACAAUACCUCCCUUCAGAUUGCACAAAUUACAUAAAAAAGUACUUUAUGUAUAAAACUUUCAAAGAAAUUGGGCCAAAAUCUAACUUUACCACGUUUAGAGUAAUUUUGGGCUCGACAUUCCAUUUCCGACAAACGAAUUUUCUUUAUCACCAAGUUAUGAUACUUUUCAUAUUUAUCCAACGGCUCGUCAAUGACAAUACCUAAAAAUGCUGGUCGGUAAUACAACUAUUUCUUAUAGUGUAAAAAUGAUACACUAAGCGUUCACAUUUUGAUGAGUAAAUUAAGGAUUUCAAGAUGAAGUGCAUAAUUAGAUUGUAUUGCCGAUAUCUCCAAAGCCUCCAAGUUAGGCAACACUACCUAAAAAAAAGAAGAAUUUCUGGUUAGAUCCAAUAUCCAUAUGGGAAGCACUUGUUGAAAAUUUCUUCUUUGAUUACAAAUUAAUGCAAGUCAGAAUCAAUUUCCAACUGGCAACUGAGUUUGAUGCAUUCUAAUUCAUACUACUUGUUAAGAGCUCAAUUAGUGAGCGCGUGAGAUUCUUUUUAUCCUUUUUUCCAUUUUCUUUCAAUUCUUUAAAUGAUUUAAUUAUUUUCCACGUAUGACGUCAAAAGAGAACACAUCAUAGAAUAAAAUCUGUUAUAUAUAUAUAUAUAUGAAGAAAAUGUUAGCCUACUGUUGCGGACCGCCCAAUUCGCUAGUCCAAUUGCCCACAAUUUCGGGCUAGAGAGCCAACACAAGGCCAAGAGUGCUAGCUUGGCCCAAUUCGGUAAAGUUUUAGGCAAAUCUAGCACAUGUGAGCUUGUAAAUACUCUAGAAUUCUCCAUAGAAUUCCAGCACAUGUAAAUAGCUAGGAAGUGGUAGAAUUCUCUAGAAUCUCUAGAGCUUAGCAAGCCUCCCCUAUAAAUAUGGGAUGGCAUUAGGCAUUUGUAUCCAACAAACACAACAACAAGCUUUGUAAGCAACUCAAGCAUUGUAAUCUCUUUUUGUGCAAUAUAAGUUUUCUCAUUCGGCUCCAUUGCUCUCUUCUCUAGUUCGAGAAGCUCUAGGCUUACUUAGCAACAUUCGGCAAAGUUGUCUACGUGCCGCACGGGUUAGCUGCGCAAAAUACUUAUCCCGUGACAAGUGGUAUCAGAGCUAAGGUUUGCACAUACGCAAGUUAGUUCACUAGCAAUGGCCAACCCUUCAAACGUAGCACAAGAGGGUGUUGUUGGUGUGGAUGUUCCACCGGAACCAAGCCGCGGCUGAGAGGGAGAACACGCCCAAGGCAAGACUCGCGGCAAGUCCAAGACCCCAUCCGUGGAUGCGCUGAAGCCUCGUGUGACUACUCUCGAAAUCACAUUGUCCGCCGCUCAAGAUAGCCUCGAGGGAUUGGAGGAACGAGUGGAUGGUCUCGAGGGGGAAUACGCCGAGUUCACGGUGGCAACAAAAGCUCUCAUCCAAGAGCAAGCGAACACUCUCCGAGGUGAGUUUCGUGUUUUUCAUGAUGAGUUGCUCAAACUUUGUAAUUCUGUUCAGGACGAACUACGAGCUGUCUCUGCGGAAGUGGAUGAAGUCCGCUCGGAUUGGGCAUGGCAUAAGCGUACACUCUCCACAAGUCUAGCUUCAGCAAACUCGAGUGAUGCGCACCGCAUUGACGUGCCAAAGCUCGACACCUACGAUGGCACAUGUAACGCCACAAUCGUGGACAACUUCCUAUUCAGACUGGAUCAAUACUUCGAUGCCAUGGGUGUCCGAGAUGAGGCAUCAAAAGUGGGCACUGCACCCACCUACCUUAGAGGCGCUGCACAACUAUGGUGGCGUCGCAAGCAUGGCAAGAUGGGUAAGGGCAUUUUCACCAUCGACACUUGGGCCGACUUCAAGCAAGAACUCCGAAAGAAGUUCGCCCCAAGCAAUGCAGAGAAGGAAGCACGAGCGCACCUACGUCGCCUAAAACAAUUGGGUAGCAUUCAGGACUACAUCAACGAGUUCACUACCCUUAUGUUGGAGAUAAGUGACAUGUCUGAUAAGGAUUCACUCUUCUACUUCCAAGAUGGCCUCAAGGAUUGGGCCAAGACCGAGCUUGAUAGGCGUGGUGUUCAAACACUUGACGACGCCAUCACCGUUGCCAAAUCGCUCACCGAAUACUCUACCCAAUCUAAGGACAAAAAGGCCAACCAAGGCAAAGGUGGGGGAGAGAGUCGCAAGGACAAGGGCAACAACCGCAAAGAUUGGGGACAGAAAAAGCCGCCUAGCAACAAGAGCGGGCAAGGAAAAUCGGAGGGCAAGAAAGAGGCGCCAAAGUCGCAAAGCCCAUGCUUCAUAUGCAACGGUCCUCAUUGGGUACGCAACCGUCCGGAGAAGAGGUCGAUUAAUGCUCUUGCUGCCCAACUCAAGAGCAACCCCGCAAUAUCCACGGAGGAACCCCAACUCAGCAUGGGUUCUCUCCAACGCCUCGGCGCACUCAAUCGCCAACAGCCCGCACUCGUCAAGAAAGGGCUCAUACAUGUAAGCGCAAAGGCAAACGGUCAGUCCGUUCGCGCGCUGCUAGACACGAGAGCGACGCAAAACUUUGUGUCCGUAGACGAGGCCAAACACUUAGGCCUCAAGGCCACCAAGGAAGGAGGCACAAUGAAGGCCGUAAACUUACCCGCCAAGCCAAUUGCGGGAAUUGCACAAGGCGUGCACAUAACACUCGGUACGUGAAGCGGAAAGCUUGAUUUCUCCAUCGUGCCCAUAGACGACUUCAAGAUGGUUCUCGGCAUGAAAUUCUUUGACCAAGUCCAUGCCUUCCCGCUGCCCGCUACAAACUCCCUAAGCAUCCUCGACGGGAGCAAAGCAUGCAUGGUACCCACGGAGCGAGCCAAGUCCGAGGAGAAGACACUCUCCGCCAUGCAAUUCAAAAGGGCUUUAAAAAAGGACCCAAGCUUCUUGGUCUCCAUCCGGGAAUUAAACGCAGAAGGAAAUAGCGGAACGUCGCCAAGCCAAGUCCCUCCGCGAAUUCAAGCCAUCCUCAAUGAGUAUAAGGACAUGAUGCCUCCAGAACUUCCUAAGAAGCUCCCACCUUGACGAGAGGUAGAUCAUGCGAUCAAGCUGGAACAAGGCGCGAAGCCACCAGCCUUGGCCCCCUACCGCAUGGCGCCACCCGAAUUAGAGGAGUUGCGGAGACAACUCAAAGACUUGCUGGACGCAGGCUACAUUCGCCCCUCAAAGGCCCCAUUCGGUGCACCCGUGCUCUUCCAAAAGAAAAAGGAUGGCUCGUUACGGAUGUGCAUCGACUAUAGAGCGCUCAACAAGAUCACCAUAAGAACAAGUAUCCGAUUCCCUUGAUUGCGGACUUGUUCGACCAACUUGGCAAAGCGCGGUACUUCACCAAACUCGACUUGCGCUCCGGGUACUACCAAGUGCGCAUCACCAAUGGAGACGAACCGAAGACAGCGUGCACAACAAGCUACGGGUCUUUCGAAUUCCUUGUGAUACCUUUUGGCCUUACUAAUGCACCCGCCACAUUUUACACGCUCAUGAACAAAGUGCUCCAACCAUUCCUCGACCACUUCGUGGUCGUGUUCUUGGACGACGUAGUGGUGUAUAGCACCACGCUCGAGGAUCAUGCCCAACACUUGCGACAAGUCCUCUAAGUACUUCGAGACAAUGAGCUCUUCCUCAAGUUAGAGAAGUGCUCAUUUGCACAACAAGAAGUGGAGUUCCUUGGCCACAAGAUUGCGGGCGGGAAGAUUAUGAUGGAGAACGCCAAAGUAAAGGCCAUCCUCAAUUGGGAGCCUCCCUCAAAAGUGCCCGAGCUUCGCUCAUUCCUUGGACUGGUGAAUUACUAUCGCCGCUUCAUCAAGGGCUAUUCGGCCAAGGUGGCACCCUUGACGGAUAUGCUCAAGAAAAAUAGAACGUGGUAUUGGUCCGAAGAGUGCCAACGCGCAUUCGAGGAGUUGAAGAAGACAAUUUUGGAGGAACCUGUCCUCGCUCUUCCGGACCACACAAAGCCCUUCGAAAUUCAAACGGACGCCUCGGAUUUCGCCAUAGGUGGAGUCCUUAUGCAAGAAGGCCACCCUAUAGCGUUCGAGAGUUGAAAACUAAACGAUACGGAACGCCACUACACGGUGCAAGAAAAGGAGAUGACAGCCAUUAUCCAUUGUCUAAGAGUGUGGUGACAUUACUUACUUGGCUCACACUUCACGAUCAUGACGGACAACGUGGCGACAAGCUACUUCCAAACUCAAAAGAAGUUGAGUUCGAAGCAAGCACGGUGGCAAGACUUCCUUGCGGAAUUCGACUAUCGGCUCGAGUACAAACCGGGUAAAGCCAAUGUCGUUGCGGACGCUCUAAGCCACAAGGCCGAAUUGGCGACACUUAGCAUGAGCCAACCGAAGUUCGACCUUGUCUCACGCAUCAAGGAAGGCCUCCAACAAGAUCUGCUAGCAAAGGACUUGCUGGAGAAAGUGCUCGAGGGAAAGACAAGGCGCUUUUGGCAAGAGGAAGGCAUCCUCUUCACCAAGGGAGAUCGGUUGCUCGUGCCAAGGUGGGGAAACUUACGGAAGGAAGUAAUCAAAGAGUGCCACGACUCCAAGUGGGCUGGUCACCCAGGAAUCGAGCGCACCACCGCACUAGUCCAAGCCUCGUAUUUUUUGCCACACAUGAGGGACGACAUUGAGGCAUAUGUGCGAACUUGUCUCGUGUGCCAACAAGAUAAGGUGGAUCAUCAACUCCCAGCGGGAUUGUUGGAGCCGCUACCACUAGCAACAAGGCCAUGGGAAAGUGUCUCUAUGGACUUUAUCACAUCGCUGCCCAAGUCCGAAGGUUGCGGGAGUAUCAUGGUCGUUGUCGACCGAUACAGCAAGUACGCCACAUUCAUUGCCGCACCAGUCAAUUGCAAAGCGGACGAGGCAGCCCGCCUAUUCGUUAAGCACAUCGUGAAACUUUGGGGAGUUCCGAAGAGCAUUGUGAGCGACCGAGACCCUCGGUUCAUUGGGCGUUUUUGGACGGAGCUGUUCAAGAUGUUGGGGACAGAUCUCAAGCUUCCACCCACAAACGGAUGGGCAGACCGAGUGCAUUAAUGGCCUUCUCGAGAUGUACUUGAGGCAUUAUGUGAGCGUUCAUCAGCGGGAUUGGGCGAAACUACUUGACAUCGCCCAAUUUUCUUAUAACUUGCAGCGAAGUGAGGCUACGGGCAAGGGUCCAUUCGAGAUCAUCAUGGGAUUCCAGCCCAUGACUCCCAACGCCAUAGCCUCGACUUAUGGAGGGAAAAGCCUCGCGGCACACAAGGUCGCCCGCGAAUGGGAUGAGGAAGCGGACAUCACGCGAGCCUACCUCGACAAAGCUGCGAGGAAAAUGAAGAAAUGGGCGGAUACAAGGAGACGGCAUGUUGAGUACAAGGAAGGUGAUCAAGUAAUGAUCAAGCUCCUACCCCAACAAUUCAAGAUGUUGCGGAAAGUCCACAAGGGGUUAGUGAGGCGCUACAAGGGGUCCUUCCGAGUUGUUCGAUGUGUGAGAAGACUCAAGAUCCAUCCGGUCUUCCAUGUGAGUCUUCUCAAGCCAUAUCACGAAGACAUGGGAGACCCAAGUCGUGGAGAAUCGAGGCGCGCCAACCGCCAUUGUCACUGCGUUCGACAAAGAUGUGGACUACAUCAUUGCGGACCGCGUGGUUUCAAGGAGGGGCGUGCCAGCACACAGUGAGUACUUGGUGAAGUGGAAAAACCUCCCCAAGAGCGACGUCACUUGGGAAUGUGAAAAUGAUUUGUGGCAAUUCACUGAGCACAUCCAGAGGUUCAAGCACGAGAGCGCGACGAGGACGCCGCGAGCUUAGGUGGGGGAAGAUGUUGCGGACCGCCCAAUUCGCUAGCCCAAUUGCCCACAAUUUCAGGCUAGAGAGCCAACACAAGGCCAAGAGUGCUAGCUUGGCCCAAUUCCGGAAAGUUCUAGGCAAAUCUAGCACAUGUGAGCUUGUAAAUACUAUAGAAUUCUCCAUAGAAUUCCAGCACAUGUAAAUAGCUAGGAAGUGGUAGAAUUCUCUAGAAUCUCUAGAGCUUGGCAAACCGACCCUAUAAAUAUGGGAUGACAUUAGGCAUUUGUAUCCAACAAACACAACAACAAGUUUUGCAAGCAACUCAAACAUUGUAAUAUCUCUUUGUGCAAUAUAAGUUUUCUCAUUUGGCUCCAUUGCUCUCUUCUCUAGUUCGAGAAGCUCUAGGCUUACUUAGCAAUAUUCGGCAAAGUUGUCUAAGUGACGGACGGGUUAGCUGCGCAAACUACUUAUCCCGUGACACUACGCACCUUCUCAUUGAAAAGCAAAGUUGAAGUAUCCUCUUGCGACGAUAGUCUGUUUGGUGAUGCUGAAGGAGUCUUUACUUCACGGCAGAAAUUUGUAACCUCUGGAAGAUUCCCCAGACUCAAAGAUCUUAAUUGAGCAAACUCUAUCUUCUCAAUUGCAUUAUCAACUUCUUCCCCAAUUGUAAAAAUCUCUUUCAUCUUGCUGCAAUUAACAACUGCAAUUCUCUCAAGUCUUGGAAGGCAUUUUGUAGUAGAGAGCCAAAAGAUAUUACUCAAUUUAUCACAAUUAUAUGCUUGUAUGAUUUUGGGUUCGUUCAAAGACUCUACUUUGAGCUGAUCAAUACAUAUCCUCUCCAUGUUGAUCAAAUUGUGAAGGAUAAGUGACUCCAAAAGAGGAAAGGCUUCACAAGCUACCAUCUCCAUUGAGUCCACGAUACACAGGAAGUUAGGAUUAUUUUGAACAUGGAGAUGCUUCAAUUGUGAAAAGCCUUCUGUGUCCAAAUCAAAAAGAACAUUCUUGACACCUUGCAGCUUGUCCAACCAUAGGUAUUCAACGUUAUUGAUGCCCUGCAAUUUCAUGGAGCAAAUGUCCAUAAAAUCAAGCUUGAGCUUCAAUUCUCUUAAACUCUCACGAUUACUGUUGAUCAAAAAGUGCGGCCGGCUUUGAAACCAUUCUCUUGUAACACUCUUGGGAGGCAUGAAUGACUCAUUUCCAAUGGAUAUUUUGAACCUUUCGAGCUUUCUGGCCAAAAAGCCUUCCGGUAAAAUACUGUCAUUUUUAACAUCAAUUUCCAGAGUGGUUAGCCAAGGUAAAAGCAUCAAUUCAUCAAGGCUAGCAUUACUUCUUUCACUGUUGGCUCUUUCAACCUCUCAUUCAACGGAGCAAUUACCCAUAUACAAUUCUUCUAAUCGGAUUAAGCUCGAUAAGACAUUUGGGGCAAUAACUUUUAGAUGGAAACAGUCUCUUAAAUCUAACAGCCUUAGCUUAGUCAGUUGCCCUAGUGCUUUAGGUAACUGUACAAUAUCAGGCAGCACAAAGCUAAGGAUUUCCAGAUUUUCCAACUUUCCAAUAAUUACUGUGUCCAUGUCUCCCAAAAUGCUUUGAUUAAGACAAAGUGUCCGAAGAUUUACUAGAAGAUCAAUUGAAGAUGGCGAUGACAAUAACCGCAUUCUAGUCAAAUCCAAAACCCGAAGCUUUUUCGUCCUUUUGAAGAAGUUUUCAGGAACAUUGGGCCCAACAAAAGAGUUCUUGGGUGACAUGAAUAAAAAUUCAAGUUGUGUAGAUUCCAACACUUCAGGAAUGUCAUUAAUAAUACUAUCUUUUAAACAAAUUGCAAAAUAUUUUUUUAAUGCAUCUGCAUCUAGCCAGUUCCACACAUCCUCAUUUCUCACCGCAAAUGCAAUUUUGUCACGACGUGCUAUUGAAAUGGCAACAUCGCGAACAACAUCAUGCAUGGAAAAGAAUUUACUGCUACCAUCCUCAAGCAACAAACAAGAGUCUCUUAGUUGAUGGACCCAAGCAUGUAAUUUGUUAUGUGCAUCUUCUAGCUUAUGGACACUUUCAAAUGCACCCAAGCCCAUGCUAUAUUUGAACAAGUCCAUAAUUGAAGUUGGUGCAAUUAGACUACACAGUUAAAAAGUUUUCUUGAGUUGCUCACCUCUUAAGUACUUGUAACUUAGCUCAAUUGUUGAGUAUGCCUCUACUGGUACUCCUUCAUCGAAGCUUGCCUCUGAAGGCGUUUGGAGUUCUUGCAAGGCGUUCCUCCACAUAGGCAGCUCUUUGUUUCUCAGUGCCUUUGCUACUGUGGUUAGGGCAAUAGGCAAACCUCCACAUGCCUUGUUCUUGUCAAAAGCAGCCAUCCAUCUAGAUGGUCAACAUUCAAAGAAGAGGAAUUUUGCAGCAAAUCAAAGAAAAUUCAUAAAGCUAGAUUGACAAAUGGAAGCCAUGCGGAUUGACGAAAUUGAAGCCAUAAUUGGUGGGCUAAAAUCGUUGAUUUUCUUGGCCACUAGUUUGCUAUAAAUAGAAGUGCAGAUGAAGAGCUUAUGCAUUCCAUUAAGAGAGAGCAAUUUAGCAUUUUGAGAGAGUUUAGAGAGCUUGAAAUUAUAAGCUCUUGUUAUUAGUGUUCUGAGAGUUUGGGUGUAUUGGGGUUUUGGGAAGUGAGCUAAAAUACUACAAUACUUGUAACUCCUUUUCACUAGUAAAAUAUUUCCUUCUGUCUUUGCCCGUGGACGUAGGCUAAAAGCCGAACCACGUAAUUUUCUAGUGUCCUCUAUUGUGCUUGUUCUUUAUUUUAUUUCCAAUUUUAUUUUAGCUACGGUCCUGCUGCACCCACCAAUUUCCUAACAGUGGUAUCAGAGCUAUUGGUUGUAUUUUUGGAGUCAGGAAUUGUUCACGUAUUCACGUAUACGGCGUACGGCACUAUUCACAUAUACGGCAUACGACACUAUUCACGUAUACGGCGUACGGCACUAUUCACGUAUACGGCGUACGACACUAUUCACGUAUACUGCAUACGGCACUAUUCACGUAUACGGUAUACGGUACUAUUCACGUAUACGGUACUAUUCACGUGAAACGGUGGAAGCAAUCCAAGAAUUUUGCGGUGCAAAGCAGGGAAUAGUGGUGUGAGUAAAGCAACUGUGUGGUUCUGUACGUGUCUAGGAAAGUUCUGUCACAAAGGCGAUAAGAGCUUAAGGAGUCUGGGUUUUAAGUGGGACCAUUGUGACCCCUCCAGUCUUUCCUGGGAACUUUCCUGGUGUGCAUUCUCACACAUACUCACAACUAUUCAAGGUGGUAUACUAGCUUGUGUGCAGUAUUUAUCAACAAAAUGACGGCAAAGUAUGAAAUUGAGAAAUUUAACGGAAAUAAUUUUUCGUUGUGGAAAAUGAAGAUGAAAGCUGUAUUGAGGAAAAAUAAUUGUUUGGCAGCAAUUGGAGAAAGGCCCAUGGAGAUAACUGAUGACAAGUGGAACGAGGUAGAUGGCAACGCUAUUUCUGAUCUACACUUGGCACUUGCGGAUGGAGUAUUAUCCAGUGUGGCAGAGAAAAAUACGGCGAAGGAAAUUUGGGAUACUCUCACAAAAUUGUACGAGGCCAGAUCACUACACAACAAAAUCUUCUUGAAGAGAAAACUCUAUACUCUUCGAAUGGCGGAAUCUACAAUGGUGACCGACCACAUCAACACAUUGAAGACUCUAUUUUCACAACUCACAACGUUGGGUCAUAAUAUAGAGGAAAAUGAACGUGCAGAGCUUCUACUUCAAAGUCUACCAGAUUCGUAUGAUCAACUCAUCAUCAACCUGACGAACAACAAUCCAGUGGAGGGUCUAGUUUUCGACGAUGUUGCAGCCUCCGUAUUAAAUGAGGAGAGCAGGCGGAAAAACAAGGAAAACAGACAAGCAAGUUCGCAGCAAGCAGAAGCGCUAUCGGUGACGAGAGGGAGAUCAACGGAACGUGGCCCCAGUGGGAGUCAAAAUCAGGGUAGAUCAAAAUCCAGAAGUAAGAAGAAUGUUAAAUGCUACAACUGUGGCAAGAAAGGGCACGUCAAGACUUGAUUCAUUCUGAUGUUUGGGAAUCACCGGAUAUAUCCAUGGGAGGUGCAAAGUACAUGGUGACUUUCAUUGAUGAUUAUUCCAGAAGAUGUUGGGUGUAUCCAAUUAAGAAAAAGUCAGAUGUAUUUCUAGUGUUUAAAGAAUAUAAAGCGCGGGUGGAACUUGAAUCUGGUAAAAGGAUCAAGUGCUUGAGGACAGACAAUGGUGGAGAAUAUACAGACGGAGAGUUUCUUGCUUUCUGUAAGCAAGAAGGUAUUCAGAGGCAGUUCACAGUGGCAUACACUCCUCAACAAAACGGAGUAGAGGAGCGGAUGAACAGAACUCUUACAGAAAGAAUAAGAGCUAUGUUGAGGACUGCUGGUUUACCCAAUUCAUUCUGGGCAGAAGCAGCCAAAACCGCCUGUUAUAUAGUAAAUCGGUCGCCAUCUACAGCUAUUGGGUUGAAGACAGCGAUGGAGAUGUGGACUGGAAAGCCAGCUGAUUAUUCCUACCUACAUGCAUUUGGAUGUCCUGUGUACGUGAUGUACAAUGCCCAAGAAAGAACAAAGCUGGAUCCAAAAUCUAGAAGAUGUAUCUUCUUAGGGUAUGCUGAUGGAGUAAAGGGGUAUCGUCUGUGGGACCCCACUGCCCACAAGAUCGUCAUCAGCAGAGAUGUUAUCUUUAUAGAAGAUCAACUGCAAAGGAAAGAUGAGGAUGAAAGCACUGUAAAAGAAAAGUCAGAGAUUGUACCAGUAUAUGUGGAAAAUAAUCCAGAAGAUUCAGAUUCUUCUGAAGCAGCACCAGAGAACGAGGAACAAGAACCAGUCGAGUCCGAGGCUCCAGAAGUUCGUCGGUCAACUCGUGAGAGACGACCGCCAACGUGGCACUCGGAGUAUGUCACAGAGAUCAACGUUGCAUACUGUCUUUUAACGGAGGAUGGAGAGCCAUCAACUUUCCAUGAAGCUUUAGAAAGCUCAGAUAUUGCUUUGUGGAUGACAGCAAUGCAGGAAGAAAUUGAAGCUCUACACAAGAACAAGACAUGGGAACUUGUACCACUACCACAUGGAAGAAAAGCCAUUGGAAACAAAUGGGUCUACAAGAUCAAGCGUGAUGGUAAUGACCAAGUGGAGCGGUAUCGUGCAAGAUUGGUAGUGAAAGGAUAUGCUUAGAAAGAAGGCAUUGACUUCAACGAGAUAUUUUCGCCCGUGGUUCGACUCACAACAAUCAGAGUAGUCUUGGCAAUGUGUGCUACAUUUGACUUACAUCUAGAGCAGUUAGAUGUGAAAACUGCAUUUCUUCAUGGAGAACUUGAAGAAGAAAUAUAUAUGCUCCAACCAGAAGGUUUUGCAGAAACAGGAAAGGAGAACUUGGUUUGCAGGUUGAACAAAUCUCUAUACGGUCUCAAACAGGCGCCGAGGUGUUGGUAUAAGAGAUUUGAUUCCUUCAUCAUGAGCCUUGGAUACAACAGACUCAGUUCAGACCAUUGUGUAUAUUACAAGAGGUUUGAAGAUAAUGAUUUCAUCAUUUUGCUGUUGUAUGUGGAUGACAUGUUGGUAGCAGGUCCCAACAAAGAUCGAAUCCAAGAAUUGAAGGCACAGUUGGCUAGGGAGUUUGAAAUGAAGGACUUGGGACCAGCAAACAAGAUUCUAGGGAUACAAAUUCACCGAGACAGAAAUAACAAGAAGAUUUGGCUUUCGCAGAAGAAUUACUUGAAGAAAAUCUUGCGACGCUUCAACAUGCAAGAUUGUAAGUCAAUUUCUACCCCACUUCCUGUUAAUUUCAAAUUAUCCUCAAGUAUGUGUCCUAGCAAUGAAGCAGAGAGGAAGGAGAUGUCUCGAGUUCCGUAUGCAUCAGCAGUGGGAAGUUUGAUGUUCGCUAUGAUAUGUACUAGACCGGACAUUGCACAAGCAGUGGGAGCAGUCAGUCGAUACAUGGCGAAUCCUGGUGGAAAGCAUUGGAUAGCUGUGAAGAGGAUUCUGAGAUACAUCAGAGGAACCUCAGAUGUUGCAUUAUGUUAUGGAGGAUCAGAGUUUACUGUCAGGGGCUAUGUGGAUUCAGAUUUUGCAGGAGAUCUUGAUAAAAGAAAAUCCACUACUGGUUAUGUGUUUACACUUGCGGGAGCAGCUGUAAGCUGGGUUUCAAAACUGCAGACCGUUGUGGCUUUAUCUACAACAGAAGCAGAAUACAUGGCAGCUACACAAGCUUGCAAGGAAGCUAUUUGGAUACAAAGAUUAUUGGAGGAGCUCGGGUACAAACAACAGAAAAUUCCUGUGUUUUGUGACAGUCAAAGUGCCUUGCACAUUGCAAGGAAUCCAGCCUUUCAUUCCAGGACAAAGCACAUAGGAGUCCAGUAUCACUUCGUUCGUGAAGUAGUGGAAGAUGGAAGUGUGGAUUUGCAGAAAAUCCAUACCAAAGAGAACCUAGCAGAUGUUUUAACCAAGCCGAUAAAUACUGAUAAGUUUAUCUGGAGUAGAUCCUCUUGUGGCCUAGCAGAAACGUAGGCAACAUGAUUAUGGCGAAGCAGAAAGGAUGAUGUGGAGAUUGAUUGAUUUUCAAUCUAAUCUCCAAGUGGGAGAAAUGUCAAAAGCAGCCAUCCAUCUAGAUGGUCAACAUUCAAAGAAGAGGAAUUUUGCAGCAAAUCAAAGAAAAUUCAUAAAGCUAGAUUGACAAAUGGAAGCCAUGCGGAUUGACGAAAUUGAAGCCAUAAUUGGUGGGCUAAAAUCGUUGAUUUUCUUGGCCACUAGUUUGCUAUAAAUAGAAGUGCAGAUGAAGAGCUUAUGCAUUCCAUUAAGAGAGAGCAAUUUAGCAUUUUGAGAGAGUUUAGAGAGCUUGAAAUUAUAAGCUCUUGUUAUUAGUGUUCUGAGAGUUUGGGUGUAUUGGGGUUUUGGGAAGUGAGCUAAAAUACUACAAUACUUGUAACUCCUUUUCACUAGUAAAAUAUUUCCUUCUGUCUUUGCCCGUGGACGUAGGCUAAAAGCCGAACCACGUAAUUUUCUAGUGUCCUCUAUUGUGCUUGUUCUUUAUUUUAUUUCCAAUUUUAUUUUAGCUGCGGUCCUGCUGCACCCACCAAUUUCCUAACAGUUCUACAUUUGUUGCUGUAGAUUUUAACUCACGAUUGUCAACAUAAUUACCAGCCAUCAUCUUGAACAACCUCCAAGCUUCUUGCUCAUUUAGAAUGCCAAUCAAGAAGUUAUUUUCAGAUCCCAUACUUAACAAGACAUUACGAUCCCUUGCUGUUAAUAAUAAUCUGCAACCUCUAUGAUCAUCGCCAAAAGGAAUUCCAACAGUCUCUAAAUCAAGAUAUUUCCAGAUGUUAUCCAGAAUCACAAGGACCAUCCCAUACUUAACAAGACAUUACGAUCCCUUGCUGUUAAUAAUAAUUUGCAACCUCUAUGAUCAUCGCCAAAAGGAAUUCCAACAGUCUCUAAAUCAAGAUAUUUCCAGAUGUUAUCCAGAAUCACAAGGACCAUCUUCUCUUUCUUCAAUCGUUCAUAAAGUCUACUAGCUCUUCCAGAUUCAGCCUCCUCGGACAACUCCAGACCUAGUUUCUCUGCAAUUUCCCCUUGAAUCUUUUUUAUGUCUGGAGUUUGGGAAACCUCUGAAAAAACCACCUGAUCAAAGAGUUUCUCUUCACUGGCUUGCCUUGCAAACUCCUUCACCAGUGUUGUCUUUCCAAUGCCGCCCAUGCCGUAUACCCCAACGAUGCUGACAUUGACAUCAGUCAAUGCAUCUUGUAUAGACUUCAGAGUAGAAAGUCUUGAUUUAAUGGCCUCGUAACCUUUGUUAGACUUUAGCCAUACCUCCUCCGCAAUGGUACGGUAGAAAAUUCUAUCAUCAAAUCUCCUAGCUUCUUCUUUGAGUUCAACAAGGGCCUUCACCUCUGUUUCUGCUUUCUUGCUAAGCUGAUAGCGGGUCUUCAAAUUAGGACACAAGCCCUUGAAACAUCACUUACUUGUUGUCUCCCCAUCUUCAAUGAAUUUGGCUGCCUGCUCAAUGGUGUUGUUCGCACUAACCAGCCAGUUCUCAACCUUCUCUUCAAUCUUUUCUCCUUUUCUUUCAGCCUCAGAAACUCUGUGCUGAAUGCUCUUACUUUCAUCCUUGAGCUUGUCUAUUUCUGCCUUGAGAUUCUCAAAGUUGGCUUUAUAGUUACGCAAAUAACCAAGUUGGCGUUCUGUUGGAGGAGCGAAGCAUUUCACAACUUCUAACAGAACAGUAACAAUGCUUUCCACCAUCUUCGAUCCUCUUUUUUUCAAAGUUCCAAAAUGAAAAUAAACGAUGAGCGAAACACAGAGAGAAAGAGAGGCAAAAAAAAAAAAUGAAAAAUGAAAAAAAGAAAAUGAAACAACAAAGAUGACAAGUGUAUCUGGUUGUGGAAGCGGAGCAAUCAAAGAAAGCUUAAAAACUGUUGUGAAUCUGGUGAGAAGAUGGAAACAAGAAAAAGGUUUCUAGUUCAAAAGUGAUUGAAUUGAUAUAAGGAAUGAUUUAGAUAAUAGAGGAAAAGUGAAUCAGUCAAAAUAACUUAUGUAUUGACCAGAAGAAAGAUGCAAACAAUAUUAGAGACAACAACCGCGCUAUUGACUGGUAAUACAGAUGGAGAAAAAGAAAUUAUCUUCACACGGUGGAUGUACAAAGGGUAGAUAUGGAACCAAACAGAGACAACAACAUGCCACAACUAGAUUGGGAAUGGAGAGAAACAAAUUAACAAACACUGGAGCUGACGAAUAACGAUUUGCUAAAAUUUUGAGAAAGUUAUAUAUUCCGUAACUUCAACAAGUGAAGAAUAAAAGAAUAAUAGUUCGUCAUCUUCACAAUGAAGAUCAUGGACGAGAUUAAAAAGCUAAAACUAGUCCAUUUGAAAAGCCAAAGUUCAAGUUCCUUGGCUAAGUUCAGAAGUGAAGCAAAGAAUAAAUAAAUAAAGAUCAAGGGAUGGGAAUAAAGUCACCCCCAGACAGUUGCAGAAAGAUUAUUAUUUGGUAAGCGUAGUUGAUUAUUAGUACAAAACAGAGUAGGUGAAACACAUCCUUUCUAUUUAGACUGAUCAGCAUCUAAAAUUUUAUGAAUUAUGAGUUGCAUUUUAUUUUGUACAUUCUGUUAACACAUUUUAAUUUAGCCAAUUUUGCAAUAAAUGUUAUUGAUGUAUUAAAUUGCAACAACAAAACACAAUUAUUGGUAUUAAAGAAUGAAAAAAAAUAAAAAUAGAAAAUGAAUUGAAUUCCACUCAUCGUCAUCUUGGGAAAUCAAGUCAAAAAAUAAAAAUCCAUAUGCUUUUGUUAAAGUUAAAAGCUACAUAAAUAAUAUCACAGAAGCUUCUGCUAAGGUUCAUGUGAAGUCACAGCUUUGAUACUUGUAAUACAAGGAGCACGGAGAAACCAUAAACUUCAGUUUAGGUAUAUACAUUGCUUGUCUUUCAAACUUGAAUUGAUAAGGGGGAAAAAAAUAAUACUAAAGCAAACAGAAGGAUCAUUUAGUUGACAAAAUUAUUAUUAUUUUGAAAUUCGGGUCAUUCAGUUACUUUCAUUUCAGUUUCACUUCUGAUUCAAUUUAACCAGUUAACGUUGACAAAAAUAAAAUGCAAAUAUAAGGCUAAGGCUGCUAAUUUGAUGAACUAAUUAUCUCAGGAACCAAAGCAUCUAUAAGCAUGCAUGGGUGGCAACACCAUAAUUACUCAAGACUGGAGGAGUAAAAAGAUUGAAGAUGAUAAACAUUAAAUUUUAGGAAAAUCAUUCACAAAUAUGCUUUUAUAAAAGUUUUGUUGGUAAAGUUCGAGAAAUGCAUACAUGUCAAAUUUCCAUUUCUUGUGAGCAUUUCACCAAAUAGCUGAUAUGCAUUAAUAACUCCUAUCCUAUACUAUUGGCCAGUAGGUUGUUGCUGCUUCCCCAUUUUUAAUGAUGCGAACGUCUCAUACUUAGAAAUAAGGGCGGAGCCUGGAGAUUGAUUUAUAAGAUAAUCUUUUGAAUAAAAAUAAAAACAAUUACAGAUUUCAAAUGUGAGAAAAAUAAAAUUGCGUUAUAAAAUUAAUCCCACUAAGAAAGUCGUCUACGAAAUUUCCACAUUAAAAGAAAAUUUUUCCAUAAAUUAAAAUAAAAUUAAAUGAAAACUAUUUUUCAGUAAAGUCAAUUGCCCACGCUAGGCUAAGGCGUUUGUUUAUUUGUUUGUUUGUUUUUAUAAUCUGAAUAGGUAUAAAUUUUUCGUAAGCAUGAAUGAGCUGAGUACAAAUAUAUGAAUGAUAUAUUUAUUUUUCUUUUUCUUAAUACCCAAAUAUAAGUGACAUCUUAUUUAUCUUAAAUAUGGUUAUUUGAUAUUUAUAUUUUUACAAAUAAAAACAAAGAAAAGUAGUUAGAUUUUAUAGUUUAAGAAAUAAAUAUAUUUUAUAAAAAUAUUUUUAGAAUAUAUAUUUAAUUCUUAUUUAGACUUUUUCCUAUUCAAUAAAAGUCACAAAAGUUACUUUUUCUAUUCAAAUGUAAAUGCUUAAAAAUCAUAUAUAAGUCACAAAAAAAAUAAAUUUUAGAAAAAGUCAUAAAUUAAUAAAAUUUCAUAUAUUUAACUCCCAAUGCAGAUCCGCCCCUAUCAGUGUUAGGAAAUUGACUGGUGAAGUAGGUUCACAGCUAAAAUGAAAUUGGAAGAAAAUGAAGAACAAGCACAUAGAGGACACCAAAAAUUACAUGGUUCGACUUUUAGCCUACGUCUACGGGUAAAGACAAAAGGAUGAAACUUUACUGGUGAAAUGAGGAUUACUAGUAUUAUAAUAUUUUGUUUCACUUCCCAGAACCCCAAUCCACUCAAUCUCUUAAAACACUAAUCACUCAAGAGCAUUAAAACUCUUAGUCUCUCACUCUAGAAUUGAAGAAGAAAAGAAUGAAAUGCAGGGGUGAACCCCUCAUUUAUAGUUAAAAAUUUGGGCACUAUUUAUAUUUUUAUAUAUUUUUUUUAAAUUAAAAGUUUGAACUUGACAUUCAAACUUUGAAUAUCAAAAGGUAUUGGUCACUCUUCUAGAAAAGUGACAUUGACUUUGACAUUCUCCCACUUAGAAAUUUGAUUGAGAAUCAAUCAAUCUCCACACCAUCCUUUCUGCUUCGUCGCUAUCAUGUUGCUUAUGUCUCUACUAGGCCAUAAAAUGAUAUACUCCAAACAAAUUUAUCAGCAUUGAUAGGCUUGGGCAAAACAUUUGUUAAGUUCUCCUUGGUAUCCACUCUUGUAUCUUUCACUACUUCACGAAGAAGUGAUAUUGUACUCAUAUAUUCUUUGUCCUGAAAUAAAAGGUUGGAUUCCUUGCAUUCUAACUAUCACAAACCAUAAAAAUUUUUAUGCCCAAGCUCCUUCAGUAACCUUUGUAUCCAAAUAGCCCUUCCAAGCUUGUGUAGCUGCUAUGUAAUCUGCUUCUAUUGUUGAUAAAGCCACAAUGGUCAGCAAUUUUGAAAUCCAACUAACAAUUUCGCCUUCUGGUGUAAAUACUUAGCCAGUAGUGGGUUUUCUUUUAUUAAGAUUUUCUGCAAAAUCUGAAUGCACAAAGCCCUUGACAGUAAAUUCUAAUCCUUCGCAGCAUAAUGCAACAUCUGAUGUUCCUCUGAUAUUUCUCAGAAUCCUCUUAAUAGUCUUCCAAUGUUCUUUGCAAGGAUUCGCUAUGUAUCGACUAACUGCUCCCACUACUUGUACAAAUCAUAGCAAACCUUAAAUUUUCCACUGCUGAUGCAUACAGUACUCAAGACAUCUCUUCUUCUCUACUUCAUUACUAGAUGAAUACUUAAGAAUAACUUGAAAUUAAUAGGAAGCGGGGUAGAAAGCCAAAUCUUCUUGCUAUUACUAUCUCGGUGAAUUUGCAUCCCUAAAAUCUUGUUUGCUGGUUCUAAGUCUUUUAUUUCAAACUCCCUAGUUAACUGUGCCUUCAGUUCUUGGACUCGAUCUUUGUUGGGGCUUGCUACCAAUAUGUCAUCCACAUACCACAGUAGAAUGAUGAAAUCAUUAUUAUCAAACUUAUUGUAAUAUGUACAACAGUAUGAAAUGAUUCUAUUGUAUCCAAGGUUUAUGAUGAAAUGAUCAAUUCUCUUAUAUCAACAUCUCGGUGCAUGUUUGAGAUCGUAUAGAGAUUUGUUCAACUUGCAAACCAAGUGUCCCUUUUUAGUAAAACCUUCUAGUUAGAGCAUAUAAAUCUUUCCUUCAAGUUCUCCAUGAAGAAAUGAAAAUUUCACAUCUAACUGCUCCAAAUAUAGGUCAAAUGUAGCACACAUCGACAAGACCACUCUGACUGUCCUGGGUCAAAUCACUGGAGAAAAUAUCUCAUUGACAUUAAUACAUUCUUUCACCACCAAUCUUUCACGAUAUCGCUCCACUAGGUUAUUACCAUCACGUUUGAUCUUGUGAACCCAUUUGCAACCAAUGGUUUUUUUUUAUAUGGUAGUAGUACGAGUUCCUAUGUCAUAAUCUUGUGUAGACCCUUAAUUUCUUCCUGCAUUGCUAUCAUUCACAAAGUAACAUCUGAGCUGUUUAAAAUUUCAUAGAAAGUUGAUGGCUUUCCAUUCUCUAUUAAAAGACAGUAUGCAAAAUUGAUAUAUGUGACAUAAUCCAAAUGCCACACAUACAUUUAUCUAUCACGAGUUGACCAACAAACUUUUGGGGCCUCAGACUUGAUUGGUUCUUGUUCUCAUACUUUGGUGCUGCUUCAAAAAAAUCUGAAUCUUCAUUUUCCAGAUUAUUUUCAACAUAUAUUAGCACAAUCUCUAAAUUUUAAUAGUGCUAUCAUCCAUAUCUCUCUUUUGCAUUUGAUCUUCUACAAAGACAAUAUCUCUGCUAAUAACGAUCUUGUGGUCAUUGAGGUCCCACAGAUAAUACCCUUUCACUCCAUCAAUAGAUUCUAAGAAGAUACAUCUCUUGGAUUUUGGAUCCAUCUUUAAUCUCACUUGGGUAUCGUAUAUCACGUAAAAGGACAUCAAAAUGUCUGAGAUGAGAGUAAUCAGUUGGCUUUCCUGUCCAUUUUUCCAUUGGAAUCUUCAACCCGAUUGCCUUGAAUGAUGACCCACUUACCACAUAAUAAGUAGUUUUUGCUACUUCCGCCUAGAAUGAGUUGGUAGACCAGCAGUUCUCAACAUAACUCUUAUUUUUUCUAUAAGAGUCAUGUUCUUUCACUCUACUACUCUAUUUUAUUGAGGAGUGUAUGCCACUGUGAACUAUCUCUAGAUACUUUCUUACUUACAUAUGCAAGAAACAUGCUAUAUGUAUACUCUCCACCAUUGUCUGUCCUCAGGCAUUUGAUCCCUUGCCCUGAUUUAAGUUCAAUAUAUUCUUUGAAUUCUUUGAACAAUGGAAAUACAUUUGACCUUUUCUUGAUUGGAUACACUAAAUAUCUCCUAGAAUAAUCAUCAAUAAAAGUCACCAAAUACUUUGCACCUCCCAUAGAUAUAUCAAUUGAUUCCCAAACAUUAGAAUGAAUCAAGUCUAAAAUACAUUUACUUUUGAAAGUGGAUCUGCUAAACUUUCAUCUAUGUUGCUUCCUUGUUUCGACAUGUGGCCAAGUUUAAGAUGCCACAUCAUCGCUGAAUUUUCUCUAUUUGAUGUGACACACACAAAAGCUUUCUGUAGUGUUUCCAUUUAAGCAUGAAUAGAUUAGCACCGAUCUUUUCCACCUUCAUUAAUGCAAGUGUGCCUUUGACUAUCUUUAUGAUCCCAUUUUCUACAUGAGUUUUGUGCACAAGGCUAUCUAUUUGUCCUAAAGACAAGAGAUAUUUUUCAAGUCUUUGACAUGUCUUACCUUCUCAAUUGUGCGAACCAUACCAUUAAACAUAUUUAUUUUGACAGUACCAAUAUCAAUGAUCUCAAAGGCAUGAUUAUCACCUAUGUAUACAGAUUCUCUUGAAAUAUGUUCAUAUUUGUGAAAUCAUUCUCUUGGAGAGAUCAUGUGCCAAACAACUAUUAAGUCUAUAAGCCAGACGUCAUAUAGUGGUUUUCUGCCUUCUGAAGCAGUUGUUGCCUUACUGUAGAGAAUUUUGCCAUCAUACGAGGUACUUACUACAUACCCUUGAGCAUUUGAUGACUCGGGAUCUUUACCCUCUCUUCUCUUCUAGUUGUUCCAAUACUCUUCCUUGACAUGCUCUUUCUUGCCACAGUUUUUGCAUUUAACAUUCUUCUUACUUCUUGAUUUCGAUCUACUGUGAUUGUGGCUCUCACUAGGGCCACGUUCCAUGGAUCUUCCUUUCAUCAUCAAUAGCGCUUCUACUUGCUGCGAACUUGUCUGUCUAUCUUUUUUAUUUUUUGCUACUCUCCUCAUUUAAUACGGAGGCUGCCAUAUUGUCAAAGACUAACUUGUCUGCUCAAUUGUUAUUAGUUCGAUUAAUGACGAAUUGAUCAUACGAAUUUGGUAAACCUUGAAGUAAAAGCUCUACAUGAUCAUUUUCCUCUAUUUUAUGACCCAACGUUGUAAGUUAUGAAAAUAAAGUCUUUAAAGUAUUGAUAUGGUCGAUCACUGAUGUAGAUUCCGUCAUUCGAAGAGUAUAAAGCCUCCUCUUUAAAAAGAUUUUAUUUUGUAGUGAUUUGACCUCGUAUAGUCUUGUGAGAGUAAACCAUAUUUCCUUUGCUCUCUUUUACUCUACCACAUUGAAUAAUACCUUAUUUGAAAGUGGUAUGUGUAGAUUUGCAAUGGCAUUAUUGUCUAUCUCAUUCCACUUGUCAUCAUCAGUUAUCUUUGUGAGCCUCUCUUCAAUUGUUGCCAAGCAAUUACUCUUCCUCAAUACAACCUUCAUCUUCAUUUUUCAUGACGAAAAAUUAUUUUUGUUGAACUUCUCAAUUUUGUAUUUUUCCGCCAUCACUGUUCACCACGAGCUACCUUUGCUAAGAUCGAUUCCUACCAUUUCACAUGAGCAGUAACUGUAUAUAUGAAUAAAGUAUUGUAUACAGAAACAAUAUCAUAUACAUGAACAGUACAAUAUAUGUAAAUAGUAUCUUGACCCCAAAAAAUACAACCCGAAAAUUAAUUUGUGAAGUAGGGCCGCGACUAAAAUGAAAUUGGAAGAAAAUGAAGAGCAAGCACACUGAGGACACCAUAAAUUAUUUGGUUCGACUUUUAACUUAUGCCCAUAGGUAAGGACAAAAGGAUAAAACUUUAUUAGUGAAAUGAGGAUUAUAAGUAUUUUAGUAUUUUGUUUCACUUCUCAAAACCUUAAUACACCCAAUCUCUCCAAACACUAGUCACUCAAGAGUAUAAAACUCUUAAUCUCUCAUUAUAGAACUAAAGAAGAAAAGAAUAGAAUGAAUGAAAUGAGGGGGUGAACCCCUCUAUUUAUAGCUAAAAAUUUGGGCACUUUUUAUAUUUAUUAUUAUUAUUAUUUCAAAAUUUAAAGUUUGAACUUGAUAUUCAAACUUUGAAUAUCAAAAGAUACGGGUUGUUCUUCUAGAAGAACGGCACCAACCUUGACUCUUAGGCAGACCUUUAGAGCUUUAAAUAAAGAAAAAGCUUUUAAAAAUGCCAUGUGUACUUGAUUAUACAAUAAUCUCCACCACAUAGAAUGAUUUGAUAAAAGAAAUUUUUUAUUUUUAAUUUUACUUUUAUCAGGCACGGUGCAUUUCCCCUUGGGCUCAUAUGUAAGGAUGUCAAUAAGAUGGGAAGGAGAGAGGAUUGAUUUCCCCAUACUCAUCUUUAAUACUCUGUCUAUCUCUUUGUACUCUAGACAUUUCCUUCAAAAUUACUUGAAACGAGGGGAUGGAUGUUUCUAAAUAAUACAAAGGGAUCUCUUAUGGCAUCCGAUCUCUGAUUAUUUAAUUUCUUUUUUUUUCUUAAUUUAAUCAUCUUAAAGUAAAAAUAUAAAAUCAUAUUAACACAAAAAAUAUCAAAUUAACUAAAGUGAUUAAAAUCAUUUCCAUCAAAUUAAGUCAAUGUCAUCAAAUUAGAAGAUAAUCUUUGAACUAAUUAAGCAAAAGUAAAUCUUCAAAGUUGAACUCAUCCAUAAAUGUCAUAUAGUAUAAACCAUCAAUUAAAUUAUCUUUGUCAAUUUUAAAGUGUUUAUAUUUCCUUUAUAUUGGCUGUUAUUUAUAUUAUUUUUAUAAAUGUAUUAUGAUAUUUUUUAUUUACAUCACACUAUUACAAUUGAAAUUUUAAAUGUAUUUACUAUAAAUUUGAAAAAAAAAUGAAUUAAAAAUAAAAACUAAAGAUAAAAAUAGAAAAAUGUGGAGCCAAAUAAAAUAUUAGGGCAAACACUAAGUUAUAUUUCAUGUAACUUACACCCACACAUAUUAAUUUAUCACAGUCUUGUCUCCACAUAGAAAAAUUAGAUCUAAGAUUAUCAAACUCCCGAAUGAGGAAGAUCCCUCGGGGCCAUCGUCCCUGUGGAAAUUUCUGCAUCCCUGCAGUCUACAACGCCUAAUAAUGAAUUGAACGGUUGAAAUCCCUCUAAAUUUUUGAUAAUUUCUAAUCGCCCCUCCAUAUUUGAUUGAACAUCAAAACUAUUGAGUCCAAAUUUAUAACUUUGAUUUAUCUUCCAUUCCAUAGUUUUCAAGUUCUCUCUCUCUCUCUUUUUUAAUCCUUUUUACUGCAACCACCAUCAAAGCCUAGUAGUUAAUAUGUAUGCUGCUUUGCUUUCAAAAUCGGACACUACUGGUAUUUAUGGUUUUUAUUCUUUAUUUGACACAAAAUUUGGCGAUAUCUCCGCGGAAAAACACUACUGGUGUAUUCAAUUUUAUCCGGUAAUGAUUAAAUUGAUUAUUACAUGAACCGUAACUUCGCCAAGCCCAAAAUACAUAUUAAGUUAUAAAGCGUGGCACUCAUUAUUUUUCGCAAAAAGUUUCGCCCAAAAUACAUAUAUUUUUUUAAUUUUUUCUGUGAAAAAAACUACUGUUAUAUUCAAUUUUAUCAUUAAAGUUGUUAGUUACAUGAACCUUAAAUUAACACAAACCGUAACUUAGCCAAGCCCAUAAUACAUAUUUCAUAUUUGUAUGAAAUUUAAAGUUUUUCCACUUAUUAUUUUUCGCUAAAAGUUUCUAAAUUGUAUUGUAGUUUGAACUUGCCCAUCAUUCAAUUUUUUAACUCCACAAUUAUUUGACCUUACCAAGCUUGAAAAUAUCCUUCCAUACAUAUUUAAUUUUCUCCAAGUAUGAUGAAGAUUUAAUCAAGAGCCUCCGGGAUCUUAAAGUGCAAGAAAGGUCCGGAAAAUUUUUAAAACCCCACUGUUUAAAGUUUUUUUGGACUUUCUUGCACUUUAAAAUCUUGAAUUGAUAUAUAUAUAUAUAUAUAAUCAUUAUUAGGUGCUAGUGUUCUCUUUUUUUUUUUAAAUGCAAACACCCUUUUAAGCCGUAGGGUUUAAUAACAUUAAAAACUAACUUUCAACUAGCUCUCUUAAAUUGUACGGCUUAAAAGCAUGUUAGUAUGAAAAAAUGAACACGUCUGUACCAAAAAAGGACUAUAUAUAUUAUUUAUUUUAUAUAUACAUACGUGCGCGCGCUCGCAUAUAUAUAUAUAUAUAUAUAUAUAUAUAUAUAUAUAUAUAUAUAUAUAUAUAUAUAUAUAUAUAUCAUUUUAAUAUAUUCCAUUACUUUAAUAAUCAAUUUAAAAUAGUUUGUGAUAUUUUCAGCUAUUUAUUUAUCUACUUUUAGUUAGUUAUUUACACCGAAUGAAGUGAUAGGGUCCAAAUUUUAGUAUCCUUCUCAAUUGUUUGGGGUUAGUAAAUACUAAUUAGCUUAUUCGUCCCGCACAGCCGCGUAAAUGCUGUUAGAUUUCGGAGAGAUGCUGAGGAUGGUACAAGAUUUAUCAAAUUGUGGCGACAUUUUUAUACCUUUAGAAUUUCAAGAUUUUGAAGAAAUAAAUGGAAUCUGUUUUCCAUAAGUGCUCCACUAUCCACCAGGAGGAAUUCUAAAAUACAUUACAGAUUAGUAAUUUUUCAGAAUAAAUAAACACAUGUUAUAACAUUAUCUACUUAUCGUAUGAUUGAUAUGAUACUUAUGAUAUAUUUUAAAAAUUUUAAUGCACCAAAGUCCAUUUUUAGCUUUUAAGGUUUUUAUGUGUGAGCCUCUCAGCACGUUCCCCAACCUCCGCACGUGAAAAUAUUUCUAUGUACGGUUACAAGCUUUUCCAGAUUGUGAGUAUUCCGAAGCAAUCCAACUUGAAAAACAGCUGGUUCGUAGAAAAUGACAGUUUACGAAGCUGGCCCUGCUGCCAUACAUAUGAUGAUGAAGACCAUUUUGCUUUAUGUCAAUUCCUCCAAGUUGAAAUCUUUCUCGGUCUGGGACACUUCCAACACAUAAUGUACUACUAGGCUAGAUGAUUUUAAAAAAUGUCAAGGUCCUUUAUCAAAUUUCAUUUGCAUUCAAGACCAAUCCCCUUUGAUGAAAAUCAAUAAUUAAAGGCUUUCCAAUGAGAAAUUAUUACGUCUUCAAAUCUCAAAAAACGCCAGAAUAUUAAUUCGCUACGUAUAAUCAAGAUAUCUCAUUGAGACGCAUUAAUAAAAAAUGUCAAAAUGCAUAGAAAGAGCAGACACACGGAUGAUGAAUUUACUCAUCUUUAUUAGUAUUUGAACUUGAGAGACAGGAUGAAGUGCAUGUCAAGAAUAUCAUAAAGAUGGAAACCGGAAGUCCUCCGCACAUAAACUUUGAAGAAACUGGAAAACGACUUUAUUCCAGAUAAUGCACACCAGAGUGACCAAAAUUCUCUUCAGUAACUAUAGAGAAAAUAUUAUUUUGCAUGCAUUUCACGUAACUGGAUCAAACUACUCCCCUGUUGGUUUAUCAGACCACAUUUUUAUGGUGCAAUAUAAACCAUCUUUUCAAAACACUUCUACAAUGUGAGAAAUAUAGGCAUUAAAUUUCAUAAACUAAAAACUCCAAUUGUCAAAAAAAAGGUGAGAAACUCAGUAGAAUUUACAACUUCUCAGACUCACGAAAAGGUGAGAAACAAAUGAUUUUUAUAUAGUUGUUCAUAGCUAACUUUUGGUGGUUUAAUGAUUUGUACAUUUUGUUUUAUGUUAUUCAAGGAAAGAUAUUCGAUUGUUCCUAAGAGUUCAUAGGCAGGGGCAUAUAUGCAUGAUUUGAUAUAAUUCUUGCAAUUUCUAAGUACUUGCUCUUUCCAUACCUUCUAAGUUUUGAAAGAAAGGUUGAAAUAAACAGAGAAACAGGACAAACAGAAGAAGACUGAAUUAACAGAUCAACAAAGAUGGCAACUAACAAAUGGAAAAGUUCUCUUGUAAUCAAACUAUAGCAAACAGACAAUACCAUUGCCAUAUAUCUUAAUCAGCAGAUUGAUUCUCAACAUAUAUGUUAGGAUACAUUUGGUUGUUUAAUAGUUCGAAAUAAAGAGGAUGAGAUGGUUUCACAUAAAAGUGCUGGGCCUUUCAAUGACAUUUUCAAAGAAUUAUAAAAUUCAAAAUUAAAAAAAAUUAGCAAAUUAUAAAGCCACACCGUCAAAAAAAUAAAUAAAUAAAUAAGUGAAGACCUUUAAUGAUAUAAAAAUAAAUAAAUAGAUAAGUCACUAAGACCUUUAAUGAUAUAAAAUAAGCAUAUAAAUCUCAUAACAAAACAUUAAAACUCAUUCUAAAAGUAAAAAUAAACUAGUGGUGUAUUCCAAACAAUUUAGAUGAAGCCAGAGCAGAAACUUCUGAGACUAUCAGCAGAAACUUCUGAGACUAUCCAAAUCAUACAGAUACAAAAUCUUCAAUUUGGUGAAAACAACUCUUCUUUUAAAUUUGCUGCUCCAUCUUCGUCAUUUAUCACCACCUCUCUCAUUUCUCUGCAUCCACAUACCACCAUUGAUAAGAGUCGCUCUAGACUUUUUGCUGUGGGGGAUGUUGCUAAGCUCAUCAAUUCCUUGCAAAAAGAACUAGAAGUUCUUUUACAUUCCCAAAAGAUACCGAUGAUAUGAUGGCCAUAGACCUAACAGAUUUUGACAAAAAUGUACAUUUAGAAUUUCAAGACAUUGAAAAAAGAAGUGCAAUUUGGAGUCUUGUUUCCACAAUUGCUUCAGAUGAUUAAAUUUGUGCAGAUCUAAAUGUUUUAUCAUUGCAAACUUCCUCACAUGUUUUCUCAAGUAUCCUCCGUUUGAAAAUACCUCUUCGCAUGAACAACGACCCGGUAUGAGAGUUUCCAGAUUAUGAAAUCUCUCAAGUAAACCAUGUGGAAAACAAGUUGAGGCAUCAUCCAUUGUUUGUGGCAGUUUAAGACUGCCAAAAAGGUGUCGUGGGAAAUCGCUUUGCAAAGUCAUCCUCGAGUCUUUUCCACUUAAUGCCCGUUCCUCCAAGUUGGGUAAGCUCUGAUCAUUAUCAAUCACGCAAUAACUUAUUAAGUCAAUUCAUAUUCUCUCAAAUAACUUUUAAUAAUCCAAUCAUAUACAGUAACUUUAAUAUAAAUGCAUAAUAUUUUACAAAAAAAAAGGGGAAAAAAUCGAAUUAGAGGUAAAAGUUAUUCUACCAUUUUAUUUUUUAUAUAUAUCUUGCAUGCUAUUACCAAAAGCAAUCAUAAACGGCCCUUAAAACAAUUUUACAAAAAGCGGCCGUUACUUGUAUCACCAACUUUGUUAGGGAUAAUAAUGGGGAGGAGACCAAUCUCACCGUACCUAUCCUCGAUAUUUUGCAUAUAUCCUUACUCUCUUCCCAUCUUCGACAAAAUUGCUUUAGAGAAUCCCCUCCUCUCCCUGAAUAAUAAUAGGGGAUCUCUGUGGGUCCUCGAUCCCUGAAUAAAUGAUAUGUUUUUAGUUUUUAAUUUUAAUUUAAUCGUAUUAAAAUAAAAUUUUAAAUAAAAUAAAGUUUGACGAUAUAUCUCACAUUAAUAUUAAUCCAUUACAAAAAUCUCACUACAAAGUACAAAUCACCACAAUAAUUAUCUUCGUCAAUUUUCAAAAUCCUACAAUAAAAAAAAAGAAAUUACUUUUAUAUCAACAAUGAGAUAAAUGAAAUGAAUAUAGAUACUUAAUCAAUAUUUCUAAUAAAAGUAUUUACCUCUUGCGUCUCUUGCUCCUCUUGUUCUUCCUCGAUGAAUGUGGCAAAUUGAAAGAUAGCCUCAGAUUUUAAAUUUAAAACAAUAAAAAUAAUAUAAGUAAUGUAACUUAUAAGUGAAAAUAUUAAUUAUUAUAUAAUAUAAUUACAAUGUAAAAUAAAUUCAUACUGCCAUUUUAAGCUUGUAACUAAUUUUGACAACACAUUAAAGCCUCCAAUGUGCUUGAAUGAAGCGUGUUACAAUACUCUACCACUGUGUUAAAAGCUUAUUCAGGAGCAACAAUUGUAAUUAGAAUUGUUAAAAUAUCUCCAGCAAUUCGUGCCAAUAUAGGAUACCUAUGAGCAUUUGUUUUUCACCAACUUAAAAUAUUAAAAUCUUUCAUCCGUAGGAUAACUUUCUCAUCCAAAUAUUAAUGCAGUAAGUUAGGCCUUAAAGUUUAAUAAUAUAAUUAUUUUGAUAUUUUUUAUUUAUACUAAUAUUUAAUAUUUUAUAAUUUACAUUUUAUUAUUUAUUUAUAAAUAAUUUAAAAAAUAAAAAUAAAAAUAAAAUUAAAAUCAAGAAAUUAGGAGGGGAUGAGGAUUCCGCUGUAUCCUCAUCCUUUUUUCGAAUAAAAAAUUAGAUAAAAAAAUUAUUUUCAUCCCUUCUCUGCAUAAGAAAUUAAAUAAAAAAUUAUCUCUUUAUCCUAUCCAAAUGGUGAAAAUUUCCGAGAAUCCCUAUCACUGCAGGAAUUUCUGCCACCCCUUACUUUGCAACAGCCAGUUGCUUUUGUGACUGUUUAUGUGACGGCUAGACUGCUCUCACUUAUGUUACUAACCACGUGACGGUAGAGAGCCAAUUGGCAUGCCAUUAUUUUAAAGUUAUAAAUUUGUUUCUAAAUAGAAAACUCUUUUGUGGGGUCAAUAUUGUUGUUCAUAGCUAACUUUUGAUGGUUUAAUGAUCUGUAGAUUUUGUUUUAUGUUAUUCAAGGAAAGAUAUUCGAUUGUUCCUAAGAGUUCAUAGGCAGGGGCAUAUAUGCAUGAUUUGAUAUAAUUCUUGCAAUUUCUAAGUACUUGCUCUUUCCAUACCUUCUAAGUUUUGAAAGAAAGGUUGAAAUAAACAGAGAAACAGGACAAACAGAAGAAGACUGAAUUAACAGAUCAACAAAGAUGGCAACUAACAAAUGGAAAAGUUCUCUUGUAAUCAAACUAUAGCAAACAGACAAUACCAUUGCCAUAUAUCUUAAUCAGUAGAUUGAUUCUCAACAUAUAUGUUAGGAUACAUUUGGUUGUUUAAUAGUUCGAAAUAAAGAGGAUGAGAUGGUUUCCACAUAAAAGUGCUGGGCCUUUCAAUGACAUUUUCAAGGAAUUAUAAAAUUCAAAAUUAAAAAAAAAAUAGCACAUUAUAAAGCCACACCGUCAAAAAAAUAAAUAAAUAAAUAAGUGAAGACCUUUAAUGAUAUAAAAAUAAAUAAAUAGAUAAGUCACUAAGACCUUUAAUGAUAUAAAAUAAGCAUAUAAAUCUCAUAACAAAACAUUAAAACUCAUUCUAAAAGUAAAAAUAAACUAGUGGUGUAUUCCAAACAAUUUAGAUGAAGCAAUAAAACAAGCCAAGAAAUCAAAUAAAAUGAAAUGAAAUUGAAUUAACCGGGACUUUGUUUUUCAAAUUCACAACUCGCUUGUAAUUAAAGUAAAAUGCCAAUGCCAUUAGGACACAUACAUCGUUGAAUAAGAUGAGGACCCCUCCAACAGCUGAAAGUAAAAUUUUCAUUCAUUAGUUUCAAUUAAAAUUAAAGCACACAGAGAUUUGCAGGGAAGCAAGAGAUUUAAUAAAUUUAACAGCAGCAAUUUAAUUUGACAGGACUUCCAUACAGUAAUGAAGUUAAAAACUAAUGAUUAACGAAUUUAGUUUGGUCCCAAAGCUGUUGAUCAUCUCUCUCUCCAUAGUAGAAGUUUACUCUCAGAGGCGCGUUUAAUUCUCCUUUAGUGAAAAUCUUCAUCUUGGGACAACCAAUUAUAGAUAAAUCUUCCAAAGAUUCCUUGAAGGUGUAAUUGGCAGAGCAGAAACUUCUGAGACUAUCAGCAGAAACUUGUGAGACUACCCAAAUCAUACAGAUACAAAAUCUUCAAUUUGGUGAAAACAAUCUCAUAUUCACUGUUUGUAGUAGUUUAAGACUGCCAAAAAGGUGUUGUGGGAAAUCGCUCUGCAAAGUCAUCCUCGAGUCUUUUCCACUUAAUGCCCGUUCCUCCUAAGUUGGGUAAGCUCUGAUCAUCAUCAAUCACGUAAUAACUUAUUAAGUCAAUUCAUAUUCUCUCAAAUAACUUUUAAUCAUCCAAUCAUACACAGUGACUUUAAUAUAAAUGCAUAAUAAUUUACAAAAAAGAAGAAAAAAUCGAAUUAGAGGUAAAAGUUAUUCUACGAUUUUAUUUUUUAUAUAUAUCUUGCAUGCUAUUCCCAAAAGCAAUCCCAAACGACCCUUAAAGCAAUUUUACAAAAGCGGCCCGUACAUGUAUUGCCAACUUUGUUAGGAAUGGCAAUGGAAAGGGGAGGGGAAGAGACUGAUCUCCCCGUACCCAUUCCUGAUAUUCUGCAUAUAUCCAUGUCCUCUUCCCAUUCCCGACAAAAUUACUUUAGGGAAUCCCCCUCCCCUCCCCAAAUAAUAAUAGGGGAUCCUUAAAGGUCCUCGAUUGUCGAAUAACUGAUACGUUUUUAGUUUUAAAUUUUAAUUUAAUCAUAUUAAAAUAAAAAAUAAAAAUAAAGUUUGACGAUAUAUCUUACAUUAACAUUAAUCUAUUACAAAAGUCACAUUACAAAGUAUAAAUCACCAUAAUAAUUAUCUUCGGCAAUCUUCAAAAUCAUAUAAUAAAAAAAAAAGAAAUUACUUUUAUAUCAACAAUGAGAUAAAUGAAAUGAAUAUAGAUACUUAAUCAAUAUUUCUAAUAAAAGUAUUUACCUCUUGUGUCUCCUACUCUUCUUGUUCUUCCUCGAGAAAUGUGACAAAUUGAGAGAUAGCCUCAGAUUUCAAAUUUAAAACAACAAAAAUAAUAUAAGUAAUGUAAAUUCUAAGUGAAAAUAUUAAUAAUUAUAUAAUAUAAUUACAAUGUAAAAUAAACUCAUACUGCCAUUGUAAGCUUGUAGUCAACUUUGACAACAUAUUAAAGCCUCCAAUGUGCUUGAAUAAAGCGUGUUACAGUACUCUAACACUGGUGCUAAAAACUAAUUCAAAAGCAACAUUUGUAAUUAGAAUUGCCAAAAUAUCUCUAGCAAUUCAUAUACCCUCCUGAAUUGGGAAAAUCUCGAGGGUCAUGUCCCCGCGGGAAUAUCUGCUAGACUGCUCUCACUUAUGUUACUAACCACGUGACGGUAGAGAGCCAAUUGGCAUACUAUUAUUUUGACGGUAGAGUUAUAAAUUUGUUUCUAAAUAGAAAACUAUUUGCUGAAGUCAAUAUUUUCAAAACCAAAGUCCCAAAUUCUCUCUCGUGCGUGCCUGGCCAUCCUAAACCUUACUGGUAGCCGGAGAAUGGCGUAAAACGGCGGCGAUCUUCUUCUUCAUCUUAUUAUCUCUCUCAUCGUUUCAGGUAAGCUUGUGAUUAUGAGUUUCUUCUCUUUCUUAGCUUGUAAUUAUAGGUUUUGAUUUCUUUAAUUCGUAUUGUAACCAUUAAUGUCAAUUUUUGUCCCGCCGGCAAUAUUUCUUGUUCCUAGAAGUUGAAGCCCUUCUGUUCUUGUUCCAUUGGUGACUUUGCUCACUCAAAUUAAUUUUGUUCUGCGGAAUUUACAAAGUUCAAAUGGAUUCAUUUGGAUUACUAUUGAAUUUAGCUUUAAUUCCAACAUCCAUUCUAAUGUUUUACAAUCAUGUAUUUAGAUUUACUUUUAUUUUAUGUUUAAAGCUUCUACAAUGAAUAGCGGAGCUUGGGUUUUAGUUUCAUUUUCUAAUUAACUUGUUUUAGUUUAUCUUAUAUGCUCGCCAAGUGCUUGUUAUAUUGUCUGAUAAGUUAUAUAACAUUGCUGAUUCUAUAUUAGUAAUGUCAUGUUCCAUUUACGGAAAUUAUAACACAAAAGUUUUUACAAUGGCUUGCAUCUACAAACUGAAUUGACUUGUAGAGUAAGAGCUUGGAUUAGUGUUAUGUUCUUGAAUAAAUGAAAGUUCAUAUUGUGUAAGAGCAUGUAGAUGUAAAGCAUCACUACCAUUUCUACAAAAUGCUUUCAUUCUGUUCAGAUGCUCCUCUUGAACUUUGAAAGGUGCCUCAUUCAAGUCCUAGCUAUAACUAAUAGCUCUGAUUGCUUAAGUUCCUGUGCUAGCUGAAACAGAUUUAUUUAAUUAAUUAAUUGUGUAUGUACUAAUUAUAUUGAAAGUAUAUGAAGAAAUUGUUUAACAUGAAUGACUUCUAAAUGACUUAAAAGCCUAAAGGAUAUGUGAAAUAAUGCUCAUUUCACUUGAACGAGCCUAUUAAUACUUGUAUGUCUAUGAUUGUCAAUCUUGCUUAAGUGUUUCAGUUAAGUGGUUUACCAAACAGGGAAAAAAAUUUAAUGGAAAACUUUAGAGUUCUAACAGAAAUAUAGUUGACUGCAGAUAUAGUUAUUUUACGGUACAUAAAUCAUAUUGUCCUAUUCUCAAUGUCCUACGACCUAUUUUAUUUUAUAUGGUCAUUCAUUUUUGCGAUGGUUUUUUGUGCUUAUGAGUAUGGAAAUAGUGGGAUUUGGUGUGGCAAACAAAAAUAUACAUAUAAUCAAGUUUGUUAAUCAUGUAUAUUGGUUUUGGGUAUGAACGUUUUCCUAUUCUAGUUCUAGGCAAAGUUUCUUCAUUUUGGUCUUCAGAUUUCCAGUAGGUUAAGUUAAGCAACUAUCAUAACUAGCUAGCUAGUUAUUGCCUGCCUUGUCGCCAUUACUGACGCCAUUACAUUGCAUGGCAUAAGGAAUAGUAACUAGGUGAUUAUUGGUGAUUCCUUGAGUUUAUUAUUGGCCAAACAAACAUAUUCGCCUUUACCCACAACUUAGUUUGAUUAGUUAUUAGAUAAUAAAGAGCCUUAAUCUAUGCAUUGCUUUAUUAUUUUUAUUUGGUUUUUCUUUCAACAAUAUUGUUGAUUUCUUAUAAAAAAUAUUCAUUGGUUUUUAAACACCUAAUCAUUGGCUAUAAUGAAGCUAAUUAAAACGGAGGCUUUGGAUCAAUUUCUGUUAACAACAUACAAAUGAGCAUAACCACCCCCCCCCCCCCCCCCCCCCCAACCACCACCAAAAAAAAAAAAACCAAAUAGGAAGACUUUGCAAGAUUCACAACCAGGUUACAUUUAAUUUAUUAAUUGUGUGUACAUACUAGUUAUUUGUUGAUAGAAUAGGAAGAAGUAUUUUAAUAUGAAUGACUUAAAACUUAUUGCUCAGUAAACAUAAUGUGCAUCAGUGCUAGAAAAUGUAUUUGUUGUUUGUAAUUUUUUAUGGUUUUGCUUAAGAAAUGAAAUGUGAAAAAAUGCUACAUUUUAUUAGGAAUAAAUUGAAGAGAUUUAUGAUUUUUAUGUGUUAUUCAAGUUUCAGAUUCAAUUUUAAACUUUUGAUACAUGCAUUGAAAGCUUAAACUCCUUUAAGAAAUUAUUAAUAGACACAUGUUUUAUUAGUGUCAUCUUUUGGAUGAUAGUGAGGAUCUUAUGUCUAUUAAUAAUUCUUGAAUUAUCUAGGCUUGGACAGUUUGGUAAUGCAUAGAUUUCUAUGGUAGCUAGUGCCUGAAAUUUUUUUCCCACGUAAAAAUGGGUUUUUCAGCAGCUGCUCCUCAUGUUCUCUGGGUGCAUACUAGACAAAUGGGUGUCAUGUAUUGUUUUGGCAUAACACAUAAACACUCAUAUAUCUAUGUCGUGUACUUGAAGAACUAUAGGGAGAUGCUUCCGAAGUUUCUAUAAACGUAGAGGAAAACUUUAGAUACUUAAGAUUGAAGAAACUUAUGCAUUCUUGAGUGGGAUAUAUAGGACCACUUACCUUUUGUAAAUAUGAAGGGAAUGUUGGAUAUAUUGGAGGAGCUGAGUGGGAUGAAUGUAAUCGGUUAUGAUUUUGCUGAGUCGACUUGGUUUUGAGUCUUGUAAUUUUUUUUAUAAAUGGAGUACUAUCUCCAAUGUUGGUUUAUAAAUAUGUUUCAGCUGGCUGACCUAAUUUUUUGUUUCUAGGUAACAGGCUUUAUAUAUCUGUAAUUGAUAGCCAAGUGAAGUUCUCAGCUGUGGGUGAGGAUAUUUCUUUACAGAAGGUAUUGCAAACUGUUUUUUAGAUUAAUUAUUAUUGUAUAUAUACUUUAAUUUUCACAUCUUUUUCUCUGAUUCUUGUGGCUUUGCUUGCUUCCAUAUAUAUAAAACCAUAAAAUUGUAUAAUAAUUUUUUUUAUUAUAUUGCGAAACUGCGCACACAUGAAAAUAUCUUGUUUAGUAGUAGAAAUGAAGAAUUAAAGUGAUUUAUUUAACUAAUUUUUCUAGUGCAAUAAAAGGAGAUAGUCAUGGACCAGAGUUGGGUUGGUUUGCCAAAUAGAUAUCCAAUUCAUAUACUGAUGGGGGUCAAAAAAUUUAUAGAUUUUGCAUUUGAGAAUGUUGUUGGUGAUAAAAGAAUUUAUUGUCCUUCUAAGAGGUGUUGUAAUAUCGAUAUUUCAUUAUAAGGAAAGUGGCAAGAGACCAUAUCAUUAUAAAUGGCUAUUGGUUAAAGUAUUAAAACUGGAUAUUGGAGGGUGAGCCAUCUUCAUCUUUGAAAUCUAACUAAGAAACAGGUUAGUCAUGACUCGGGUAGUGAUGCUAGUAUGGUUGGAAUGGUGCAUAAUGCAUCACGUAAUCAAAUGUUCAAGUCACACGCAGCAUUGUUAUGGACUAUCUCCGACUUUCUAGCAUAUGCCAACUUGUUUGGGUGGAGUAUUAAAGGUAAAUAAGCAUUUCUUGUUUGCCAACAAAACACUAGAUCUAAUUGGUUGAUACAUAGUAGAAAAUUGUCACGUGGGUCACCGUCGAUUUUUACCAACAAAUCAUAGGUUCCGAAAAUAUAGUGCCAUCUGAUAAAACUAGAGAGUGGGGACAAGCACCUUCUCGGUUGUCUGGAGCCGAGGUGAAAAACCAGUUCAGUAAUGUACUUAAGAUUGAAGACUUGAAAAGAGGAGAAAAGAGGAGAAUGAAUAAAAUGAAAGAAAUGAUAAGAUUACUUGGAAGAAGAAAAGCAUUUUUUAUGAACUAACAUAUUGGGAGUUCAAUUUGAUUCAUCAUAAUCUUGAUGUCAUGCACCGUUUUGAUUUUUGUUAUGAACUCAGAUCAAAAGUUUAAUGUGAUCAAAAUUUCUUAAAAAUAGUGAAAACGACUCCUCCUAAUAAUAUGGAAGAUGGCUAUAAAAGAUAAUUUCUUAAAAGUUUAAUGUGAUCAAAAUUGCUUGUGAACGCAAGGGUUUUAGUUACACUGUCAACGCUGUCAAUGUAGUGAUACAAUGAAGAUGAAGUAAAGCAUUAGUAGAAUAAUGAAGUUGACCAGUAACACAGUAAAGCAAAUUUUAUUCCAGAGCAUGAAAACUUUUAAACAGUAACACAGCUCUUAUUCCAGAGGCUGCACGCGAGUGACCUGAAUCUUCUUCAGAACUUUCAAAUUUUAUCAAGCAAAGCUUUCAAAAUCCUUGCCUUCCUAAGUUAGGAAAGAUAGAUGUGGAGCAAACUAUUUUUUUUAGAUAUUUUCACUUUGGGCUGUCAGCCCGAGGAAGUAGGGGGGUCUGAGUUAUUCAACUGAAAAUGUCGGCCAAGUUCUUGUGUUAGUUUUAGUAUAUUGUGUACAAAUGAUACACUGACUUGAAUUUAUAUGCUUUUAUGACUAUUUGAUAAUCAAAUGGGUAAAUGACACGAAUAACUUUGAGUUUAAAAAUCUGGCCCUGAUGCCUGGUAGCCCUCCAACCUAUGAAGCACUAGAUGUUUUAAUGAUAAAACGACAAGACCAUUUAUCAAAUUUCUUGUGGAUAUAAAUACAUACACAUAGACGAGACCAACCUCCUCAAAUGAGAAUCAGAGUGAUUACAAGACCUUUCAAUGAGACAAUAAUACACCAUCAAAUCUCAAAAUACAAUAGAAAUUCAUGACAUAUAUAUAAUAAAAGACCACUCAUUGAGUCAUAUAUAUUGAGAAUAAAUUUUUUUUAAUACAUACAAAGAGCUUAGCUAGAAUGAAAUGUCUUUGGACUUGCGAUGAUCAAACAAAGGAAACAGACAUGUUGCAACUCACACUAUCACAGAUGUAGCGACACAAUGCAGUGAAUCACAAGAAGAUCACGAAGAUGGAAACGGGAACCCCUCAGAAUGUAAACUUUGAAUAGAGGAAAAAAGGAAAACGACCUUAUUCACAGAGGACGAGUGACUUAAAUCUUCAUCAGUAUCCAAACAUUCUGCAAUCAUAGAGUAGAGAAAUUUUAACAGGAACAGCAGAGAAAAUAUUAUGAAUAUGCACUGAUUACUUUUUUUUUUUUUAAUUUUUUUAAUCCGAUUAAUGAUAUUCAGCUGUUCUUUAAUUAUGUGUUCAUAGGGAAGAACAUUUUCUAAGUACUUUCCUUGCCUUCUAACUUUCCAAGGAAAUAUAGGUGUGAAGAAAAGCAAACCCAAUGAACAAACAGAGCACAAAGUAAAAUAAAAGAACAGCAAUGAUGACGAUAAAUAAUUGGCAAAGAAAGAAAGGAAAAAGUAUGCACGUUUUCAAGGAUUUAAAAAAUACGAAGGCUUUUAAUGAAAUUUUAUCAUCAAAACGUAUGCAAGGAGUUACAAAAUUUUAGAAGACGAGGGGAGCUCGCCAAAAAAAAAAAAAAGACUCAAAUUAAACUAGACUAAAAAGACAUUCAAUUAUGCAAAAUCUGUCCAUAAAAGUCUGAAAGGAUCAUUAAAAUUGCAUUGCAAAUUUAACAGUAAACCGAGGGAUCCAUUCUAAAUAAUUCAGAUGAAAUUGCGAAACAAGCCAUGGGAUUAAAUAAAUGAAAUAAAAAUUAAUUACCAGUUGAGACUUUCUUCUAAAAAUUCGCAACUCCAAGUCAUAAGAAGCCUAUGAAAUUAGUCGUACUGCGUAGAGUAUGACGACGACACCGCCAACAGCUGAAAGUAAAAUUCUUAUUCAUCAAUUUAAACUUUUACUUUAUAAAAAAUAUCUUAUCUAUAUUGUAUUUAAGAAAGCAAAUUUUGUAAAAAUUUAUCAUGGGAGAUAGAGAGUAAUAUGUAUAUACGUACCUUCUCAGCAUGUAAUUGUUGUAUGGUUGUGUUUAGAUCAUUAUUAGCCCAGCGCCGUUGAUCCGCUGUCUCUCCAUAGCAGACGUUUACUCUUAGAGGCAUGAUUGAUUCUCCUGUAGUGAAAAUCUUCAUCUUGGGACAACCAAUCACCCACAAAUCUUGCAAAGAUGGGAAUUUGAAGGUGUAAUUGGCAGAGCAGAAACUUGUGAGGCUAUCUAAAUCACGCAGUUCCAACGUCUUCAAUUUGCGGAAAACAAUCUCUUCUUUUUCAACUCCUUCUUUGUCAUUUAUUACCACCUCUGUCAUCGCUCUGCAUUCACGCAUACGCACUGUGACGAGUUGCACUAGAGUUUUUGCUGUGGAGGAUGUUACCAAGUGUAUCAAUUCCUUGCAACCGAAAGCUACAAUUUCCGUUAGGUUCCGAAAAGAUACCGAUGAUGAUGGCAAUAGAAUUAACAGACUUUGACAAUCAUAUACUUUUAGAAUUUCAAGAUACUGAAAAAUGGGGCCAAGUUUGGAGUCUUGUUUGCACAGCUGCUCAAGAUGAUAGUGCUGGUGCAGCUGUAAUUCUUUUAUCAUUGCCAACUUCCCCACAUGUUUCUCUAAGCAUCCUUCCAUCGAAAAUACCUCUUCGUGGAAUGAAAAAUAACACAGUAUGAGUAUUUCGAGACUGUGAAAUCUCUCAAGUACAUUCCAGAUUGGAAAACAAGCUGAGUCAUCGCCAACAAUAUUUAGUUGUUUAAGACUGCCAAAAAGGGGUUGGGGGAAAUCGGCCUGCAAAAUCAUCUUCACGUCUUUUCCAUUUAAUGUUAGGUCCUUCAAGUUGGGUAAGAUCUGAUCAUCAUCAAUCAUAAUAAUUAUUAAGGUCAAUUGAUGUUCUCUCAAAUGAUUUUAAGUAAUCCAAUCACACGCAGUGACUUUAUAGUAUUUGUUUUAUAUUAUAUUUUAGAUUUUUUAUAUGUUAAUUUUAGAGGUAAAAAAGAAAUUAAGGAAAAAAUUUUGAUUUAUACUGGCUGGAAAUUAUUUUAUUGCACAAUAAUAAAUUACUAAUUUAUUUUGUAAGUUCUUAUAUAUGGAAAGACUAAGUAUCUCCAAAAGGCUCUAUAAAUUUUACUCUUUCAAAUUUCUAUUUGCUUACCUAUGUGGCAAAUAGAAAAGUGAAAAAAUAUGUUAUUCUCCAAAAGACUCUUCAAAUAGAAAUGAAUUAAUAUUAUUUUAAUUAAAUAACUAUUUUUAAAAAAUAAAAAGUCAAUAGUAAUUAAAACACCUCUCUCUCUUUCUCCAACAAAAAGUAAUAAAAUAUAAAUUGAAGAGGGGGAAUGCAACUCUCCAAAUUUGAAGAGAGAUGAUCAUUUCUUAUUUGAAGAAUCUUAAUUGGAGUAUCUUUUGGAACUUUAAAUGCUGAUGUGGCUCUUCAAAUAAGUAAUAAAAUCUUAUUUAAAGAGUCUUUUGGUGAUGCUCUAAGGAUUCUUUUAUAAAUGCUAUACCUAAAAAAGUUCAUAUAAUUAUUAAUCUAUCAAUAAAUCCCUUAGUCUAGACUAGCAAAGAUUAUUGUAUAAUAAAAGUUUUCAAUUUAUUGAGUAUUAAUUUAUUGAUGCUUUGUCAUAUUUUUUAAAGUUCAAACUAAGCUAUUGAUAGAAAUCUAGAAAAUGGCUUCAUACAUUUUCCAACGGCAAUAGGGCCUGUUGUGCAGGAGUAUCAAGUUCAUCAUUCUCAAAAAAAAAAAAAAGAUUGAAUUAUUGAUAAAAUUUAUUAAAUGAUUUUUUAUAUGUUAAUUUUAGAGGUAAAAAAGAAAUUAGGGAAAAAAUGUUGAUUUAUACAGGCUCGAAAUUAUUUUAUUGCACAAUAAUAAAUUACUAAUUUAUUUUGUAAGUUCUUCUAUAUGGAAAGACUGAGGAUUCUUUUACAAAUGCUAUACCUAAAACAAUUCAUAUAAUUAUUAAUCUACCACAUUGAUCCCUUAGUCUAGACUAACAAAGAUUAUUGUAUAAUAAAAGUUUUUAAUUUAUUGAGUAUUAAUUUAUCGAUACUUUGUCAUAUUUUUCAAAGUUAAAAAUAAGCUAUUGAUAAAAAAUCUAGAAAAUGGCUUCAUACCUUUUCCAACGGCAAGGGGGGCAGUUGUGCAGGAAUACCAAGUUGAUCAUUCUCAUUAUUCUGCGAUAAAUCUGCAGCGAAUAUCUUUAAUUUGUCACAACCAUACACAUAAAGAAUUUCUAGCGCGGGCCAUUCCGAAGUAUGCAUUCCAGGGUACAAACAUCUAAGUUUUGGUAGACCAUCGAGUCUCAGAGUGGUGAGCGGUGGAAAGACAAAAUGAGGGGUCACUUGAUCUGCUCUGUUUUCAGAAAUGAUCUCCUGUAAUUCCUUACAGAGUCGUAUAUCUAGGUGUUGGAGCUGCUUAAGGCUUCCGAUCAUGGACGCUGAAAAUAUGUAUUUUAAUUUAUGACAACGAUGCACAGUCAAUCGUGUUAAAUUUUGAAAGCGAGGAAACAUGACCGGAAGAUUAUUGUAGUGCCAAAUCUUGUCGACAUUAAUUUCAUAUAUCUCCAAAGCCUCCAAGUUAGGC